Molecule: long non-coding RNA, 114775 nt
Filed under: Prunus persica (peach)
Lineage: Eukaryota; Viridiplantae; Streptophyta; Magnoliopsida; Rosales; Rosaceae
Description: long non-coding RNA (PPER_LNC008258)
Source: RNAcentral
AUGCAAACCAUAAGACUAGAAAGGAUGAGGAUUUGAAAUAUAUUGUAUUACUCCCACAUGCUCCUGGAGAACAACAAAGAAGUUUACACAUGUUUAAAAGACAGAAUUUGACUGCCUUUGGGUGGGGGGAUGAUAUUUGGACCAAUGGUUCUAGGGAGUUCAUGAUAUCAUCACUUGUCUGCUUCAUAAAUUUAUAUGUUUCUGCUCAUGAAGCAGCUUCAGGAUUUGAGAAGGUUUGCUUUCACCACAAGAUGUGAGUUGAUUCCGUGGAUUAUCAGUGGUAGCCUCUUCUUCAUCCCAACUCAGUGAGUUCUGCAAUGAGGAUGCUUUGGAUAUGAUCAUAUCUAAAUUCUUUUAUCUUGGCUCGGUAAGCUGGGAAAUGAGGAUGGUUCGGAUGGCUUGGAUGACUGAUUCAUGUACACUCACACACUUAAGUGGGAAGUGAGAUAAAGGAAGGCGUUUUCACUGCAGGGGAUUGUGAUACCUCCCAUGGAAUGAUCAUAUCCGAAUUCUUCUUCAGCUUGACUCAACAAAUCCAGGAAUAAAGGCUCAUUCAAAUAUGAUAUUGGAAUCACAAAUCGCUUCUUCUGGCUCUCCCCAACAUAGACUGCAAAGUAGCCUUUUGGGAUAUCUAAGGUCUUUGAAUCUGCUGUCUGGCUUGAACUAGAUAGAGAUCGAAUGAGACUUCUCUUUGCAUUAACAAUUGCAGGCAACCGGAAACCCAUGGUCUUAUACAUGCUCAAAGUACAAAAGAAGAAGAAAGGAAUUCAAAGGACCUGAAUUUGGAAAGCAGAGAAAGCUAUGCUUGAGAAGGUGAAGACUUGAGUUGCUCAUGAUGAACUUGGUCAUGUGUAUAUAUAGAUCAAGAGUAUCCAGAAAAUCAACAGCUACAUGAAACAAUUGGUGAAGAGGCACUGAGAUGGGCUCCAAUGAGGGACACUUGAUUGUGAGAAAUCACAUGGGUUUGUCGUCCGUCUAACGCAAUUUGUCCCCAAAAGAUUUCUCCCGGAACUCUUCCUUACCUGCUCUAGGUAACAGACAACAAAAGGACCACCAGAGAUGAUUCAAUCCAAAAGAAUUAUGUCUGUUAGGUAAGUAGCAUUUAUGCUUGAGACAUGCACUUCUCUUUGUUCACACUAAUUCAACUGACCACAUAAUCGGACUAGUUUACUACAAAUUUUCUUGAUUAGGUCUGCUAAUGAAUUGCCCUCUCACUUCAUCAAAAGACCAACAACACUGCAUAUGUCGUGGUCCUACCCAACACUGAUACAAUUGUGUUGUGUGGGAGCAGCAAUGCACCCUAUCAUGUGGCUUUGUAGUUUCGUCUCUGAUCUUCAGUCUCAGCAAACAAAGGAGGUAUUUAUUUCAUUUUGUUAGGCCAAUCCGGACUUAACCAGAAAACAGUAUUCAUUUAAAUAGUUGACAGUAAUUGAUCAAGAAAACUGAAGUUAAUAAAUUGAACUUAAGGUACUCUUUCUAUACUCAAUUUUUAAAAAACCAUUUUCCAUUGCCAGUCUUGUUUAGGCAAGUUCGGCCAAGAGCCUACUAAAAAACCAUUUUCCAUUGCUAGGUUGAUAAUUAAUCUCUUCUUGCCUUUGCUUAUGGCAACAAUUGAAGAUAUCUUAGAGGAUUAAUAUUUAUCAUACAUCUAUUCUUUUUUAUGAAAGACACGAUCGAGCUAGUAUCAUACACCUAUUCUUUGUGACAUACAUAAAUAUGGAGUAAAUCAAGAAAAUAGUCGUGUAUUAUUUGUGAUCCGAUGUAAACUUGGCUUUCACUCACUAGUGCAGGGAAUUCUUGCACAUAUAUUGUGCAAUUUUUUAACCAAAGAACCUUAGUGGCUCGGCUCAGUGCCUCGUUCUAUUCCCUCGUGAUGACUCUCCUUCUCAUUAUUCUUUCAGGGUAAAGAUUCCCAAUAGAACUGAUAAUAUUUUAUUUUGGAAGGAAUGUUAAAAAGUGGUGUACUUCAAGUUCAUGGUUCCAUUUGGCAUGAGGCACCGUGGAUAUAGGAAGUACUAAGUAAACCAUUAUACUUUCUUUUUUAUAGUAAACCAUUGAUGAUUUUAUUUUAUGACAGAGCUACAAGUAUAAUGAAAAAUAAGACAAGAAAGUGGAUCGGGAUUUAAAUUUACAUACAAGAAAGUCAUAGCAUCCAACCCAAAUAUGGAGAGGACCAACAUCUUUUAUACUACAAUGCUCCGAAUGUACUCUCAAUGAUUUCAAAAUUUCGAUCAUGAUUUUGGACUAAAGUUUUUCAACGUCCAUAGUGUCUUCGUUUGUCGGAUUCAUGAACUUUUUAACUUUAUGCUCAGAUCACAAGCAGCCUCAGGCUUACAGAUUGCUUCCUCUCAGCACAAGAUGUAAGUCGACUCAGUGGACGAUCAAGAAUAGCCCCGUUCUCAUCAUUACUUAGUGAGUUCUGAAAUGAGGAUGCUUAUACAUGAAUGAAUUUGGAUCAUAGUUUCUUUUCUUUAGUGUUCACUCAUACACUUAAGCGGGAAGUGAGAUGAAGGAAGGUGUCUUCACUGCAGGGGAUUGUGAUACCACCCAUGGGAUGAUCAUAUCCAAAUUCUUCUUCAGCUUGACUCAGCAAAUCCAGGAACAAAGGCUCAUUCAAGUAAGAUAUUGGAAUCAAAAACUGCGUCUUUUGGCUCCCCCCAACAUAGACUGCAAAAUAGCCUUUUGGGAUAUCUAAGGUCUUUGAAUCAGCUGUCUGACUUGAACUAGAUAGAGAUCGAAUGAGACUUCUCUUGGCGUUAACAAUUCCGGGCAACCGGAAACCCAUGAUUUAGUAUUCUCAAAAGGACAACCGGAUUAUAUUGAAGCUUGGUAUACUAUCUUUCUUCACCAAUCUGAAGAUUUUAGUCAUUCCUGGUUUAUUAAUUUUGAUAAUAAGUUCAAAAGCCCAUUCCCCUACUGGUUUCUUCACUGGUGGGAAAAAUAUGGUCCAGUUGAUGAAAUUCUUCCAGUAUCAGUUCUUGAGUUGAUCCGCCAUUUUACUAAAAGAGCCAAGUUUUCCCUAGUUGAUUUAUUCUUUCCCAAACAGUUGCUGUUUAUUGCCAGAUACAAGGUACCUUGGAUCCUUAAAUGGUCCUAUGCCAUCACCAAGGACACCCGUGUAUUUGCCCGCCAAUUCUCAAUCAAAUGAGUCAAGAAAUGAUGGAGUUCUGUAAGAAAGAAAUUGAAGAGUUGCUUAAUCUUGAGUCAAUCAAAAAGCACAAGACUGAUGGAAACAAUUUCCUGCAUAUUGGUCUUGUUCAAGUCGCCGUUAAGCCCCUAACCAGGUUAGGUUUGAAAGCCUCCAUACUGCUCUGUUUACGCGAUGCCCGGUUCACCGCGUUCAGUGACAGUACGCUAGGAGUUAUUGAGUCCAGUUUGUGUAACGGUCCAGUUCAUUUUGAUUGUUACCCAGACUUCACUGUAAGCCUUAGUGAUCCACAUAUAUUGAGAACCCUAACUCUCAAUAUUAAGACUGAAGGUUAUAAUGUCCUCCCAGGAACCCAACCUUUAGCAUUAGUUUACAGAAUUUACUAUAAGGUCACAGGAACCAAUAUGAACUUCCAGGCCUUAAACAAAAGCCCAAAGGAUCAGACAGUCCUGAUCCAGAGUCACACCUCAGACGCCCAUAUUCAAGUUCCCCAGACCAUUAAAUGGUCAGAAGUUGCCCUUCCAACAGAUUGGACCUUAGUUACCGAGAGCCAACCAGCUCCGAUUCAACGUAGUCUAAACAAUUUAGACUACAUCCAGCAGUACUUAGAUGGCACGGUUAAGAUUAGAUUCGAUAGCCAGCCUCUACAUAAGUCUAAAGUCCAGUUACACCAGUUACCAACCCCAGGUCAGUCACAAAGGCAUGCCCCAGCUAGGCACUCCUUUACUGCCUCAUCCUCAACUCUAGAACGAGACCUAGAGUUAGAAAAAACCAUGAUAGAUUUAAAGCUUGAGUCCCUGAGAAGAUCCUCUCAGGUAACCCAACCCUGCUACGGCACGGUUCCAGUAGAAGAAAAGUCAGAAUCCCCUGAGUCACCUACCCAGUCUGACUUCAUAGUUGAAAACCAGUUAAGAACCCUUAAUAGAAAAUUUAAAAUUGAUUGGUCACGUCUAAACAAACAUCUCAAAGCCCCUGAGAACCUGUCUAGACGAGAUAGUUAUCACCAAGCCUUUCCUGAUAGUAGCCGCCGCUUAGAAAUCUUUAGUGAAUGGAAAGAUUACAUGCGGUCAGCCCAAGUUGAAAUUUUCUACCUUGAUUUUGUUGAAAGCCGUUAUAUGUCAAAUGAUGAGUUAAAAACCUUAACUCAGCAAAAAUGGAAAAUGGCAGAUAAGUCUGUCGUUGAGUCUAGCCAUCCUCCAGUAGAAACCAUAAUUAUUGAGCAUAAAGAUACUCUUAUUCCUGCUACUCCUUUCAAAACAUUUGAAAGCAGUGACAGUAAUAGAAGAAUUCUUGAGCAAAAUAAUUAUACCAACCAGAGUCUAAUUGUUAUAGGAAAACAGUUGGAUACAAUUGAAACUAAAAUUGAUAAGAUAGGUUCUACAGACGUAGAGUCUAAAAAGAAAAUUGAAAAACCAAUUGUCCAGUUCCAGGAUCUUAGGUCUAGCCCGACCCUUAAGAUCACACCUACAAUAAAGAAAAUAGAAGACAUGUUAGCCCAGUUGACCCCUGCCAAAGUUGAAAAAACUGAGAAAUCUGGUCUUAAAACACUGGAUGCCUUUGCAGUAGAAAAUACCUCUGAGUCUGAGUCUUCAGAAGUAAGCAAUAUUUCUAAAAUUGAAAAAGCCUUUCAAACUUUAGAAAUCCAAGUUGAACCCAAAGUUAAGAAAUUAGAAAAGUUUGUCAGCCCCAGUAGUCUGACCAAAAAUUGGUAUCCCAGACCAACACCUCCUGACAUUCAAUUUGAAGAAAGAAACCUGCAGACCCAGUUCUCUGUUUCUUCCGACAAAUUGUAUGAAUGGAAUAUUGAUGGUCUCUCUGAGCAAGAGAUCCUCAAUAAGUUACAACAUAUGUCCAUGGUUGCCAAUAGUUAUAUCACCAAUCACAGUUUCAGACAGUCUGAAAUUGUCCCUCUGUUAGUCACAGGUUUCACCGGUACUCUCAGAAGUUGGUGGGAUAAACACCUGAGUCCUGAGUCUAAAAGCCGUAUAACCUUUGCUGUAAAACUGAAUGAUGACGGUCACCCUAUCUUUGACGAACGAAUAGGUCAAGGUAUAGAAGACGGUGUCAACACCCUGUUUUACACCAUAAUCGAUCACUUCAUAGGAACCCCUAGUAAUCAAACUGCUAGGAUCCAUGACCAGUUAAGUAAUCUUAGAUGCCCAAAGUUGUCCGAUUUCAGAUGGUAUAAGGAUGUCUUCAUCUCUAGAGUCAUGCUUAGAGACGAUAGUAACCAACCAUUCUGGAAAGAGAAAUUUGUUAAUGGUUUGCCAAACCUAUUUGCCCAUAAGAUCAGAACUACCCUCAGUAAUGAAUUAGGUCAUAUUGAUUGGGAUAGUUUAACUUAUGGUAACAUUGUAAGCACAAUUAAUCAAGUUGGCAUGAAAAUGUGUGUUGAUUACAAAAUCGGAAAACAAAUACAGUCCGAUAGGAAAUCAGCCAAAUAUGAGUUAGGAAACUUCUGUGAACAAUACGGUCUCAGUAGCAUUCCGCCCUCUAGAAGAAAUAAGUCUAAGCCAAGUCACCUUAGGAAACGUCGGUUUUCCUCUAAAAGAAAACAUUUUGCAGUUAAAAGUGAUAAUGAGUUUUAUAAGAAAAGAAAAAGUUUUAAAAGAAAAAAUUGGUCUAAAGCCCCCAGAAAAGCCCAGAAGAGUCGACCCAAAACCGAUAAGUCCAAAGUUAAAUGUUUUAAAUGUCAAAAAUUUGGUCAUUAUGCCUCUGAGUGUAAAGUUAAAGAUGCCAUUAAGCAGUUGCAGAUCUCAGAAGCUGAAAGAGAAAAGUUGAUCCAAGUUUUAGAGUUGCGAGACUCUGAAACUAGCAGUCCCGAAACCUUAGUUGCCAGCUCUGGAUAUGAUUCUGAACAAGCUUCAGAUUCCCAGCCUAGUUCCCCUGAUGUCCAAUUUGGUUGCACCGAUAAGUGUUGUAAUAGAUUAAAAUCUAUUUUUGUUCUUACCAAACAGGAAGAACAAGAAGAGUUGUUAAUCGACUUAAUCAGCCGAGUAGAAAACCCUGAGUUAAAGUCCGAUUAUUUGAAAAAAUUGCGAAAAGUCAUUAGUCAAGAAAGCUCUAGUAGUCCUAAACCGCAGCCAGUCAGUUUAGCCACUACUAUAGAAAAGUUCGCUCAGAAAAAGAAAGAAGUUACCUUACAAGACCUCCAGUUAGAAGUCAAAUUAGUCAAACAAGAAUUAGCCGAGUUAAGACAGAUUAGUAACCAGUUGCAGGUUGAAAACCAUACAAUCAGGCAAGACUUAACAAGUCUUCAAAAAGGCAAAAUGCCUUUAGAGCCCAGUAACCAGUCAGACAGCCCUGCUGGUUCUGACGAAGAAACCCCAGUUGUCAACCUAAUCAAACAAGUCAAUUUCCGAAAAUGGUAUUCGAAAGUUACAAUAGUUGUCAAAGAUUUUGAGUUUACCACAGUUGCCUUAUUUGAUUCAGGAGCCGACCUUAACUGUAUUCAGGAAGGUCUAAUUCCUACUAAGUACUACCAGAAGUCUAGAGAAACCCUAAGCACUGCUUCAGGAAAAUCUCUUCAGCUGAAUUAUGAGUUGCCUAAAGCCCAUAUUUGCCAAAACAGAGUUUGUUUUAAAACUUCGUUUGUUUUAGUUAAAAAUAUUACUGAUGAGGUUAUCUUAGGAUUACCCUUCAUAAGUCUGCUUUAUCCCUUCCAGGUAGAAUACGACGGUGUCAUUUCUACCCAAUUAGGUGAGAAAGUUAAGUUUAGUUUCCUUUCUAAACCUGAGUUGCAUAAUCUGAAAGCCUUACAGAAACAGUCUGUCUCUAGGUCCCUUCAGGUUGUCCAAAAAACUAACCAGUUGAAAUUUCUUAAGGAAGAAAUUAAGUUUAAGAGAGUUGAACAACAACUUGCCAGUCAGUCCUUACAGUUGCAAAUUCAAAAAUUUGAACAAAGAUUAAAAGAAGAAAUUUGUUCUGAGUUGCCCACAGCCUUUUGGUAUAGGAAGCAGCAUGUCGUCCGUCUUCCCUACAUCAAAACCUUUAGUGAGAAAAAUAUCCCCACUAAAGCCAGGCCAAUCCAAAUGAGUCAAGAAAUGAUGGAGUUCUGUAAGAAAGAAAUUGAAGAGUUGCUUCAAAAGAAAAUAAUUCGCAAGAGUAAGUCCCCCUGGUCAUGUCCUGCUUUUUAUGUCCAGAAAAAUGCUGAACUAGAAAGAGGUGUUCCCAGAUUAGUUAUCAAUUAUAAGCCCCUUAAUGCGGUCCUAGAAUGGAUUAGGUAUCCCAUACCUAAUAAAAGAGAUCUCAUUAAUCGGUUAGAAAAAGCAGUUGUCUAUUCUAAGUUUGAUUUGAAAAGUGGUUUCUGGCAAAUCCAAAUAGAUGAGUCAGACAGAUAUAAGACUGCAUUUGUCACUCCCUUUGGUCAUUACGAGUGGAAUGUAAUGCCCUUUGGUUUGAAAAAUGCUCCUAGUGAAUUCCAGAAUAUCAUGAAUGAUAUAUUCAAUCCUUACAGUCAGUUUUCGAUUGUUUAUAUUGAUGAUGUUCUAAUCUUUUCUGAGUCAAUAGAACAACAUUGGAAACAUUUGCAUAAGUUCCUUCAAGUUGUCAAACAAAAUGGUUUAGUUGUUUCUGCCAAAAAGAUCAAGUUGUUUCAAACCAAUAUUCGUUUUCUUGGUUUCAAUAUUUGUCAGUCGCAAAUCUCCCCAAUUGAUCGAGUUAUCCAGUUUGCUGAUAAGUUCCCUGAUCAAAUUCUUGAUAAGAGUCAACUUCAGAGGUUUUUAGGAUCCCUAAAUUAUAUCUCUGACUUCUAUCAGAAUCUGAGAAAACAGUGUAAGCCCCUAUUUGAUAGGUUGCAGAGUAAUCCUCCUCCUUGGUCGUCUACUCACACUGAAGUUGUUAAACAGAUUAAAUCCCAUGUCAAGACACUUCCCUGUCUUGGUAUUCCUUCAGUUGAUUCAUUCAAAAUAGUUGAAACCGAUGCCUCUGACAUAGGUUAUGGUGGCAUUCUUAAGCAAAAAGUCAGUCCUAGUUCUCCAGAACAAAUUGUUCGAUUCCAUUCUGGAACCUGGACUCAGUCGCAGCAUAAUUACAGUACUAUUAAAAAAGAAAUUUUAGCUAUUGUAUUAUGCAUUAGUAAAUUUCAAGAUGAUUUGCUUAAUCAAAAGUUUUUAAUCCGAGUUGAUUGUAUGUCUGCAAAACAUGUUUUAGAAAAAGAUGUUCAAAACAUUGCAUCUAAACAGAUUUUUGCACGAUGGCAAAGUAUAUUAAGUAUAUUUGAUUUUGAAAUUGAAUAUUUGAAAGGCAGUGAGAAUUCUGUUCCUGAUUUUCUCACUCGAGAAUUCUUGCAGGAUGCACAAUGGCUCCCAAGAAAGACAAACAAAAAGCAGUAGCCAGUCAACCCAAGUUGCCCAAGUCGCCCAAAUCAACCCAGUCAUCCCAGUCGCUCAGAGUCCUUCCUUCCUCCAUGAGUCAACCUAAGCCAGAGUUGCCCAGGCAAAUAGUUCCAUAUCCGGGUCACCCCCCAUUAUCAGUUGCCACUCCAAUUUCAGUUGCAAACAGAUUUUCCUCUUUAGGAUCCACAGUUGGCCAAAUUCGCCCCAGUUAUCAAUCCACCUUAAUUUCCAGUUAUGACCCCUUUGCAGUUGAGAUCCCUGCAGAGCCAUCAGUUGUGCCAUCAGUUGUCCACAAAAAAUCGUCUCCUUAUUUGCCUAAAAGUAAUUCUCAUUUAUUUGUCAUUGAGUCCACAUAUGAUAUUCAUGCAAAUCCAGUAGAAAUUGCCAAACACUAUUUCCCUCCUGGAUUUCAUUAUAUGCCCCAGAGUCCAUAUAAGUCCCUCAAGUACUAUAGAGAUAUAUUACUUGAGACACAAUCAGUUGAAAUUAAGCCGAUAAAGGAUCGGGAUCAUCCUGAAACCAUUCUUUAUCAUUCUUUGUAUAUUCAUAAAAUUGUAAGCCAAGAAUCUUUUAGUAGCCAUCCUUAUGAGUUGAAAACACUUAAGUCAAAAUUACAAUAUAAUUAUUCUGAUUAUAUUGAAGCCUGGUAUACUAUUUUCCUUCAUCAAUCUGAAGACUUUAGUCAUUCCUGGUUUAUUAAUUUUGAUAAUAAGUUCAAAAGUCCUUUCCCCUACUGGUUUCUUCACUGGUGGGAAAAAUAUGGUCCUGCUGAGGAAAUCUUGCCAGCCUCAGUUCUUGAGUUAAUUCAACAUUAUGCCAAAAAAGCCAAGUUUUCUCAAGUUGACAGAUUCUUCCAGUUGCAAAUGCUUUUUAUUGCCAGGUAUAAGGUGCCUUGGAUCCUCAAAUGGGGUUACAGAGUCACCAAGGAUACCCGAGUACUUGCCCGCCAGUUUUCAGUUAAGUGGUGGGACAAAUUUGAAGUUGAACGAAUUGCUAAAAAUGUCUAUAAUGACCUCCCCCGGGAGCCAGUUCCUCGCCAUGUAUCCCCUACAGGUUCAGUCCGAUCUUCCUUAUCAGUUGAAGGAAAAUCCAAGUCAGAACUUCAGGAGAUUGCACGCCAGCUGAUCAUCCAGGCCUCUCAAAUGGAUGAUGAUGAGGACAAUGAUUCUCCCCCAUCGUCUAGUUGCCAGCCCGUGCAGAGUCCUGCCAAGACAAAGUCAUGGUUUGAUGACAGCCAGGACCCCUACGAUGCCUACGAUCUAGGGGAAUCCUCUCCAUAAUUGCCUCAGUUGCCGACAAACAAGCCUCGUCAAAGAAGUUGCCAAUUUGUCAAAAGAAGUUGCCGACAGACCACUCUGUCAAAAGAAGACGCCAGAUCACGUGAAAGCAGCGGACAAAGCAUCUCUGCUUUUACUUUAGUCAGAUCACCGAAAAGUAGCAGACAAAGCACUGUUUGCUUUUUGACAAUCCACCGAAAAUAGCCGAAAGCAUCUGCAGGAGUCAAAGUUACCUCUACAGUUGCUAAAGUUGAAUCAGGUUGAACACCCGUGCCUCUAAGGCCGAAGCCUGCUUAUAAAGAGAAAAGCAACUAUGGUUUACAUAACUUAGGAUAACAAAUAACUCGGGUAAGCAACUGUAGGAGCACGGGUAUGCAACCCGAUUCAACUUUCAAUUUUGUCUUCUUGUGGUGAAUUCAGAAAUCAACCUUGUCGGCUGGGCUUUGUCAGCUGGCAGGGAAUCUUCUGCUUUCGGCUACUUUCGAUGAAGUGACCAAAGCGAAACAGUGCUUUGUCUGCUGCUUUAGAAAAUGCUUCAUGUGAUGGCUGCUUUCGGCAAAAGCAAACAGGGCUUUGUCUGCUGCUUUCACGUGGGGCAAUUAUGGAGGGAAUCCCUAAUCAGACCCGAGGUCAUAGCCGUCAUAGGGAUCCUGGCUGUCAUCAUACCAAGUCUUUGGCUUGGCAGGGCUCUGCAUGGGCUGGCAACUAGAUGACGAGGGAGAAUCAUUGUCCUCAUCAUCAUCCAUUUGAGAGGCCUGGAUGAUCAGCUGGCGUGCAAUCUCCUGAAGUUCUGACUUGGAUUUUCCUUCAACUGAUAAGGAAGAUCGGACUGAACCUGUAGGGGAUACAUGGCGAGGAACUGGCUCCCGGGGGAGGUCAUUAUAGACAUUUUUAGCAAUUCGUUCAACUUCAAAUUUGUCCCACCACUUAACUGAAAACUGGCGGGCAAGUACUCGGGUAUCCUUGGUGACUCUGUAACCCCAUUUGAGGAUCCAAGGCACCUUAUACCUGGCAAUAAAAAGCAUUUGCAACUGGAAGAAUCUGUCAACUUGAGAAAACUUGGCUUUUUUGGCAUAAUGUUGAAUUAACUCAAGAACUGAGGCUGGCAAGAUUUCCUCAGCAGGACCAUAUUUUUCCCACCAGUGAAGAAACCAGUAGGGGAAAGGACUUUUGAACUUAUUAUCAAAAUUAAUAAACCAGGAAUGACUAAAGUCUUCAGAUUGAUGAAGGAAAAUAGUAUACCAGGCUUCAAUAUAAUCAGAAUAAUUAUAUUGUAAUUUUGACUUAAGUGUUUUCAACUCAUAAGGAUGGCUACUAAAAGAUUCUUGGCUUACAAUUUUAUGAAUAUACAAAGAAUGAUAAAGAAUGGUUUCAGGAUGAUCCCGAUCCUUUAUCGGCUUAAUUUCAACUGAUUGUGUCUCAAGUAAUAUAUCUCUAUAGUACUUGAGGGACUUAUAUGGACUCUGGGGCAUAUAAUGAAAUCCAGGAGGGAAAUAGUGUUUGGCAAUUUCUACUGGAUUUGCAUGAAUAUCAUAUAUGGAUUCAAUGAUAAAUAAAUGAGAAUUACUUUUAGGCAAAUAAGGAGACGAUUUUUUGUGGACAACUGAUGGCACAACUGAUGGCCCUGCAGGGAUCUCAACUGCAAAGGGGUCAUAACUGGAAAUUAAGGUGGAUUGAUAACUGGGGCGAAUUUGGCCAACUGUGGAUCCUAAAGAGGAAAAUCUGUUUGCAACUGAAAUUGGAGUGGCAACUGAUAAUGGGGGGUGACCCGGAUAUGGAACUAUUUGCUUGGGCAACUCUGGCUUAGGUUGACUCAUGGAGGAAGGAAGGAUUCUGAGCGACUGGGAUGACUGGGUUGAUUUGGGCGACUUGGGCAACUUGGGUUGACUGGCUACUGCUUUUUGUUUGUCUUUCUUGGGAGCCAUUGUGCAUCCUGCAAGAAUUCUCGAGUGAGAAAAUCAGGAACAGAAUUCUCACUGCCUUUCAAAUAUUCAAUUUCAAAAUCAAAUAUACUUAAUAUACUUUGCCAUCGUGCAAAAAUCUGUUUAGAUGCAAUGUUUUGAACAUCUUUUUCUAAAACAUGUUUUGCAGACAUACAAUCAACUCGGAUUAAAAACUUUUGAUUAAGCAAAUCAUCUUGAAAUUUACUAAUGCAUAAUACAAUAGCUAAAAUUUCUUUUUUAAUAGUACUGUAAUUAUGCUGCGACUGAGUCCAGGUUCCAGAAUGGAAUCGAACAAUUUGUUCUGGAGAACUAGGACUGACUUUUUGCUUAAGAAUGCCACCAUAACCUAUGUCAGAGGCAUCGGUUUCAACUAUUUUGAAUGAAUCAACUGAAGGAAUACCAAGACAGGGAAGUGUCUUGACAUGGGAUUUAAUCUGUUUAACAACUUCAGUGUGAGUAGACGACCAAGGAGGAGGAUUACUCUGCAACCUAUCAAAUAGGGGCUUACACUGUUUUCUCAGAUUCUGAUAGAAGUCAGAGAUAUAAUUUAGGGAUCCUAAAAACCUCUGAAGUUGACUCUUAUCAAGAAUUUGAUCAGGGAACUUAUCAGCAAACUGGAUAACUCGAUCAAUUGGGGAGAUUUGCNNNNNNNNNNNNNNNNNNNNNNNNNNNNNNNNNNNNNNNNNNNNNNNNNNNNNNNNNNNNNNNNNNNNNNNNNNNNNNNNNNNNNNNNNNNNNNNNNNNNNNNNNNNNNNNNNNNNNNNNNNNNNNNNNNNNNNNNNNNNNNNNNNNNNNNNNNNNNNNNNNNNNNNNNNNNNNNNNNNNNNNNNNNNNNNNNNNNNNNNNNNNNNNNNNNNNNNNNNNNNNNNNNNNNNNNNNNNNNNNNNNNNNNNNNNNNNNNNNNNNNNNNNNNNNNNNNNNNNNNNNNNNNNNNNNNNNNNNNNNNNNNNNNNNNNNNNNNNNNNNNNNNNNNNNNNNNNNNNNNNNNNNNNNNNNNNNNNNNNNNNNNNNNNNNNNNNNNNNNNNNNNNNNNNNNNNNNNNNNNNNNNNNNNNNNNNNNNNNNNNNNNNNNNNNNNNNNNNNNNNNNNNNNNNNNNNNNNNNNNNNNNNNNNNNNNNNNNNNNNNNNNNNNNNNNNNNNNNNNNNNNNNNNNNNNNNNNNNNNNNNNNNNNNNNNNNNNNNNNNNNNNNNNNNNNNNNNNNNNNNNNNNNNNNNNNNNNNNNNNNNNNNNNNNNNNNNNNNNNACUCAUUUGGAUUGCCCGGGCUAGGCGUAGUAGUCGCGUCUCACUAAAGCGCUUUGAUGUAGGGAAGACGGACGACAUGCUGCUUCCUAUACCAAAAGGCUGUGGGCAACUCAGAACAAAUUUCUUCUUUUAAUCUUUGUUCAAAUUUUUGAAUUUGCAACUGUAAGGACUGACUGGCAAGUUGUUGUUCAACUCUCUUAAACUUAAUUUCUUCCUUAAGAAAUUUCAACUGGUUAGUUUUUUGGACAACCUGAAGGGACCUAGAGACAGAAUGUUUCUGUAAGGCUUUCAGAUUAUGCAACUCAGGUUUAGAAAGGAAACUAAACUUAACUUUCUCACCUAAUUGGGUAGAAAUGACACCGUCGUAUUCUACCUGGAAGGGAUAAAGCAGACUUAUGAAGGGUAAUCCUAAGAUAACCUCAUCAGUAAUAUUUUUAACUAAAACAAACGAAGUUUUAAAACAAACUCUGUUUUGGCAAAUAUGGGCUUUAGGCAACUCAUAAUUCAGCUGAAGAGAUUUUCCUGAAGCAGUGCUUAGGGUUUCUCUAGACUUCUGGUAGUACUUAGUAGGAAUUAGACCUUCCUGAAUACAGUUAAGGUCGGCUCCUGAAUCAAAUAAGGCAAUUGUGGUAAACUCAAAAUCUUUGACAACUAUUGUAACUUUCGAAUACCAUUUUCGGAAAUUGACUUGUUUGAUUAGGUUGACAACUGGAGUUUCUUCGUCAGAACCAGCAGGGCUGUCUGACUGGUUACUGGGCACUAAAGGCAUUUUGCCUUUUUGAAGACUUGUUAAGUCUUGCCUGAUUGUGUGGUUUUCAACCUGCAACUGGUUACUAAUCUGCCUUAACUCGGCUAAUUCUUGUUUGACUAAUUUGACUUCUAACUGGAGGUCUUGUAAGGUAACUUCUUUCUUUUUCUGAGCGAACUUUUCUAUAGUAGUGGCUAAACUGACUGGCUGCGGUUUAGGACUACUAGAGCUUUCUUGACUAAUGACUUUUCGCAAUUUUUUCAAAUAAUCGGACUUUAACUCAGGGUUUUCUACUCGGCUGAUUAAGUCGAUUAACAACUCUUCUUGUUCUUCCUGUUUGGUAAGAACAAAAAUAGAUUUUAAUCUAUUACAACACUUAUCGGUGCAACCAAAUUGGACAUCAGGGGAACUAGGCUGGGAAUCUGAAGCUUGUUCAGAAUCAUAUCCAGAGCUGGCAACUAAGGUUUCGGGACUGCUAGUUUCAGAGUCUCGCAACUCUAAAACUUGGAUCAACUUUUCUCUUUCAGCUUCUGAGAUCUGCAACUGCUUAAUGGCAUCUUUAACUUUACACUCAGAGGCAUAAUGACCAAAUUUUUGACAUUUAAAACAUUUAACUUUGGACUUAUCGGUUUUGGGUCGACUCUUCUGGGCUUUUCUGGGGGCUUUAGACCAAUUUUUUCUUUUAAAACUUUUUCUUUUCUUAUAAAACUCAUUAUCACUUUUAACUGCAAAAUGUUUUCUUUUAGAGGAAAACCGACGUUUCCUAAGGUGACUUGGCUUAGACUUAUUUCUGCAUAUGCAUUAGUCUGAAUACUGAGUUAAGUUGCUGCAUAAUCAUAUUCAUCUUCUUUCUCGCUAUCUCUCUGUGUCCCCUCUCUGUUGGUAUCAGAGCCGUAAGAGUUACGGUCUUUGUCUAAGUCUGCUACUCAUUCCCGCCCAAGUGGCUGGUUUAAGCUUCUGAGUAGAAGGUUUUCAUCUUCUUCUUUUCCUUCCUUUUUAUUCUUUGAGUUGUCUGUUGAUUUCACUCUAAGGUCUGACCCGUGAGUCCUUUUUGCUAGAUCUGUAAGUCCCGAGGGUAGGGCGUUUGUGCUGGGCAGGAGACAGAAAAUUGAGUGGAGUUAGUAGAUUUCUUAGAGUCUAAGGAGUGAGUCCGAGAAGUUCCUGUUUAUCUUCUUCCUCAGUCCGUUUGAGUCAAACACUUGAGUAGCCAUGAGUCGUUUUCUUAGGUCGAGUUCCUGUAAGUCAAGCAGUUCUAAGACCAAUAUAAGUCGACUCCCUGAGAUAGUUAAUGAAGAACAAUUUGAAUAUGAUUCUAGUUGCAAAGAACAAUUAGAUUUUAGAGAUUGGAAUAUCCCUAAAGUCCCUAGUCAAAAAAUCUAUAAGAAACAUUGGUUGCCUUCCAGUUUUAAUUGCACCACACAUGUCAAAACAGUUGAACAAGUUUACGCUCUUAGUAAAGAACACGAAACUUGCCAGUUGCUUAAUCUUGAGUCAAUCAAAAAGCACAAGACUGAUGGAAACAAUUUCCUGCAUAUUGGUCUUGUUCAAGUUGCCGUUAAGCCCCUAACCAGGUUAGGUUUGAAAGCCUCCAUACUGCUCUGUUUACGCGAUGCCCGGUUCACCGCGUUCAGUGACAGUACGCUAGGAGUUAUUGAGUCCAGUUUGUGUAACGGUCCAGUUCAUUUUGAUUGUUACCCAGACUUCACUGUAAGCCUUAGUGAUCCACAUAUAUUGAGAACCCUAACUCUCAAUAUUAAGACUGAAGGUUAUAAUGUCCUCCCAGGAACCCAACCUUUAGCAUUAGUUUACAGAAUUUACUAUAAGGUCACAGGAACCAAUAUGAACUUCCAGGCCUUAAACAAAAGCCCAAAGGAUCAGACAGUCCUGAUCCAGAGUCACACCUCAGACGCCCAUAUUCAAGUUCCCCAGACCAUUAAAUGGUCAGAAGUUGCCCUUCCAACAGAUUGGACCUUAGUUACCGAGAGCCAACCAGCUCCGAUUCAACGUAGUCUAAACAAUUUAGACUACAUCCAGCAGUACUUAGAUGGCACGGUUAAGAUUAGAUUCGAUAGCCAGCCUCUACAUAAGUCUAAAGUCCAGUUACACCAGUUACCAACCCCAGGUCAGUCACAAAGGCAUGCCCCAGCUAGGCACUCCUUUACUGCCUCAUCCUCAACUCUAGAACGAGACCUAGAGUUAGAAAAAACCAUGAUAGAUUUAAAGCUUGAGUCCCUGAGAAGAUCCUCUCAUGUAACCCAACCCUGCUACGGCACGGUUCCAGUAGAAGAAAAGUCAGAAUCCCCUGAGUCACCUACCCAGUCUGACUUCAUAGUUGAAAACCAGUUAAGAACCCUUAAUAGAAAAUUUAAAAUUGAUUGGUCACGUCUAAACAAACAUCUCAAAGCCCCUGAGAACCUGUCUAGACGAGAUAGUUAUCACCAAGCCUUUCCUGAUAGUAGCCGCCGCUUAGAAAUCUUUAGUGAAUGGAAAGAUUACAUGCGGUCAGCCCAAGUUGAAAUUUUCUACCUUGAUUUUGUUGAAAGCCGUUAUAUGUCAAAUGAUGAGUUAAAAACCUUAACUCAGCAAAAAUGGAAAAUGGCAGAUAAGUCUGUCGUUGAGUCUAGCCAUCCUCCAGUAGAAACCAUAAUUAUUGAGCAUAAAGAUACUCUUAUUCCUGCUACUCCUUUCAAAACAUUUGAAAGCAGUGACAGUAAUAGAAGAAUUCUUGAGCAAAAUAAUUAUACCAACCAGAGUCUAAUUGUUAUAGGAAAACAGUUGGAUACAAUUGAAACUAAAAUUGAUAAGAUAGGUUCUACAGACGUAGAGUCUAAAAAGAAAAUUGAAAAACCAAUUGUCCAGUUCCAGGAUCUUAGGUCUAGCCCGACCCUUAAGAUCACACCUACAAUAAAGAAAAUAGAAGACAUGUUAGCCCAGUUGACCCCUGCCAAAGUUGAAAAAACUGAGAAAUCUGGUCUUAAAACACUAGAUGCCUUUGCAGUAGAAAAUACCUCUGAGUCUGAGUCUUCAGAAGUAAGCAAUAUUUCUAAAAUUGAAAAAGCCUUUCAAACUUUAGAAAUCCAAGUUGAACCCAAAGUUAAGAAAUUAGAAAAGUUUGUCAGCCCCAGUAGUCUGACCAAAAAUUGGUAUCCCAGACCAACACCUCCUGACAUUCAAUUUGAAGAAAGAAACCUGCAGACCCAGUUCUCUGUUUCUUCCGACAAAUUGUAUGAAUGGAAUAUUGAUGGUCUCUCUGAGCAAGAGAUCCUCAAUAAGUUACAACAUAUGUCCAUGGUUGCCAAUAGUUAUAUCACCAAUCACAGUUUCAGACAGUCUGAAAUUGUCCCUCUGUUAGUCACUGGUUUCACCGGUACUCUCAGAAGUUGGUGGGAUAAACACCUGAGUCCUGAGUCUAAAAGCCGUAUAACCUUUGCUGUAAAACUGAAUGAUGACGGUCACCCUAUCUUUGACGAACGAAUAGGUCAAGGUAUAGAAGACGGUGUCAACACCCUGUUUUACACCAUAAUCGAUCACUUCAUAGGAACCCCUAGUAAUCAAACUGCUAGGAUCCAUGACCAGUUAAGUAAUCUUAGAUGCCCAAAGUUGUCCGAUUUCAGAUGGUAUAAGGAUGUCUUCAUCUCUAGAGUCAUGCUUAGAGACGAUAGUAACCAACCAUUCUGGAAAGAGAAAUUUGUUAAUGGUUUGCCAAACCUAUUUGCCCAUAAGAUCAGAACUACCCUCAGUAAUGAAUUAGGUCAUAUUGAUUGGGAUAGUUUAACUUAUGGUAACAUUGUAAGCACAAUUAAUCAAGUUGGCAUGAAAAUGUGUGUUGAUUACAAAAUCGGAAAACAAAUACAGUCCGAUAGGAAAUCAGCCAAAUAUGAGUUAGGAAACUUCUGUGAACAAUACGGUCUCAGUAGCAUUCCGCCCUCUAGAAGAAAUAAGUCUAAGCCAAGUCACCUUAGGAAACGUCGGUUUUCCUCUAAAAGAAAACAUUUUGCAGUUAAAAGUGAUAAUGAGUUUUAUAAGAAAAGAAAAAGUUUUAAAAGAAAAAAUUGGUCUAAAGCCCCCAGAAAAGCCCAGAAGAGUCGACCCAAAACCGAUAAGUCCAAAGUUAAAUGUUUUAAAUGUCAAAAAUUUGGUCAUUAUGCCUCUGAGUGUAAAGUUAAAGAUGCCAUUAAGCAGUUGCAGAUCUCAGAAGCUGAAAGAGAAAAGUUGAUCCAAGUUUUAGAGUUGCGAGACUCUGAAACUAGCAGUCCCGAAACCUUAGUUGCCAGCUCUGGAUAUGAUUCUGAACAAGCUUCAGAUUCCCAGCCUAGUUCCCCUGAUGUCCAAUUUGGUUGCACCGAUAAGUGUUGUAAUAGAUUAAAAUCUAUUUUUGUUCUUACCAAACAGGAAGAACAAGAAGAGUUGUUAAUCGACUUAAUCAGCCGAGUAGAAAACCCUGAGUUAAAGUCCGAUUAUUUGAAAAAAUUGCGAAAAGUCAUUAGUCAAGAAAGCUCUAGUAGUCCUAAACCGCAGCCAGUCAGUUUAGCCACUACUAUAGAAAAGUUCGCUCAGAAAAAGAAAGAAGUUACCUUACAAGACCUCCAGUUAGAAGUCAAAUUAGUCAAACAAGAAUUAGCCGAGUUAAGGCAGAUUAGUAACCAGUUGCAGGUUGAAAACCACACAAUCAGGCAAGACUUAACAAGUCUUCAAAAAGGCAAAAUGCCUUUAGUGCCCAGUAACCAGUCAGACAGCCCUGCUGGUUCUGACGAAGAAACUCCAGUUGUCAACCUAAUCAAACAAGUCAAUUUCCGAAAAUGGUAUUCGAAAGUUACAAUAAUUGUCAAAGAUUUUGAAUUUACCACAGUUGCCUUAUUUGAUUCAGGAGCUGACCUUAACUGCAUUCAGGAAGGUCUAAUUCCUACUAAGUAUUACCAGAAGUCUAGAGAAACCCUAAGCACUGCCUCAGGAAAAUCUCUCCAGUUGAAUUAUGAGUUGCCUAAAGCCCAUAUUUGCCAAAACAAAGUUUGUUUUAAAACUUCGUUUGUUUUAGUUAAAAAUAUUACUGAUGAGGUUAUCUUAGGAUUACCCUUCAUAAGUCUGCUUUAUCCCUUCCAGGUAGAAUACGACGGUGUCAUUUCUACCCAAUUAGGUGAGAAAGUUAAGUUUAGUUUCCUUUCUAAACCUGAGUUGCAUAAUCUGAAAGCCUUACAGAAACAUUCUGUCUCUAGGUCCCUUCAGGUUGUCCAAAAAACUAACCAGUUGAAAUUUCUUAAGGAAGAAAUUAAGUUUAAGAGAGUUGAACAACAACUUGCCAGUCAGUCCUUACAGUUGCAAAUUCAAAAAUUUGAACAAAGAUUAAAAGAAGAAAUUUGUUCUGAGUUGCCCACAGCCUUUUGGUAUAGGAAGCAGCAUGUCGUCCGUCUUCCCUACAUCAAAACCUUUAGUGAGAAAAAUAUCCCCACUAAAGCCAGGCCAAUCCAAAUGAGUCAAGAAAUGAUGGAGUUCUGUAAGAAAGAAAUUGAAGAGUUGCUUCAAAAGAAAAUAAUUCGCAAGAGUAAGUCCCCCUGGUCAUGUCCUGCUUUUUAUGUCCAGAAAAAUGCUGAACUAGAAAGAGGUGUUCCCAGAUUAGUUAUCAAUUAUAAGCCCCUUAAUGCGGUCCUAGAAUGGAUUAGGUAUCCCAUACCUAAUAAAAGAGAUCUCAUUAAUCGGUUAGAAAAAGCAGUUGUCUAUUCUAAGUUUGAUUUGAAAAGUGGUUUCUGGCAAAUCCAAAUAGAUGAGUCAGACAGAUAUAAGACUGCAUUUGUCACUCCCUUUGGUCAUUACGAGUGGAAUGUAAUGCCCUUUGGUUUGAAAAAUGCUCCUAGUGAAUUCCAGAAUAUCAUGAAUGAUAUAUUCAAUCCUUACAGUCAGUUUUCGAUUGUUUAUAUUGAUGAUGUUCUAAUCUUUUCUGAGUCAAUAGAACAACAUUGGAAACAUUUGCAUAAGUUCCUUCAAGUUGUCAAACAAAAUGGUUUAGUUGUUUCUGCCAAAAAGAUCAAGUUGUUUCAAACCAAUAUUCGUUUUCUUGGUUUCAAUAUUUGUCAGUCGCAAAUCUCCCCAAUUGAUCGAGUUAUCCAGUUUGCUGAUAAGUUCCCUGAUCAAAUUCUUGAUAAGAGUCAACUUCAGAGGUUUUUAGGAUCCCUAAAUUAUAUCUCUGACUUCUAUCAGAAUCUGAGAAAACAGUGUAAGCCCCUAUUUGAUAGGUUGCAGAGUAAUCCUCCUCCUUGGUCGUCUACUCACACUGAAGUUGUUAAACAGAUUAAAUCCCAUGUCAAGACACUUCCCUGUCUUGGUAUUCCUUCAGUUGAUUCAUUCAAAAUAAUUGAAACCGAUGCCUCUGACAUAGGUUAUGGUGGCAUUCUUAAGCAAAAAGUCAGUCCUAGUUCUCCAGAACAAAUUGUUCGAUUCCAUUCUGGAACCUGGACUCAGUCGCAGCAUAAUUACAGUACUAUUAAAAAAGAAAUUUUAGCUAUUGUAUUAUGCAUUAGUAAAUUUCAAGAUGAUUUGCUUAAUCAAAAGUUUUUAAUCCGAGUUGAUUGUAUGUCUGCAAAACAUGUUUUAGAAAAAGAUGUUCAAAACAUUGCAUCUAAACAGAUUUUUGCACGAUGGCAAAGUAUAUUAAGUAUAUUUGAUUUUGAAAUUGAAUAUUUGAAAGGCAGUGAGAAUUCUGUUCCUGAUUUUCUCACUCGAGAAUUCUUGCAGGAUGCACAAUGGCUCCCAAGAAAGACAAACAAAAAGCAGUAGCCAGUCAACCCAAGUUGCCCAAGUCGCCCAAAUCAACCCAGUCAUCCCAGUCGCUCAGAGUCCUUCCUUCCUCCAUGAGUCAACCUAAGCCAGAGUUGCCCAGGCAAAUAGUUCCAUAUCCGGGUCACCCCCCAUUAUCAGUUGCCACUCCAAUUUCAGUUGCAAACAGAUUUUCCUCUUUAGGAUCCACAGUUGGCCAAAUUCGCCCCAGUUAUCAAUCCACCUUAAUUUCCAGUUAUGACCCCUUUGCAGUUGAGAUCCCUGCAGAGCCAUCAGUUGUGCCAUCAGUUGUCCACAAAAAAUCGUCUCCUUAUUUGCCUAAAAGUAAUUCUCAUUUAUUUGUCAUUGAGUCCACAUAUGAUAUUCAUGCAAAUCCAGUAGAAAUUGCCAAACACUAUUUCCCUCCUGGAUUUCAUUAUAUGCCCCAGAGUCCAUAUAAGUCCCUCAAGUACUAUAGAGAUAUAUUACUUGAGACACAAUCAGUUGAAAUUAAGCCGAUAAAGGAUCGGGAUCAUCCUGAAACCAUUCUUUAUCAUUCUCUUUAUAUUCAUCAAAUUAUCAGUCAACAAUCUUUCAGUAGCCAUCCUUAUGAGUUGAAAUUUCUUAUGUCAAAAUUACAAUAUAAUUAUUCGGAUUAUAUUGAAGCUUGGUAUACUAUCUUUCUUCACCAAUCUGAAGAUUUUAGUCAUUCCUGGUUUAUUAAUUUUGAUAAUAAGUUCAAAAGCCCAUUCCCCUACUGGUUUCUUCACUGGUGGGAAAAAUAUGGUCCAGUUGAUGAAAUUCUUCCAGUAUCAGUUCUUGAGUUGAUCCGCCAUUUUACUAAAAGAGCCAAGUUUUCCCUAGUUGAUUUAUUCUUUCCCAAACAGUUGCUGUUUAUUGCCAGAUACAAGGUACCUUGGAUCCUUAAAUGGUCCUAUGCCAUCACCAAGGACACCCGUGUAUUUGCCCGCCAAUUCUCAAUCAAAUGGUGGGACAAGUUUGAAGUUGACAGAAUUGCCAAAUACGUCUACAGUGACCUCCCCCGGGAGCCAGUUGCUCACCCUGUAUCUCCUACAGGCUCAGUCAGAUCAUCCUUAUCAAUCGAAGGAAAAUCUAAAGCUGAGCUCCAGGAAAUUGCACGCCAGCUGAUCAUCCAGGCUUCUCAGAUGGAUGAUGAUGAGGACAAUGAUUCUCCUCCAUCGUCUAGUUGCCAACCCAUGCUGAGUCCUGCCAAGACAAAGUCAUGGUUCGAUGACAGCCAGGACCCCUAUGAUGCCUACGACCUAGGGGAAUCUUCUCCAUAAUUGCCUCAGUUGCCGACAAGCAAGCCUCGUUGCCAAUUUGUCAAAAGUAGUUGCCGACAGACCACUCUGUCAAAAGAAGUUGCUAGAUCACGUGAAAGCAGCGGACAAAGCAUCUCUGCUUUUACUUUUGUCAGAUCACCAAGAAGCAGCAGACAAAGCACUGUUUGCUUUUUGACAAUCCACCGAAAGUAGCCGAAAGCAUCUGCAGGAGUCAAAGUUACCUCUACAGUUGCUAAAGUUGAAUCAGGUUGAACAUCCGUGCCUCUACAGCUGUCCAACCAUAGUUGCUUUUGUAAACCAUAGUUGAAAGUUGUCUUUAAAUUCAGGCUUCGGCCUCAGUUGUAGGCAGAACUGGUUUUACCAGCUGCAUUUUAUUUUCCUAGUUUUAAAGAUUCUCUCUGAAACACCUUUAGAGAAAUCACGCUUGUACAUAGUCUAAGUGUGUUAAGUUUGCAGUUGCAACCUCUGUGAGUAUAAUAAAAGUUGCUAUUUUUAAAUUAUUCUAUUAUAUAUAUAUAUAUAUAGAUGAAAGGUAUGCAAAAAAUCAUCAGGCACAUGAAAUGAUUGGUACUGAAGGGGCACUGAGAGGAGAAGCAAUGAGGGCCACUAGCUUGUACCAAAUCACAUGGGUUUGUUUUCGUGCUCAUGUAACCCUUCCGCAAGAGAUUUCUCAUGAAAAUGAUCAAACUCUAUCCUUGUGUAGAAAUAGGAUUCCCUACCUAGCUAGCUCCUCUGGUUAACAGACAACAAAAGGGACCACCAUGUUCUUGAAAAAUGAAUUCAUUGCGCCUCUGGUUAAUUAACAGUACUGCAUAUGGUAUGCCCUACAACAAAAACUUGUUAGCUUGUGUGAUAAACUAGUAGUCUCUUUCUUUUUCAUCUUUUUAUAAAUGCUGCUUCAAAAGACAAGAAUUUGUGGUGCUAUGAGAAUAUACAUGGACCCUCGGAUGCUCUAUGAUUUGGUUGGUUGGGAGCACCAAACCACCCCUUGCAUGUGGCUUUGUCUUUCAUCUAUGAUAUUCAGGCCCAACAAGCAAGGGAAGUCUUUCAUUUGUUUGAAGAAUUGAUACUUACUGAGAAUGCAGUAGGUAAUGAGUACAUAUCUAAAAAGCAUAUGAUAUCAAGAGAGUGCUAAUCUGUAGCAAUUAUAAAUGUUGGAUACAUACUUUUUACUUAAAAGUAAAACAUACUCAUAGACUUGCUGUAUAUAUUCCUUGUCUCUCAAGGACUUGAUUCUUGCCUAGAAUAGGAAAUCCUUUGUGUAGACACCAAGCAAAGCAUUGUAUAUAAUUAUCACAUGAUUGUUCAAUGAAAAUCAUCGAGAAUAUUCAAAACCUUUCAUGGUAUCAAGAGCCUGAGACUCACAGUCCUCGAUCCUCAAUUUUCUUGUUCCCUGUCUUUUUUUUUUCUUUUUUUUUUUUUGGCACCAUGGCUUCUUCCUCCUCUAUUGAUUUUCCUGGCAUUCAUCAUGUUAUCUCCAUUCGUAUCAAGCGUGAUAAUUAUUUGACAUGGCUUGCUCAAAUUGUUCCUAUCCUUCGCAUCCGCCGCUUACUCAGCUUCGUUGACGACACUUCUCUAUGUCCUCCGACCAUUCCUGACCCAAAUGCUAAGGCCGAUGAAUUUUCUUUUCUGUCUCUCCUCCCCAACCCAAAGUAUGAUGAUUGGUGUUUACACCAUAAUGAACCGAGCAGACCCAGCACCAAAGUGACUAGUACCAAGGCAGCCACGCCUUCUCCUGUGCCGAAGGAAGACACACUUCCGAGGUGCCAGACACCAUAAUGAACCGAGCAGACCCAGCACCAAAGUGACUAGCACCAAGGCAGCCACGCCUUCUCCUGUGCCGAAGGAAGACACACUUCCGAGGUGCCAGACACCUACCGAAGCUCCCAGCUGCCAAACCUAAUCUCCAGGACACGUGUCGCCACCACGACGACUUGCACAAAGUCCCACAUCGGAACUUUGUGCAAACCUCCUACUUUCACCUCCCUAUAAAUAGGGAACAGUACCCAGGUAAAAAGGGUAACUAUUCUCCCACUUUUACUGUUACUCUGCCAGAAUUACUACUUGUAACUGACUUAGGCAUCGGAGAGCCUUCGGCCGGCACCACACCGAUGUCCGAAGCUUAACGAUUGCUUCUCCCACUUUGUCUUCUGCAGGUUUCCCAUCAACCUAUAUUUCACCAAGGGCCUCAGCUCUCUUCCCUACCGAAGACCCCGCAUACCUAAUCACUAAGUUGGACUCACUAUUGGCCGGGCCAUUUUGAGCAUCAACAAUUGGGUCCAGAAAGAUCAGCUUGUUUUCUCUCUCUCAUCAACGGUUCCUUUCACCAUAAAGUUCUCACCACCAUAGCUUCCAAGACCACCGCGUGUGACACUUGGGUAGCCCUUGAAACUCGUUUUGCUUCUCCAAAUCAGAAUCGUCUUCUUCAACUUCACAGUAACUUGCUUCGCACAACCCGUGGUGAAUCUUCCAUCACUGAUUUCCUUAAUCGUAUUAACUCGAUUGACGAUAACUUGGCUCUAGCAGGUGCUUCAGUUGCUAACUCUGAUCUCCUUGUUGUGGUUACGAACAACGUUUGUCCUCUUUAUGAAAAUACCAUUGCCGAUACUCAAGCUCGUGAGAAACCCAUCAAUAUGCCUGAUCUUGAUGCUUUCCUCUUGUCUGUGGAACGUCGCCUGUAAUUAUCUUCUUCUCUGGUCAUCUAUUCUGGUGCGACAGCUAUGGAAGCUUCCCACGGUGGUCUCGGUGGACGCGGUUUUGGCGAUCGCGCUGGGUUUGCUGGUCGUGGUCCUGAUCUUCGCAACUCAUUUUCUCCCUCACGACCUGGUUUUACUUCUGGUCGCGGUUUCCCUGGCGCUUCUUAUGACGCCUCUAGUCCUGCCUCACAUCAACAACGUUUUGUAGCAAUUUUGAGCCGAGUGUUCUUGGCCCACCUCCUUCUGGUUCUACUGCUUCCUCUUUUGGGCCUCAUUCUGCCUGUGGGCCUCUUCAAUGUUUCAAUUGUCAUGGUUUUGGCCACAUCGCAGCUGUCAGUCCUUCCAAGAUGUCUUCUGUGCCUUCUCCUCCGUCUCGUCUUCAAGACAUGACUGCUCAAUAUCCUUCACAUGGUGGCCAUCAACAGUGGGUUGCUGAUACCGAUGCAAACACUCAUUUUACUAAUGACCUGAGCUGCUUAUCCCUUGCUAGACAGUAUCAUGGUUCUGACAAUGUUGAAGGUGUGCUUGGUGGAAUAGGUUUGCCUAUUAAAAAUAUUGGUCACUCUCAUUUCUCUCACCUUAAUUCUUCUUUUCAUCUUAAUGAUAUUCUUCAUUGUCCCGAUGCAUCUCUUCCUCUUUUAUCUAUUCAUAAAUUUCCUACUAACAAAAAUUGUUUCUUCACUUUUUUUCCUGAUUGUUAUUUUAUCCAGGAUUUGGGGACGAGGAAGACACUUUUCUUGGGCAAGAGUAGUAAUGGCCUAUAUCCCUUUUCGUUUACUCCGAAUGAGUUUUUUCAAGUUUUGCGUGAUCGCGUUGCUUUACUAGGUGUCUGUGUUGACCACUCUAUGUGGCACUCUCACCUUGGUCAUCCUGCUUCGUCUACCAUUCGAGAUGACGUGCGAGUCAAGCUAUUGAAGUCUCGGAAGAACAACGAGCCUUUCGUGGAUGCGAAUGAUCUUGAUGCUAGGAUCAUCACCUUCCGUCCUUUUUACUUCUCCUUGGGCUUCAAAUUCCCGCUGUCAAAGCUUUUCAAGGAGGUGUUCUGCGCCAUGGGGUGUGCUCCGAGCCAGUGUACUCCAAACGCUUACCGAGCGAUCAUGUGCUUUGAGAAUUUGAGUCGUUUCUUCAUGUUGGAGCUGACGGUGCGAGAGUUCUUUUAUUUUUUCGAAGUGAGGCACUUCGAGCAGUAUGCCCAAGUUCGCGUCUACAAGGCCAAGCUGUUCAACAGUCUUAGUCAAGGGGAUCACGCUUGGCAUGACGACGUGUUGGAGGUCAGCGGACGGUGGGAAGGCGACGUCGGUGACAGCCCACUUGUUCCCAUCACCUAUUGCGAUGGUAUGUCUCUUUGCAAUUUUUGAUGCGCUCCUGUUAUUUGAAUUUCUUGAAGUGUGGCUGACUAACUUCUGUCUUCUGCUUGCAGUGAGUGACAUCAGCAAGCAAUUGGAGCUUGGGCCGGACAUGGCUAAGGUCCGUCGUGUUUUGAACAUCCCUCUAAGGUUUUGCGAGUGACGCUGGCUGUUGAGUGAGUACCGGGAGGAAGACGGUGGUUUGCCCCCUGCCGAGGAUGUCGAAAGGUGGAAGCAGAACGGUCCUGACCCUGAUGAUCUGCUUGGCGGACAAGAAGAAUGUUCUGCUGAAUCUCUCUCAAAGAGAAAAGCUGCUGCCAAAUCUUCAAGAGGUGAAGCUACUUCUUCGCACGCGAAGGAUGGGUCUCAUUCGAGGAAGAAACCAAGGCUUCCUUCUGCUGAGAAGACUCAAGUAGGGUAUGUUCCCUUAUCAUCUGCCAGGGUCAAGCAUCUCGUGGGUGCAGAUAGUACGAAGGUUGGUGGUAUGCGCGGUAUUCGGGGUGUUCUACACGAGCCUCCUGCUGACACGCUCGACAACCAUGAUAUGUUUCGUGAAACGGCUCGUGCUCGACCUAGUUCUGUCGAGCGUCAAAAAGAUGCAGGCAUUCCUCCUAGAAGUUCAAGUCGUCUGCAUCGGUCAAAAGAUGGAGAUCGAAACGGGAGGUCUGCUCAUGAUCCAGCAUUAUUGACUCCUUUGGAGAUGAAGUUAGCGGAAGCUAAGAAGAUGAGAGAGUCAUAUGCCCGAGUUAAGGGUUUUUCCUCCACGUCGGCAGUUGGUCCUAAGGUGAACUAGCCUAGCUCUGUAGGGGAUGCGAUCUGCUUAAGACGAACUUCCUAUCAAAUCCGUCGUCCUGUGCUGAGUUGGUUGAUCACAUCCAUCAGGCUGGCGAUCUUGGCACUUUCUCAUGUCUUUCCUUGGAAAAACAAAGGGAAGCGUCAUUCCAUCUGAUUCAAAAAGGACUGAUUUUUGCUGCUGAGACUAUUCGGAACUCAUCUGGUGUUGCCCCCUCUUCUGCCCAACUCAGCGAGUUGGAGAAGAAGAAUGCUGAAUUGGCCAGCCAGCUUUCCGCCGAGCAGGCCCGCUACGAGAAGAAGACGUCUGAUUUGAGGGCGAUGAUAUCUAGGCUGAAAAGCUCCCUUACCGAGAAGGAUUCCGAGCUCAACUCUUCCGCUGCUGAUUUGGUAGUCGAAAAGAUGCCUUCUUUCAUCUUGAGCGUAAGAAUGCGGACAUCUCCCUUAGCUAUGACAAACUCCUGGCUAGAUUUCAUGCCUAUCAUAAGUCUGCUAAAGAAUCCAAGUCUGAAGCCACCAUAGAUGCGUACAAAUUGCUACCUGCAUUGCGCAAAUGAGACUGAUUCCUUGUAUGCGAUUGAUGAUGUAGACAUCGAGAUGCUCUGCCCCGACUCACCCCCUAUGGAAGGGGGAAUUGAAGAGCAGGUAACCAGAGAGGAUGAAGCAGAGGUAGACGCAGUAGACAAGAUGAUGGCAGAUGUCAUGGUUCAGGCAGAUGGAGUUGCUGAAGACGUAGCUAGUCAGGUGGAUGCCGAAGAGGCUGCAGCUUAAAAGUCUUCUGCUGGCGUCUCCAAGUAGAUGAAGACUCUUUUUUGUUUCUUUUCAGCUUUUGUAGUUUGCUUUUUUGUUUAGAAUAACUGGUCUUAUUUGACCAUCUUCUUUUUGUUAAACUUGGCCGGUUGGUCUGUUUGUUAUGAAAAUUUCAGUUACAUUUUCCAACUUCAACUUGCAUAUUUGUCUUGUGAACUGCUUGAGUAACCAUCCUAUGUUUUAAUUGCACGUCCUCCUUUAGAGAUUUGUGAGUACCAGGGUCCCCCUUGAAGGACUCCGGGCAUGCACUGCAAAUCCCAUAGGAUGAUUCCCCUUAGGAAGUUGGCGAGCACCAGGAUCCCCCUUGAGAGACUCGUGUGUGUUCUGCACAUCUCUAGGAUGAUUUCCCUUAGGAAGUUGGCGAGCACCAGGAUCCCCCUUGAGAGACUCCGGGUGUGUUCUGCACAUCCCGUAGGAUGAUUCCCCUUAGGAAGUUGGCGAGCAUCAGGGUCCCCCUUGAGAGACUCCGGGUGUAUUCUGCACAUCCCGUAGGAUGCCUUGGUCGUCGCCCUGCGUCUCCCGUAGGACGCUACUUAUGGGCAACUACAUGAUUAUCUCGCCUCCCUUAGGAAACGGAUAGGAACCUAGAUAUUUCCCGCAGGAAGCAUGGAGACCUCCUUUUAAGAAAUUCCUGACGCACCCUGCGUCUCUCUUAGGACGCUUUUUUAGCGGGCUACGUCUCCAAACGGACGCGUUUUGUCAUCACCCUGCGUCUCCCUUAGGACGCUCCUUAUGGGCAACUGUGUGACUAUCCUGCCUCUCUUAGGAAACAGAUAGGAACCUGGAUAUUUCCCGCAGGAAGCAUGGCGACCCCCUUUUAAGAAACUCAUGGCGCACUCUGCGUCUCCCUUAGGACAUUUUUUUAGCGGGCUGCGUCUCCAAACGGACGCUUUUAGUCGUCGCCCUGCGUCUCCCUUAGGACGCUCCUUAUGGGCAACAGUGUGACUAUCCUGCCUCCCUUAGAAAACGGAUAGAAACCUGGAUAUCUCCCUUAGCAAAUUCCUGGCGUACCCUGCGUAUCCCGAAGGACGCUGCUUAUGGGCAAAUAUUGUGUUUCGUGGGCAGAUGAGACAUUUUGGAAUGAGAAACUGAACUUAUAUUGAUAUCAUAAGAUUACAGUCCUUUAUUCAAAAAUGGAAACAACUUGGUACAAAACUUAGAACUUCUAGCAGUCAGGAGGAGGUGCUACGGAUAAUACUUUCGAAGAUGGUGAGCAUUCCUUUGUCAUGGUAUUUCCUUCCCCUCCAUAGUGUCGAGUGUGUAGCUUCCUCUACCCCCAGACCGGCUGAUCAUGUAAGGACCCUCCCAGUUAGGAUUCAUCUUUUUUGACCCUUGCCUCGGUGUAGUAAUGAAAGUCUUUCUUAGCACGAGGUCGCCUGGUUGAAACUGUCUGACCUUAGCUCUUUUGUCGUGGUAAGACUUCAACUGUUGCUGAUAAGAGGCGACCCGGAUAAUGGUCUUCUCACGUUCGCCUUCAAGUAAGUCGAGGUUGAGCCUCAUCUGCUCGGAGUUCUGAUCAUCUGAUGUGGGGUGGUAUGAUCGCUUCUAUUCCAUAGGCGAGGGAGAAUGGGGUUUUACCAGUCGAUCUUCAUUUGGUGGUGCGAUAAGCCCAUAGUACUCCGGGGAGUUCAUCCACCCAUUUUCCUUCUGCGCCUUCCAGCCUUUUCUUCAAGCAGUCCAAUAUGACUUUGUUGGAUGCCUCGACUUGUCCAUUUCCUUGUGGAUACCUCGGGGUGGACAAGUGUUGCUUGAUCUUGUAUUUCGCAAAAAAGGUGGUGAUCUACUUGCCAAUGAACUGUGAGCCAUUAUCUGUAACCAGCGACUGUGGGCAGCCAAACCGGCAUAUGAUGUUUCUCCAGAUGAAUCGCUCCACAUCGGCCUCUUUAGUAGAGGAUAGAGCUUCGGCCUCUUUAGUAGAGGAUAGAGCUUCGGCCUCAAUCCAUUUAGUAAAGUAGUCGGUGGCGAGGAUCAUCAUUUCUUUCUUGGCGGGCGCUGGUGGCAAGGGACCCACUAGGUCGAUGGCCCAUUGCAUAAACGGCCAUGGACUGUUUUGCGGAUGAUAGACUUCGGCAGGCAGGUUAGGGAUCGGCUUGUAUCACUGACAGCGAUCACACUUCUUGACAUAUUCAGCGCAGUCGUGACGCAUGGUAGGCCAGAAGUAUCCUAUGUUUAGAGCUUUCUGGGCGAGUGACCUGCCCCCAGAGUGGUUGCCACACUCGCCGUCGUGAAUUUUACAGAGAACCUCAAGUGUUUGAGGGUACUUUAUGCAGGUGAGAUGAGGGCCGGAGUAUGAUCUGUGGAUGAGCUUGGUACCGUGCAUGUAGUAUCUCGCGGCCUUCUGCUGGACCUUUCUAGCUUCGGACUUGUCCGGUGGCAGGUUUCCAUUCGUCAAAUAGUCGAUGAUGGGGUCUUGCCAACUAGGGUCCUCGUCAAUCUGCAUGGUAUCGAUUAGCUCUAUUUCUUCAAUGCUUGGUCAGUCAAGGUGUUCGACCGGGAUGGAGAGUCUGAACUAGGUAUCUAGCGCUGAUCCUAGGCUUGCCAAUGUGUCUGCAUGAGCGUUCUCUGCCCGGGGCACUUGUUGGAUGGUGAAGGUGGGAAAUGCCUUCAACAGCUCUUGGACUUUGUCAAGGUGCAAGAUCAUCUUUGGGUGCUUUGCCAUGUAUUCACCUGAGGCUUGAUUCGUGAUCAAUUGUGAGUCUGAGUAGAUAGCUAGCUUUUUGAUUGCGAGCUCUUUUGCCAAGCGUAGGCCGGCGAGCAAUGCCUCGUAUUCUGCCUCGUUGUUCGAGGCCGGGAAGCCAAGCAUAAUAGCUUGCUCCAACAGGGUUCCAUUCGGAGUGGUGAUGACGACCCCUGCUCCAGCUCCUCUUUGGUUCGACGUUCCGUCUACGCGCAACUGACACAUGUCUCUGGGUUGGCUAGGUUCUGCGGAGGUCCCGUCUGCUUUUGAACUUUCCCUCUUUUGGUUGACCAACUUCACUUUUUCGGCUUGAUGGGGUGAAUUCUACGAUGAAGUCUGCUAAAGCCUGGGCUUUUAUAGCAGUUUUUGGCCGGUAGAGGAGGUCAUAUUGGCUUAGCUCUAUAGCCCACUUCAUGAGUUGCUGAGAAGCAUCAGGGCUGUGGAGGAUUGAUCUCAAAGGAAAGUCGGUCAUGACGAUGACUCGAUGAGCUUGGUAGUAGGGUCGCAGCUUUCUCGCAGAAACUACAAGAGCCAAAAUAAGUUUCUCCAACUUCGGGUAGCGAGUUUCUGCAUCGAGGAGAGCUUUUGACGUGUAGAAUACCGGAUGUUGGGCCCCCAGCUCUUCUCGAAUGAGAGCUGAACUGAUAGCUGAGUUGGACACUGCCAGCUAUACAAACAAGUUCUCACCAGAGACUGGCUUUGAGAGCAGAGGAGGUGAGUUAAGGCAAGUCUUCAGACUCUGGAAAGCUACUUCGCACUCCUCGUCCCAUUUGUCUCUUUGUCCUUUCUUCAAAGCUUUGAAGAAUGGUCUGCACUUGUCAGUUGAUCUCGAGAGGAAUCGGUUGAGGGCCGCUGCUCUGCCCGUCAGACUUUGUAUUUCCUUCACCGUGGAAGGUGAUUUCAUCUCGAGAAUGGCUUUGAUUUGACGUGGGUGUGCCUCGAUACCUCGUUGCGUGACUAGGUAUCCCAAGAAUCGGCCAGAGGAUACCCCAAACGUGCAUUUACUUGGAUUCAACUUCAUGCAAUAUUGGCGGAGCAAGCUGAAUGACUCAUCAAGAUUUCCAAUGUGAUCUGCACGUUUUGGGGCUUUGACCAGCAUGUCAUCCACGUAGACCUCCAUAGUUUUGCCGAUCUGCUCCUUGAAGAUUUUAUUUACAAGCCUUUGAUAGGUUGCUCCGGCGUUCUUCAGCCCAAAGGGCAUGACCUUGUAGCAGUAGGUCCCUCUCUCGAUGAUGAAAGAAGUUUUCGCCUUGUCAUCCUCGUGCAUCAGGAUUUGGUUAUAGCCGGAGUAGGCGUCCAUGAAGCUGAGCAGCUGAUUGCCCGAAGUGGAAUCCACGAGUUGGUCGAUUCUCGGCAAUGGGAAGUUGUCUUUAAGGCAUGCCUUGUUGAGGUCUGUGUAAUCGACGCAAACUCUUCAUUUACCCUUUUCUUGUUUUGCCACCAAAACAACGUGGCAAGCCAUUCUGAGUAGGAGACCUCUUCGAUGAAGCCGGCAGCUAGGAGUUUGUCAAUCUCAGCUUCGAUGAUAGCGACUCGCUUGGGUGCGAAGUUGCAUCUCUUCUGCGCCAGUGGCUUGCAUGCGGGGUUGAUGUGGAGUCGGUGACAAAUGAUGUUCGGGUCAAUGCCAGGCAUGUCUGAUGGCGACCAUGCGAACAUGUCUUUGUUCCUCUGGAGGAAUGUGGUAAGCUCCACAUUUUCUUCUGGGCUUCAGCGCGAGCCGAUCUGCGCUUUCCUGUCUGGCUGGUCAAGAUCCAAGGGUAUUAACUCGACGUCCUCCUCGGGUUUCCAUCCUUCUUCCGGAAAGACCUCUGGACAGAUUUCCUCAGCUUGGCCCUGACGCUUUGAUUUCUAUAAGAUAGCAAGAUUCGGUUGCUCAACCUCCUCCAGAUCCGCCUGGCUCACAGGGAGAAACUACGCUUGUUUGCCUUUCUUCAGCCCUUGGGCGGAGCAUUUCCUCGCCAUUGCUUGAUCGCUGUUGAUUUGGCCGACACCUCCCGUAGGGAUUGGGUACCGAAUUUUCUGAUGUGUGGCGGAGGUGAUGGCAUUGAUCUUGCCAAUCCAUGGUCUGCCCAGGAUACCGUUGUAAGGUGAGACCUCAUUAAUGACCAUGAAUGUUUGCAAGCUGAUCACCAGUGGGGAGUAAACGUCGAGGUCUAUCGUGCCCACGGUAAUCGUUGUUGCACCAUUAAAACCAGUCAGCAAUCUGACUAACUUGUUGAUCUUUGUCUCCAAGCCCAUCUGUUGGAUGACCGCCAGUUGUAGGAUAUUGGCUGCGCUGCCCUCAUCUGCAUGGAUUCGGUCGACCAUGGCCUGAGCGAUUUGAAUGCUGAUGACAAGUGCGUCGUUAUGUGGCGUGUCGAGGCCGAUCAGAUCUUUCUUUUGGAAGCCGAUCACAGGAUCGUCUUCUGCUAGUGGAGGGUCGAUCGAGACUUGGGAGAUCACAGUGGCCUGUUUGAUCUUCCUCUUCUUUUCUUUGCUGGUCAGCCCAGACUCCUCGAAGUCGGCUAGGAUUGUGUUAAUCCUUAUGACCUUCUGAGGCGGCUCCUUGGCGGUGUCUCGAUCUUCAAUCCGUUGGAUGGCCUGCUUCGCAACGAAUUCAGUGCAGUGGCCUUCUCUCAUGAGUUCUUCAAGAUGCGCUUUCCAAGCGGAGCAGUUGUUCGUAGUGUGCUCGUGCGUUUCAUGGAUGGCAUAGUAUUUGCUAGUGUCCCUCUUGUCCGGAUCUCCCUUCAAAGGUGGUGGUCUUCUUACCCAAGGUUUGUUCUUCACUUGGGCCAAGAUUUGAUGUAUGGGGAUGGUGAACUUGGUGUAGUUCUCUCCUCCCGUAGCCUCCCCUUGUGGGUGCGACCUACGCUUGUCUUUGUUUCGGUUGUUAAAUCCGUCGCCUCUUUGACCUGCCCGCUUAGUUGGCUGAUCUUCCUGCUUUGUAGACUUCUUUGCGGCGAUUCGAUCGUCAUCCCAGAGCGCGUAGCGUUCCGCAGUCUCGUAGACCUCUGCCAGCGUCUGGCUGGGAGUGAUAGUUAGCUCGUGGUACAAGUCGUGCUCAGCUGGAAGGCCUUUCUUGAAAGUGGAGGACGCGAUUCGGUCGUCACAUCCUACAAUGUUUGCCUUUUCUGCCUUGAAUCUCUUGAUGUAACCUCGAAGGGAUUCGUCAGACUUCUUGCGCAGGUUGUACAGGUGGUCAAGGUUCUUCUUGAUUGUCCGGUAAGAGGUGUAUUCUUUGGUGAAGACGUAAGCUAGCUCCUUGAAGCUGCUGAUCGACCUGGAUGGUAGGGUGUGGAACCAGUCUUGGGCUGCUCCUCGCAAGGUUAUCGUAAAUACCUUGCACAUUAGCGCGCCGUCAGCCUGGUGGAGGAUUAUAACACUUUUGAAGUGUUUUAAGUGGCUCUCGGGAUCGGAAUCCCCUUUGAAGUGUAUGAACGAGGGUGUCGAGAAUUGCUUCGGGUGAGCGGCCUGCUCGAUAUCGAGGGUGAAAGGCGUAGAGCUCACCUGGUCCAUCUCCUUACGUAGUGAAUCCUCGAAGUUUCCUCCGGUCUUCAAGUCUCGAAGUCGGUCAUUCACGAGCUUCUCAACGUCUUCUGUGCACAUUGCUGGUCGGUUAUGUUGGCGACCUCCACGAUAUUGACUGACUUCCUCAUUGUCCUCCGAGGGUCGACCUUCUCGCCUGAGCUGCCUAGUUGAAGUGUUGGUGGACUGCGCCUGCGAAAGAUUCUCUAUAGCUUGUCGACGAGAAUUGGUUCUUCGAGAGUGAGUAACGGAGCGUCUUUCCUCAUGGUCCUCAUUGUGAGGGUUAUCCAACUGGCCUCCCUGGGGGCCUAGCCUUUUGAGAGCGCUUCUCUGUGAGUUGACAGCUGAGCGCCUUUCUUCGCGAUCCUCAUUGCGAUGGUUGUUUGGCUGACCUCCUUGGGGGCCUAGCCUUUGAUGUACAUUUCCCUAGGGGCCCAAGCGGGCGCGGACGUUGAGUCGUCUACCGGCGCGUUCGUCCAUCCUUCUCUCCUUGCCCGGUGGUCCAUGGCCAAGGUUCUGAGCAAAGCCUAUUUGGUUGAUGAGCUGCCUCAUUAGAUUGCUUUGGUCGUCCACUCUCUGAGCUAGCUGGUCAACUCUUAGAUUAAGGUCUGCUUGACUUCGUGGAUCGGGAGGAGAGAAGUGUGUGGAGCCCAACUGCACACGGGCUAGGUUUUCAUUGGAGGUGUAUGCAGGAGCGUGCGUUGCGCGUGGAGGCAAUGGAGGGAAUGCUUGGAGUUGCUCCAAGACCGGCCCUAGGUCGGCAGUGGUAACGAGUCCACCUUGAUGGGAAGUUCCGCCAGGUUCGACGGCGAUGGCCGGUGCUGUGGUGAGAGGUGGCGGUGCCACCAUGUCGAUCGCGGGAUCGUGGGUGGAGUGGCUUUGGGUCGUCGCGGAUCUAACCAUCGCGGCGGCUUUGCCUCUUGUGUUCAUGCUUCCAACCAUGGUUGUUUGGAAGGCUUCGGUGGAUUGAAAAAUAGGAGGAACGGAUUCCUUGAGCACGCAUUGAGUAUACCUCGUGCUCUCAAUGAAAGCACCAAUUUGAGGGAGCAAAUUUCCCCACGAGAAUAUUCGCCCAAGAUUCCUUCGUCUUCUCCGCCUCUCUUUCUCCCUGCAAAACAGAUCGGAGUAAAAGACCACACCCGGGGGGUGUUGGCCAAAGGCCCUCCGAUGCCUAAGUUAGGUAGGGUAAUUCAAGGAAAACCGGGUGGCCGGAGCCGUGUGUGGUGGCCGGAGCCUUGUGUAAGAGAGAGAAAGAGAGGAGGUGGCUAGGGUUUUUGAGAAAUAAUUUCUGCAGAGCUUUAGUAAGAAUUUAGGCGUACCUCAACCAUUGUGUGUGGCUAUGCUUUUAUAGUAGUCUCGAAGGCUAGGGUUUCAGAGGAAUAAUUCCGUAGAUGGAAGGGAAUUAUUCCUCCCCUUUUUGGAAUUGAUUUGAUUAAUUAGGGAUUUGAUUAAUUAGGGUAAAUCAAAUCCCUAAUUGUGGUAGGUAUCAAAUCAAAUCCUGAUUCAAUUAGGCAACUCCUCAUUUAAUUGGGGAUCGUGGUAAUUAACCAAAUCAAUUCUCAACCUAAUUAGGUAAUGUUCAAUUUAAUUGGGUAAUUCCCAAUUAAAUUGAGUAAUUCCCAAUUAAAUCGAGUAACUCCCAAUUAGGUUGAUUAAUUCCCAAUUGGGUCAAAUAAUCCCCAAAUGGUAGGAAUUAUUUGACCUAUGGUUUGAUUUAAUUAGGUUCCCACAGGAACCAUGUAAAAAGUUAUAUGGUAAGCAUUUUAAUCAAAUUCUUGUGCAAAUCUACUACCACUUGGGGAUUAAAUAUAUAACAAGAGCUACAAGAAGACAAUACUAUAAAGCAAACCAUAAGACAAGAAAGGAUAAUGAUUUCAAAUAGAUUGUACAUUGCUCCUGGAGAACAAUAAAGAAGUUUACAUAGGUUUAAAAGACAGAAUUUGACUGCCCUUGGGUGGGGGGAUGAUAUUUGGAACAAUGGUUCUAGGGAAUUCAUGAUAUUAUCACUUGUCUGCUUCAUAAAUUUCUAUGUUUCUGCUCAGCCUAGAAGCAGUUUCAGGAUUUGAGAAGGUUUGCUUUCACCACAAGAUGUGAGUUGAUUCCAUGGAUGAGCAGUGGUAGCCUCUUCUUCAUCCCAACUCAGUGAGUUCUGAAAUGAGGAUGCUUUGGAUAUAAUCAUAUCCAAAUUCUUUCAUCUUGGCUCAGUGAGCUCUGAAAUGAGGAUGGUUCGGAUAGAUUGGAUGACCGAUUCGUAUACACUCACACACUCAAGCGGGAAGUGAGAUCAAGGAAGGUGUUUUCACUGCAGGGGAUUGUGAUACCUCCCAUGGGAUGAUCAUAUCCGAAUUCUUCUUCAGCUUGACUCAGCAAAUCCAGGAAUAAAGGCUCAUUCAAAUAUGAUAUCGGAAUCACAAACCGCUUCUUCUGGCUCUCCCCAACAUAGACUGCAAGGUAGCCUUUUGGGAUAUCUAAAGUCUUUGAAUCUGCUGUCUGGCUUGAACUAGAUAGAGAUCGAAUGAGACUUCUCUUUGCAUUAACAAUUGCAGGCAACCGGAAACCCAUGAUCUUAUAUAUUCUCAAAGGACAAAAGAAGAGAGGGAAUUCAAAGGACUUGGAUUUGGAAAGCAGAGAAAGCUUUGGUGCUUGAGAAGGUGAAGACUUGAGUUGCUCAUGAUGAACUUGGUCAUGUGUAUAUAUAGAUCAAGGGUAUCCAGAAAAUCAACAGCUACAUGAAAUUAUUGGUCUGAGAUGGGCUCCAAUGAGGGACACUUGAUUGUGAGAAAUCACAUGGGCUUGUCGUCCUUCUCACGCAACACAUCCUCGAAAGAUUUCUCACGGAACUCUUCCCUACCUCCUCUAGGUAACAGACAACAAAAGGACCACUAGAGGUGAUUCAAUCCAAAAGACUUAUGUCUGUUAGGUAAGUAGCAUUUAUGCUUGAGACAUGCACUUCUCUUUGUUCACACUAAAUCAACUGACCACAUAAUUGGACUAUUAAACUACAAAGUUUCUUGAAUAGGUCUGCUAAUGAAUUGCCCUCUCACUUCAUCAAAAGACCAACAACACUGCAUAUGUUGUGGUCCUACCCAACACUAAUACAAUUGUGUUGUGUGGUGCUAAAUAGCUUGCUUGGGAGCAGCAAGGCACCCUACAUGUGGCUUUGUAGUUACGACUCUGAUCUUCAGUCUCAGCAAACAAAGGAGGUAUUUAUUUCAUUUUGUUAGGCCAAUCUGGACUUAACCAGAAAACACUAUUGAUUUAAAUAGUUGACAUUACUUGAUCAAGAAAACUGAAGUUAAUAAAUUGAACUUAAGCUACUCGGUCUAAACUCAAUUUUUAAAAAACCAUUUUCCAUUACAACUCUUGGUUUAACAAAACCAUUGCCAGUCUUGUUUUAGGCAAGUUCGGCGAAAAGCCUACUAGAGAAAUCUAGAAAAUUCUAGAGAGAAGGAGAAGCUAGGUUGAUAAUCUCUUCUUGCCUUUGCUUAUGGCAACAACUGAAGAAGCCAUGUAAACUUGGCUUGCACUCUCUAGCAUAGGGAAAGUCGUGCAUAUAUAUUGUGCCAUUUUUUUAUGAAAGAAACUUAGUUGUUCGGCUCAGUGUCUCUCUAUAUUAACUCAUGAUGACUCUCCUCCUUAUUAUUCUUUCAGUCCAUUGAGAGAUGUUAAGCAUACUGUGCUUAAUAUAUUAUUAAAUUAUCAGAUACAGUCAUUUUGGCCCCAUGGAUAAAGGAAGUACAAAGUAAACCAUUAUACUUUCAUUUUCUGAAAAAUAUGCUGUCAUUGAUGAUUUUAUUUUAUGACAGAGCUACAAGUACAAUGAAAAAUAAGACAAGAAAGUGGAUCAGGAUUUAAAUUUGCAUUCCAAUAUAUUUUCCUGGAGAGUAACAAAGGUUACACAUCAGAAGAUCAUAGCAUCCAACCCAAAUGUGGAGAGGCCCAAGAUCUUUUAUACUACAAUGCACGUCUUUAAGUUCCGUAUGUACUCUCAAGAACAAUAGUUCAAAAUUUCAAUCAUGAUUUUGGACUAAAGUUUUUCAACGUCCAUAGUAUCUUCGUUUGUCGGAUUCAUGAACUUUUUAACUUUAUGCUCAGAUCACAAGCAGCUUCAGGCUUACAGAUUGCUUCCUCUCAGCACAAGAUGUAAGUCGACUCAGUGGACGAUCAAGAAUAGCCUCUUUCUCAUCAUUACUCAGUGAGUUCUGGAAUGAGGAUGCUUAUACAUGAAUGAAUUUGGAUCAUAGUUUCUUUUCUUUGGUGUGCACUCAUACACUUAAGCGGGAAGUGAGAUGAAGGAAGGUGUCUUCACUGCAGGGGAUUGUGAUACCACCCAUGGGAUGAUCCUAUCCAAAUUCUUCUUCAGCUUGACUCAGCAAAUCCCGGAACAAAGGCUCAUUCAAAUAUGAUAUUGGAAUCAAAAACCGUUUCUUUUGGCUCUUCCCAACAUCGACUGCAAAAUAGCCUUUUGGGAUAUCUAAGGUCUUUGAAUCAUCUGUCUGACUUGAACUAGAUAGAGAUCGAAUGAGACUUCUCUUGGCGUUAACAAUUCCAGGCAACCGGAAACCCAUGAUUUAGUAUUCUCAAGAGGACAAGACAAGAGGAAAAAGAUUGGCAAGGAAUUGGAAAAAACAGAGAGAGCUUUGAUGCGUGGGAAGGAUAGGACUUGAGUAGCUCAUGAUGAACCGAUCAUAGUAUAUAUAUAGCUGAAAGGUAUGCAAAAAAAUCAUCAGGUACAUGGAAUGAUUUGUACCGAAAAGGAACUGAGAGGAGAAGCAAUGAGGACCACUAGCUGUACGAUAGUCAAAGUUUACACUAGCUGUUAUCAUUCUGAGUUUAUCUCUUUCUCAGAUUAGGAAGAGGUACUCUUCUAGAGCAUUUAGCUAGAGAGAAUGAAUAGGAGAAUAUGAAAAAUGCACUGUUCUAUUGAUUUCUGCAAAACUGCAGCUUACAAAGUGUGACUGCUAGGAGAGAAAUGUGAUUCUCUUCUAACAGAAUUACAGCUGUCAUCCUAUUAGAUUCUUACACCUGUCAUAGCAAAUCUAAGCUAGAGAAUCCACCUAGACUAUGAUCUAAUGGCUCUCCUUACAUCAUUUAAAUAAGCUGACCAAAAACAGAACAAAUAGAGAAUAGCUUCAGCUCUAAGAAAUCUGCUGCAGGAUUAUAUUUCAACACUCCCUUCUAAUCCUUUAGCUGAUUUCACACCAAGCAAGCUUCUCAGCCUCACAAACCGAUCCUUAGGUAGAGCUUUAGUCAAGAUGUCUGCUAUCUGAUCUUCUGUUUUGCAGUAUAUCAGUUCAAUUUCUUUUGCUUGAAUGGCUUCUCUGAUAAAAUGAAAUUUCCUGCUGAUGUGUCUUGUCUUUUGGUGAUGGACUGGAUUCCUUGCCAUUGCAAUUGCUGAGGUGUUAUCACAUAGAAUCUGAGUCCCUUCUAUCUGUUCUUCACCAAAAUCUUCAAGCACAAAUCUCAGCCACUUAGCUUGUGAAGUUGCUUCUGCAGCACUCACAUAUUCAGCUUCGGCUGUAGAUAGAGCAACUGUGUUUUGCUUGAUGGAAGCCCAAGAGAACAUGCCUGAGCCUAGUGUGAAGGCAUAUCCUGAGGUGCUCCUCAUAUCAUCUUACUCCCAGCCCAGUCACUGUCACAGUACCCAAUUAGAGUAGCUGUCUUCCCUUUUGCAAACUCAAUUCCAAAAUCCAAUGUGCCUUGAAUGUAUCUCAGCACCCUUUUAGCAGUUCCCAUGUGUUUCUUUGAGGGAUUGUGCAUAAAUCUAGCAAGCAAGCUAGAUGCAAACAUGACAUCUGGUCUUGUGGCAGUCAGAUAAAGGAGACUUCCUACAAUCUGUCUGAAUUCACUUUCAUCUGCUGCUUCACUCCCAUCUUCUCUACACAAUUUCUCAUUCACCACUAAUGGAAUUGCCACUGACUUGCAAUCUCUCAUUCCAAACUUCUCAAGAAUUUUCAUGGCAUAUUUCUUUUGAUGAAUGAAAAUAUGCUUGUCAGUUUGUUCCACUCCCAUGCCAAGAAAAUGAUGCAACAGACCCAAGUCUGUCAUCUCAUAGUGUUGCAUCAUAUCUUGUUUAAAUUCUUCAAGCAUUUUAGGACAGCUUCCAGUGUAUAUAAUGUCAUCUACAUAGAGGGAGACAAUGAUAAUACCUGAGGUGUCACUAGUUUUGAUAUAGAGAGUAGCUUCACUUAAGCUUUUCUUGAAACCUGCAGUGUUGAAAUAGGCAUCUAUUUCAUCAUACCAGGCCCUUGGGGCUUGCUUCAGUCCAUAUAGAGCCUUGUUCAACCUGAACACCUUGGUUUCCUUGCUCUCUUGAACAUAUCCUUGAGGUUGUUCAACAUAAACUUCCUCCUUUAGAAUGCCAUUGAGAAAAGCAGACUUCACAUCCAAUUGAAAUAAGUUCCAUUCCUUUUGUGCUGCAAGGGCUAUCAAAGUUCUGAUGGUGUCAAGUCUUGCCACGGGGGCAAAUGUCUCAUUAUAGUCGAUUCCAGGCUUCUGUGAGUAGCCUUUAGCCGCAAGCCUAGCUUUAUUCUUCUGCACAGUACCAUCUAGGUUCAGUUUGACCUUGUAGACCCACUUAACACCAAUUACUGGUUUGUUAGAUGGCCUGUCAACUAAUUUCCAAGUAUUGUUCUUCUCAAUCAUCUCCAAUUCAGCCUCCAUUGCACAUCUCCAUGAUUCAUCCAAAUCUGCUUCUUCAAAGCUGUCAGGUUCUACAAUGCACAUAUUGCAUUGUGCCAUGAUGUCAUUAAUACUCCUCCACUUGUGAGGUGUGUGAUCAAACCUUUGAGUCUCAUCAAGCAUUUCUUCCCCUUGAGGUGCAAUUUCUUCUUCCAUCUACAUUUGAGUAUCCAAGAACUGAGAGUGAUCAUCUAAUACCCUCUGUUCAGUUUCUGCAGUAUCUUGAUUUCCAUCUGGCAUAGGUAUUCCCACAUCUGCAUUGCUAGGAUUCUCCCAUUUCCAUGAGGCUUCUUCAUCAAAAUAGACAUCCCUAGACAAGAUAAUCUUUCUUGUCUUAGGAUCAUACAGUCUAUAGCCUUUUUCACACAAUCCAUAGCCCACAAAAAUGCAUUUGUGACUGUUUUCUUCCAACUUGUGUCUCAAAACAGAAGGAAUAAGCACAUAACAUAGGCAUCCAAACACUUUCAAGUGUGCAAUACCUGGCUUUCUUCCUGUGUAGGCCUCAAAUGGUGUCAUUUUCUCAAGAGAUUUAGAAGGACAUCUGUUGAGAAGGUAGACUGCUGUAUGAACAGCUUCUGCCCAAAACUCAUAAGGAAGAUUCUUUUCAUGUAGCAUAGACUUUGCCAUCUCAAUUACUGUCCUGUUCUUCCUCUCAGCAACUCCAUUUUGCUGAGGAGAAUAUGCCACUGUCAGCUGCCUUUGUAUUCCAGCCUCACUGCAGUAUGCAAGGAAUUCAUUUGACAUGAAUUCUCCACCUCUAUCACUUCUAAGUGACUUCACUUUGUGUCCACUCUGCAAUUCUGUCAUUGCUUUGAACUUCUUGAAACAUUCAAAAGCAUUAGAUUUAUUUCUGAGAAAAUAAACCCAAGCCAUUCUUGUAUGGUCAUCAAUGAAUAAUAGGAAAUAUCUGUUUUCUGACAUUGAUGCAGUCUGCAUUGGACCACAGAUGUCAGUGUGAACUAAUUCUAGUGGAGACUGAGCUCUCCAAGUAGAUUUUGCAGGAAAUGAGUCUCUAUGCUGCUUUCCCAACUUGCAGCCUUCACACACUGCUAAGUCCUUCUCCAGACUAGGCAGUCCAUGAACCAUGUCUUGAUUUGCUAGCAUCUUGAUGCUUUGAUCAUUAAGAUGACCCAGCCUUUUAUGCCAAGUCUGCAAACUGUGAGUCACACUUGCUCUCAGCACCAACUGAGUAGCAGGUACCAUUGUGAGAGAGAAACUGUCACACCCCGGACCGGCUCCGCCGUAGCACGAUAUUGUCCGCUUUGGGCCCCCCUCUCUGCCCUCACGGUUUUGUUUUUGGGAGCUCACGAAGCAACUUCCCAGGGUGGUCACCCAUCCUGGGAUUGCUCCAGCCUCCCACUCGCUUAACUUUGGAGUUCUUACAACUCUGAAGCCAGUGAGCUCCCAAAAGGCCUCGUGCUACGGCGGAGCCGGUCCGGGGUGUGACAAUUUGGUAUCAGAGCCACUCUGCCGUGUGGUGCGAGUGUGCCGACGAGGACGUCGGGCCCUUAAGGGGGGUGGAUUGUAAGAUCCCACAUCAAACCAACGGAGAGGGGGGUGAUGUGCCUUAUAUGGCACACCCGCAUCCAUCUAGCACGAGGCCUUUUGGGAGCUCACUGGCUUCGGAGUGGUAGGAACUCCGAAGUUAAGCGAGUUGGAGGCUAGAGCAAUCCUAGGAUGGGUGACCCACUGGGAAGUUGCUCGUGAGUUCCCAGAAACAAAACCGUGAGGGCCAGAGAGGGGGGGCCCAAAGCGGACAAUAUCGUGCUACGGCGGAGCCGAUCUCGGGAUGUGACAGAAACACCUAUUGCUAGUCAUUGGAACCUUAGCUAUAGGGUUUUGCAGUGACCAAUCAUCAAAAAUUGUCACCAUUCCCUUUCCAAAUACUAAACAAUACCCAUGUUCCAUCAUCUGACCAACACUUAGCAAGUUCUCUUCUAAACCAGGCACCAACAUCACUUCUUGAAUGUGUUUUCUGCCUGAUUUGGUUUCUAUCACAAGAGUACCUUUUCCUGCAACUUGAACUGUCUCUCCAGUCCCCAUUUUCACCUUGGAAGUUACAUUCCUUCGAAUGUCUAUCAGUAGCCUUUCAUCUCCAAUCAUAUGGUUGCUACAGCCACUGUCCACAUACCAAGAGUUGCUCAUUUUCACAUCUGUCACAGCAUUGCAUGCAUAAAACAAUGUUCCAGUUUCUUCAACCUGAUUGGCAUAGUUCACCUUUUGCACAGAUUGAUUGUCAUGACAAUUUCUAACCAUGUGACCAAACUUUCCACAUCCUCUGCAUUUUGGUUUUCCUUCAAACCAGCACUUGCCAUAGUGCAGUUUUUCACAGUGCUUGCAGGGUGUUUUAGUUCCAUCAUUUGAUGCAUUUGGUUUGGUAUUUGAAUUGGACUUGUUAUUCCAAUUCUUCCUAUUUUCCUUCCAGUUCUUCUGAGACUUGUUACAUCCAGAAGAACUUCCAUUCUUAGAGCUUUUACUCUCAAUGUUCAGACUAGUGAAAGCCUUUUCUGUUGAAUUUUCAUUGUGCCUGUCUAAUCUGAGCUCAAAGUUCUUGAGAGAUGCAACCACUUCUUGAAUUUCAAGAGUGUCAAGAUCCUUUGAAUGCUCAAUCACAGAACAUAUAGAAUCAUAAGAUCUAGGCAAACUAAUAAGCAAUUUCUGCACAACUCUUUCUCUAGGUAACUCUUCACCAUAAUUCUUCAUUUGAUUUAUCAGAUCAAACAGUUUAGCAGCAUAAACAGAAAAUGAUUCACUAUCCUUCAUACGAGUGUAUUCAAACUCUCUACGUAAGCCUUGUAGUUUCACACUUCUUACCUGUUUAUCACCUCUAAACUCCUGCUUCAGGAUAUCCCAUGCACCUUUUGAGGUUUCUUCAUUCACUAUUCUGGGAAAAAUUUGGUCUGAGACUGCACCUUGGAUCAGUCCAAGUGCACGAGCAUCUUUCAUCAAGGUCUCAGCUGAUACAGAUUUCUCUUCUUCAGCAGCUUUAGAUCCCUCUUCCUUUCCUUCUUCCUUCGUUGGAUCUGAAGCAUCAAAGCCAUUUUCAACUAAAUCCCACAGUCCAUGAGAUUUCAGAAUGGUCUUCAAUCGAAUGCUCCAAAACUUAUAGUUUUCUCCAUUGAAUACUGGUGUACGAAGCUCAGAAGAGCUUGAUCCUGCCAUAUUAGACAUCAGACGCAGCUAGACAAGCUUCGUGAAGUUUUGAGUGAGCUCAAUCGUCAGCUCAGCCAAGCACCAGCUCCUUCUUCACAGAUUCACGCCCAAUAAACAAUCAAAACCUGGCUCUGAGGCCAUGUUAUCAUUCUGAGUUUAUCUCUUUCUCAGAUUAGGAAGAGGUACUCUUCUAGAGCAUUUAGCUAGAGAGAAUGAAUAGGAGAAUAUGAAAAAUGCACUGUUCUAUUGAUUUCUGCAAAACUGCAGCUUACAAAGUGUGACUGCUAGCACUACUACAAAAAGUGAAAAAGACGACCAGAAAACAACGACGGUCUAAGUGAAAACCGUCGUGGUUUUUAAAAAGACGACGGUUCUAAAAACACCGUCGUGUAAUACAACCUUAGACAACUAAAAAAUGGAGAUUCAAAUGGCUGUUCAAAAACAACGACGUACAUAAUUAAACAACCGACGUCUAUUUGAAACAGAUUUCCGCAGUGUAAAAUCAAUGCCAACAAAGAACAGCAGAAGUUAUGAAUCGACCGACGUAGAAAGUAAAGACGACGAUUUCAAUAAAAACCGCCAUUUUUACUCAUAAAAUAACACGACGAGGUUUUCGUAUAAGACGCCGUAUAAUUACAAACAAAUCCAUGGCUUUAAAAUACAAAAUAUCGCCGUAUUAAAUUAAUGUACAACGACGGAAAAUAUAAAUAUAUGGACGUCAUUCUCGUAUAGUUCUACGACGUUAUCUUUAAAUCGUACAAUAAAAUUUAACAUCGUAUUUAUUCAUUUUAUACGUCGUACAUGUCGUCUUAAUAAGAAUUUUUGUUAACAAUUUUUUUCUUUGAUUUUCUUAUCCUACGUCGGUAGAUCUACUUAAUGACAAGAAUUGAAAUAACCACGACGGUUUAUAUAGAAAACCGCCAACAUAAUCAGAUUUGUCUGAGAUCCCAAGGGUUACGAAAUCUUACCAGAUGGAACUCUGUUCCACAUCAUAAUCUUAACAGAUGACACUGAUUUGCAUUCAGAGAGACAAUUUUUUGGAAGUUGAUGAUGUGUGUGCGUUUGUGUAUCUACAAAUAUUAUACCUAACGUCGUUGCAAAUUUGCAAUCAGAGAGACAAUUUUCAACGACGGUUAUAUUAUACCUAACGACGUUUAAAAAACAAAUCAACGUCGCUAAACAAAUAUAUUAUGUCGUCUUAGUCUUACUUAAGACGACGAAAAACGACGACAGUAAUAAAAAACAGUCGUUGUUUUUAUAUUCUUAUUUUAUUUAAAUCUGUCCUCCAAAAAAGAAACUUUACAUAUUCCAGAACAUUAAUUUCCUUCAUUUUAAAUUUCCCCCGGAAAAAAAAACUCUAUUUAUAACGCACUGUAAUUGAAAAAUAAACUGAAAGGUCACGGGAAAAAAAAUUCUAUUCAUAAUUUAAAAAUUCAAAUCCACGUCGGUUAUAUUAAACAUAACGACGUUAAAUGAAAAGAUUCCACGUCGCAAAACAAAUAUUGCGUCGUGUUAGUUAAAAACGACGGCAUAACAAAAAACCGUCGUUGUUUCAAACUGAAUUAAUUUAUUCGGGAAAGCAAAAUCUAUUUAUAAUUUCCUCGGGUUAGUAAUAUUGCGUCGUGUUAGUUUACAAAUUCAAGAACAUUAAUUUCCCUCAUUUUAAAUUUCCUCGGGAAAGAAAAAUCUAUUUAUCACGCUUUGUAAUUGAAAACUAAAACUGAAAGAAUUCGGGAAAAAAAACUCUAUUUAUAAUUUAAAAAUAAAAUCCACGUCGGUUGUAGUACACUUAACGACGUUUAACAAAAUAAUCUACGUCGGUAAUUAUAAAUCUACCGCCAUCUUACCUUAAUAUAGACGACGAGAAAAGACGACGGUAGAACAGAAAACCGCCGUUGUUUCAGUUUCUUUAACAGUUUGGUCCUUUAUCUUUCUGCAGGACUUGUAUAGUUCAAAGCAUUGACAAUGUCUUCAUCAUAUCUCCCAGCAACUACUGAUUCGAUUGCUCAUGCUUUAGAGGCCAUCUGAAGCCAUUUCUAUUCUUUAUCGCAUUCUUGAAACCCAUCUUCUUCUUCUGAAGCUCUACGGAUAAAGGAAGAGGCUAUCACAAAUCUGACGGAUCUUCUUAGCCAAGAAAAUCAAGCAGAUUUCCCUGAGAAGCGAACUUUCCUUCGACAGCGAGUGGAGGCCAGGCUUGCAUCUCUUUUGAUGGAAAGCAAGGAGUAUUCAGAAGCACUAAGUGUCCUAUCAGGCUUGAUCAAGGAAGUGAGAAGGCUAGUUGACAAGCUUCUUCUUGUGGACAUAUAUUUGAUGCGAGUAAGCUCAAUUUCUCUUUGAGAAAGACAUCCAAAUUAUUGUCUUUGAGACGUGAGAGACUGAGAGAGGAAGAACUUGGAACCGUAAAUGUAAACCGAAAAUGAAUGAAAGCGACAAAUUUAUAGAAUAAAUUUUUAAAACCAACGGCGGUCCUUACAAAAAAACCGCCGUUUAAAUUGUAAAAUCAACGUCGGUAUGAUCGACGUAUAUUACAGAAAUCCACGUCGGUACAUUAAUAAAAACGACGUGUUAAAUAAUCUACCAUGACGCGAGUUAUUACUUAUGUACUUUAAUUUUUGAGUUUACUACGAUGGUACCUACAACACUACUGUCGUAUUUAUUUACCACGUCCGAAGUUAAAUGUACCGUCGUAUUUUGUAAUUUAUACGUCGUAGUUAUAUAUAACCGCCAUAUUAUUUUUUUGAAAUGGUUUUAUAUGUAAGCAACUUUUCGUCUACCUGACAUACACAUGCGCUGUUUCCAAACCCGAUUAAAAAUUUCAAUCUCCCAGAGAAAACUUUUAGACUUUUUUCCUUGUCAGAGCACUGUCAGAGUAUCUCAUCGUCUUCCUCUCGUCUUCUUCGUCGUCUCUGAACUUAAACAUAAUCUUCCUCUUGCUUUCAUUAUACGCAAAAGGUAAGCUUUCAUUUUCACUAUUUUGGUUGCUGUUUUGCAUGCUCAUACGUUUUUUGUUUGAAAAAUCUUUUUACCUUUUUUCUGGCCAAAAUCAUUUUACUUCUUUCCAAGUUCGAUAAAAUAUACAGACAAAGAGGGAAAGUUUCCAACUUUGAAGACAACUACCUCAACUAAAUAAGACGACGGUAGCUUCUUAUUUACGUGGUUAAAUAUGUAGACCACGACGGUUCGUCAGUCGUUCUAGCGUCGUCUGAAAAUUGACAAAGUUGUUUUUAAAAUUAUAGUCUUUUUUUUAUUUGCUUGUUUAAUUGCAGGUUUGAUUUCUCUGAACAAUGGUUUUUGUUUUUCCCUAAUUUGAUAAAAUAUAAAGAAAAAGAAAGUAGGGUUGGUAUCUAAUAUAGACGACAGUAUCUUAUUGUUUUACGUCGUGUGAAUGUUAAUACCACGACGUCAUAUUAAAAUACCGUCGUCUAUAUAAGAUUCCAAAACUUUCUUUCUUGGCCUUGUAUUUUAUCAAAUUAGAAAACAAAAACCAUGGUUCAGAAAAAUCAAAUCUGCAAUCAAACAUUCACAGAGAAAGAAAGAAGGGUUUUGGAUCCUUAUAUAGACGACGGUAUAUUACUACUGACGUCGUGUAAACAUCAAUACCACGACGUUAUAUAAAUAUUUCGUCGUUUAUAGUUAAUUAUCACGUCGUUUAUAGUUAAUUAUUUCGUUGUUGUUUAAUUACCUUGGUUUUAAACAUUUAUUACGUCUGAGAUUAUUUCAUUGCGUCGUUUAAAAUCAUAUCAUACGUCGUAUUUUAUUAAUAACCGUCGUUUGUGUUCUUAAUCUUUUCCUGAAAUAUUUUCACUUGCAGUUUUGUCUGUAAAAAUGGUUUCUCACCAAGACCAAAGUAAGGAUUCUGGCUCCAAGAAAAAUGGAGGUAAGGAGCUUGGAAUGGUACCUCCUCAAGUGAAGCCUUCGAAGAAGAUGAAGUUUGCUCCAUCAUCUGCUGAGACAGAACCAACCAGCACGACAACAAUCUCUGAUGAUUCAAAGUCUGGUCGAGGUAUGAGCACAAUGCCUCGUGUUGUGAAGAGAAAACUUCAGAAACUGAGGCCAAUUGUUGAGUACAAUAAAAGGGGGAAAGGAAUUGGCCAAGCACAUAGUGAGAUGCAGUCCUACAUUGGUGUGUUGGCACGCUCCAGAGUUCCACUUGUGGACAUGAAAUGGGCUCAAAUCCCCAAGGAUAUAAAGGAGCAGAUUUGGGAAGCAGUUGACAUUGCUUUUGUGGUAGGUCAAGGGGGCAAGAGCUCUGUGUUAGCUUCUGCUGUCAAGAAAUAGAAGGAUUUCAAGUCUACACUAACGAGGCAUUAUAUCCUUCCAUACACCAAUGACAGGGAGAGAUUAAGCCAACCCCCUGAAACAUAUAAAUUCAUAGAGAAAGCACAAUGGGAUGCCUUUGUAGCUUCAAGGUUAUCCAAAGAUUUUGAGUCUGUGCAUUCUCAACAUGCACAGAUUAGGGAGAAACUUGAGUACAAUCAUCGAUUGUCUCGAAAAGGAUAUGCUGGUUUGGAGGAUCAAUUGGAGGAAACCAUGCCUGGGGUAGAAAUUGGUCGAUCUACCUUAUGGAAGAGAGCUAGACAGGACAAACAUGGUAACAUCCCGGAUCCAAAGGUGGCAGAGAAAGCAAAAUUAAUUGUAAGCCUACUCACUCUGUUUUAAAUUUUUAUUCAACUGUGAAUAAUUCUUAUUACGUCUUAUGUUAUAUUUUGCGUCGUGUGAAUGAUAUUACCACGUCGAAAUUUUUUAAACAACGUCGUUAAAGGUCUAAAUAGGAAUCACUACUCUGUUUUCUGUAAUUAUAGCAUAAGAUGUCGGUGGUUCAUUUUCGCGUCGUUUGUAUUGAAUUACUACGUCGAAAUGUUUUAAACAAGGUCGUUAAAGGUGUGAAUAUUGAAUCAUCCCUCUGUUAUCUGUAAAUAAAGCAUAAGACGUCGGAGGUUUAUUCAUUUCGUCGUUUUAAAAACUAACCACGUCGGUAUAACUACCGUCGUGAUAAAUUAUAAUAACGUCGAUUUAUAUGUUAUUGCGUCGUGUGAAAUUAUAUAAUACGUCGUUUGUAUAUAAAUAACCGUCGUGUGUUUUUGUUCUUACUUUUUUAUAUAUCUUUGUUUUAGGAUGAAUUGCAAAAACAAGUCUCGGAAGGCAAAGUCACUGUUUCUGGCAGCAAUGAUGUGCUGACCAUGGCUUUGGGCCCCGAGCAUCCAGGCAGAGUGAGAGGAGUAGGUGCUGGGAUCUCACCAAGGCAAUAUUUCAAUUUACCCAAACCACAGAGAGUGAGCUUUGACGACCGUUUGAAUGACAGUUUAAGAGUUCUCCUUCAAGAAGAGACUAAAAAGAUGGAAGCUAAGGCAAGGGAAGAGGCUUUAAGGAUGGAGGCUAGAACGAAACAAUUGGUAGAGGCUGAGAGGGAGCAUUUCCUGAGUCAGCUUUCCCAAUUAAUUCCCAAUUUUGAUCCAAGCAUGCUUAAACCCAGAAUUAGCCAAAGUCCCAAAAAUCCAAUGUCUGACAAAACAAGCUGCUCUGGAGGUGAUGUGAGAUCCCAGCAUUUUGAGGAUGAUACUGCCAAAAAUGGGAAACAUCAGGAAGAAAAGGUAACAUAUCUGAACUUUGAAUUCUCUGUUUUUUUAAAAACCAUUAGACGUCGUUAUUAUUAAUAAAACCGUCGUUUGAAAUACAUACCACGACGAUUUUAAAAAUAAGUCGUCGUUUGUAUUUCAAUACCACGUCGUAUUUAGUUUACUUGUUUUACACGCCAUUAAACGUCGUUAUUUUUAAAACUUUGUGGUUUUUAGACGACGGAGUUAGUCAUUCCCGCCGUAAUAGAUGAAGAGAAGAGAGAAGAAAAACAAGAUGAAAAGGAGAAAGAAGAUGACGACCAGGUAUGUUCACAUAACUUUGCCUUUUUUAUUUGUUUUUCAAAAUUCCAGACGUCGAUAUUUUUCUUUAAACCGUCGUUUGUUUACAACUUAGACGGCGGAAUUUUUUUCUAAGACGUAAUAAAUUAUUCACCACGACGGUUUCUUCACCGUCGUUUAAAUUCUUUUCAGACGACGUUGUAUUCCUUAAACCGUCGUUUUUAUUGAAUUACCACGUCAUUUUUUUUAUUUCUUUAAACAGGUUAUUCAAGGUGUUGAUUAUUCAAAUAUGGAGGCGCCAUCUUCUUUAAAAUCCCUUUGUCGUUAUGUGGAAACGACACUCGUGCCUCAGGAUAAGACCCUGCACUUUACAAUUGAUAAGGAGGUGUUUGGUCUAGAGCGCGAUACCUUCCUCCUGCCUGAAGAUAUUACACAAUUUGCAGGCAUGGAAGAAAUAGGAGCCACUGUCAUUGCUGUAUAUAUGAGGUUUGUCAUUCUAAAAUAAUACGUCGUUGGUUUAUUUAUUGCGUCGUCUUAACCAACUAACCGCGUCGUUAGUAUGUACCGUCGUGAUAAAUAUAUUAUAACGUCGUUGUCUAUUUCAGUACGUCGUGUGAAAUUUUAUAAUACGUCGUUUUGUUAUACAUAACCGUCGUGUGUUUUAUGUAUAUAUGAGGUUUGUCAUUCUAAAAUAAUACGUCGUUGGUUUAUUUAUUGCGUCGUCUUAACUAACUAACCACGUCGGUAGUAUGUACCGUCGUGAUAAAUAUAUUAUAACGUCGUUGUCUAUUCCAGUACGUCGUGUGAAAUUUUAUAAUACGUCGUUUUGUUAUACAUAACCGUCGUGUGUUUUUUUGUGCUGACUUGUUUAUAUUAUUUUAUAUAUCUAGGUACUUACACGAUGUUUUGAAACGAGCAAAUAUGUGCUCCAUGGUUGGCUUUAUCGACCCUGCUACAGUUAGUGCCAGCUCUGGCACAAUAGCUGACAGAUCACGCCUACUAGCAGCUCGACUUCAGAGGACUGACGGUGAACAGAUUUUCCUGAUGCCUUACAAUCCAGGGUUAGUCUCCUUAACAGGAUUUUGAUUUUAUGAUUUUCAAUAAAUGACAGCGUAUAAACUAACCACGUCGGUGUUUUAUUUUAUUGAGUCGUUGCAAAACUACUAACCACGUCGGUAGUUAUUUAUCGUCGUGAUAAAUUUAUAAUGUCGUCGAUUGCUUCUUUAUUUCGUCGUGUGAAAUAUUAUAAUACGUCGUUUUUGUAAAUAACCGUCGUUUUAUAUUAAUUUUGUGCAGCCGUCAUUGGAUCUUGCUGAUUGUAAGAGCAAAGAGAGAAACCGUCUAUUUUCUGGAUUCUCUGCCAGGAAAUCGUGUGGUCGAUGAAGAGGCCAAAAACAUUGUGAACAGUGCUAUAAAAAUUUAUAACUCUCACAUAGCUAGACCAGGCCGUAAGGCAGUCAUUUGGAAAACUCUGUCAGGCACACCAAAGCAACCCAGCAGUGUCGAAUGCGGGUAUUAUGUGAUGCACUUCAUGAGGGACAUCAUCAUGGAUCCUUCCUUGGGGUUUGAGAAGAAGGUAAGAAGAAAUUACCUUCAUACAUUUUACGUCGUUUUAUGUAUUAUCAACGACGGUCAUGUAAAAUUACCGUCGUUGAAUAGAUAGUACGUCGGUUAUGAAAAAUAUCGUCGUCUGUGAUUUAAUUUCUUUUUAUUUAUAAACCCUAAUAGUCAUUGUUUAUGUAGUAUGCCAAGGGAAAACAGGAAGCGCCAUACCCCCAAGAAGCAAUUGAUGAAGUCUGGAAUGAAUGUGCAGAGUUUGUUUGCCUUCACCUGGAAUAGGGGAAUUAUUGAACGCUUGAUAUUUAUGUAUAAUGUACAAAUUUUGUCUAUAAUAUAUAAUGUAAAAAUUUGUUGAGGUUUUCUUAAAUUAAAAAAAAAAACAAACAUACAAAUUGCGUAAACGACGUGUAAUACUUUUCCAACGACGUAAUAAAGUCAAAAGCCGUCGUUUUUUGUUGUUUCGUUUUAAACAAAUCCGACGUAAAAGGAUAUUUAGACGACGUUCUUUGAACAAUUGAGUCGUUUAUGGUUUACAACGUCUUCAAUUUCUUAAGGGUUCAGGGUAGUACUUUGUAACGACAGCGGUUAAGUCGUGGAAUAUAUAUUUUAUGUCGGAUAGUUAAAUAUCCGCCAUGGUUUCUCAUUUAAACGACGUCAUUUUAACAACUUAGUCGUCUAUUACAAUUUACAACGUCUACAAUUUAUUAACACCGACGUGGUUUGUUGUUGUGAUAAGAAUAUUUUAUUAUUUUUAUAUCAAAAUAUUCAAAAUAAAUUUAAAAUAAAUCAGAAAAAUGCAAAGUCAACUCCUAUGAAGUCAUUGAUAUAUUUUCUUCCCCUAAACCUUGAAAAAAUUCAUUUUGAAUAACAAAAAUUUAAAAUGGCCAUCCAAAACAAAAUUAUUUUGAUGAGUCAUAAAAUCACUUCUAGUUUUAUGGUUUAGGGUUUAGAGUCUAGGGUUUAGAGAUUAGGGUUGUUAUUUAUUGGGGUUUAUUUUUAAAGUAUAAUUUUUGGGUAGUCUAGGGUAUAUAUUAGGCUGUAAAACCAUAAACCCUUUUAUAAACUUAAUUUUUAAAAUUAUAUAAUUUAGUUUUAAGGGUUUAGGGUAUUAAUUGUUAACGACGGUGGUUGAGUCGUGGAAUACAUAUGUUACGUCGUGCAGUAAAAUAUCCGACAUGGUUUCCACUUUAAACGACGUCAUUUUAAUAUGUAAGUCGUCUAUUAUAAUUUACAACGUUUUCAGUUUCUUAACUUCGACGUGGUUUUUCAGUCGUCUUUAUAUCAAAAUAUUCAAAAUAAAUUUAAAAUUAAUUCGAAAAAUGAAGCGUCAAAAGAAACGGCGUUACGUUCAGUGUUUCCGUCGUGGAAUAUUACAUUUACGUCGGUUCUUGUAGAACUUUCGCCAUGGUUUUUCUUUCGACGUUUUAAAGAACGCGCGCUCUAAAAAUUUUCGCGCGCCCUAAAUUUUUUUAUAUUUGGCUCUUAUUCUUAUACUUCUAACCCUGAACCCUAAAAUUUUCAGAUUUCGCGCAACAUAACAUUCGCUCUCUCACUUCUGCUCUAAUUAAAAGUUGCACUCUCCAGGCUCCGUCGAAUCUGUAAGCUCGUCCAACCUGUAAGUACAAACCCUAUCUUCCCCUUGUAAAUUCAUUGAAUGAUAUUAGGUUGUUUUGUUAAAUGGUUUUAGGUAUAUGCUUUGCGAUCUGUUAAUAAUGUGCUUAUAGGUAUGGGUUCAUGGAUUUUCUGUUUAAUGGGUUCAUGGAUUUUCUGUUUAAUGGGUUCAUGGAUUACAUUAUCUGUUAUGUUGAAUUGGGAAUGGAUUUAAUUUUGUCGGAUCUUUUAAUCACCCUAUGUUAUGUUGAAUUGGGAAUGGAUUUAUUGUUUUCAUGCUUGGUUUCAUGUAUAUGUUGGUUUCUUGCUUGGUUUCAUAUAUAUGUUGUGUUCUUAAUGGGUUUUGGGUUCUUGAAAAUAAACUGAGACACGACGCCUUUUUAGGCAUACGACGACGAUUACACGACGGUUUAUGAAAAAACUGUCGUUGUAUUACUUAUACACGACGGUUUUUUCAUAAACCGUCGUUUGUAUUACUUAUAUUAGACGACGUCUGUUGAAAAUCCGUCAUCUAUAUAUGCCAAAUACGUCUGUUUUUGUUUAAAACUCGUCGUCUCUGUUGUGUAUUACUUGCUAUUAGAUCUUUGUAUAAUCUGCUAUAGUGAUGGUCAUUGCCUGUAUUUUCACUUUAUUAUAGAUAAUAGGUUAUAGUGUCGGAGAUGGAUAAGUCAUGGAUGCACUCGAAUAGAAGAUCGAAGGCAUAUGAGUUUGGGGUGGAAGCAUUUUUGAACUUUGCUGUAGAAAAUCUUCUAACUACAACACAUAUCCGUUGUCCAUGUGUUAAAUGUGUUAAUUUGAAGUUGUUUGGGGUUGGAAUUAUAAGGGAUCACUUAUACUUUAAUGGAAUUGACCAAAGCUAUAAGAAUUGGACAUUUCACGGAGAACCUUGGGAAGCAACUACUAAUGCUAGUAGAAAUGUUGAAGAAGAUGAUGGCCAUAGUAGGUACAGUUUUGUGUCUGAAGAAAUUGAUAUGGAUGAUAAUGAUUUUGGUGAUUUUGGUUCUGAUCCGUAUGAGUUUGCCAAUGUGAUUGGGGAUGGAGAUCAACCAGUGUACCCUGGUUGUAGAAAGUACACGAAGUUAUCGGCAUUAGUGAAGUUGUAUAAUUUGAAGGCAAAACAUGGGAUGAGUGAUGUCUGUUUUACAGAAUUAUUGAUACUUCAAGGCGAUUUGCUUCCAGAAGGAAAUACAAUACCAACCUCUAUGUAUGAGGCUAAAAAGACUUUGUGUGCAUUGGGGCUGAGUUAUGAGAAAAUGCACGCAUGCCCCAAUGAUUGCAUCUUGUAUAGGAAGGAGUAUGAGGAUUCAACUAAUUGUCUUACUUGUGGUAUCUCAAGGUGGAAGGAAGGCAAAGAUUCAAUCUUGAAAGAGGGUGUGCCAGCGAAGGUGGUGUGGUAUUUUCCUCCAAUUCCAAGGUUUAAAAGGAUAUUUCAAUCACAUGAGACAGCUAAGAGUUUGACUUGGCAUGCUGCUAGAAAAUCAAUUGACGGUCAGAUGUCUCAUCCGGCGGAUUCCCCGUCUUAGAAACUUCUUGAUGAUAAAUGGCCUGAGUUUGGUAAUGAGCCGAGAAACUUGAGAUUGGCUCUUUCAUCUGAUGGAUUCAAUCCCCACAGUUCUCUAAGUAGCAGAUAUAGUUGUUGGCCGGUUAUCUUAGUUACAUAUAAUCUCCCUCCAUGGCUGUGCAUGAAACGAAAGUUCAUGAUGUUAACCUUAUUGAUUUCCGGUCCUAAACAACCCAGAAAUGAUAUAGACGUCUACUUGGAGCCUUUGAUUGAUGAUUUAAAAUCUUUGUGGGAUGGGAUUAGAGGAGUGUAUGAUGCACAUAAUGGAGAAUACUUUACACUCAGAGCUGCAUUAAUGUGGACAAUUAAUGAUUUCCCCGCCUAUGGAAACUUAUCUGGUUGUGUUGUUAAAGGAUAUAAAGCUUGUCCAAUAUGCGGCGAUGAUACACCUAGUCACAGGUUGAAAAAUGGCCACAAAAUUUGUUACAUUGGGCAUAGAAAAUGGUUACCAAUCAAUCAUCCAUAUAGGAGGCAACGUGCAGCUUUUAAUGGGAAACCUGAAUAUGGCAUACCUCCCGAGCCAUUAACCGGAGAAGAAGUGCUGCAUAUGGUUGAAAAUGGUGACAGAGUUUGUUGGAAGAAGAACUCAAUAUUCUUUGAUCUCGAGUAUUGGAAAUACCUUCCUAUGAGGCAUGCCCUAGAUGUUAUGCACAUUGAGAAGAAUGUUUGGGAUAGUAUUAUUGGUACAUUGCUGGAGAUCCCUGGAAAAAAUAAAGAUGGGAUUGCUGCUCGAUUAGAUUUAUUGAACAUGGGGGUCAAAACUGAUUUGCAACCCGAGUAUGGAGAAAGACGUACUCGUUUGCCUCCUGGGCCUUGGAAUUUGUCAAGAGCAGAGAAGAGAGAGGUUUGCAAUUCUUUCUAUGGUAUGAAGGUCCCUGAAGGUUAUUCUUCAAAUAUUAAAAAUCUUGUAUCUUUACAAGAUUCAAGACUUCUUGGCCUUAAAUCACAUGAUUGUCAUACCUUAAUGCAACAAUUGCUCCCUGUGGCAAUUCGUUCUGUUUUGGAGAAGCCUGCCAGGUAUGCAAUAACUCGUUUGUGCUUCUUCUUCAAUGCUAUAUGUGCAAAGACUGUUGAUGUUUCCAAGCUAGAUAAGUUGGAAGAAGAUGUAGUAGUUACUCUGUGUUUGCUUGAGAAGUACUUUCCCCCUUCAUUCUUUGAUAUCGUGGUUCAUCUAGUAGUACAUCUUGUCAGAGAAGUUCGUCUAUAUGAGCCAGUAUAUUUUAGGUGGAUGUAUCCGUUUGAAAGAUAUAUGAAAGUUCUGAAGGGGUAUGUUCAGAAUCGUACUCGUCCCGAAGGUUGCAUUGCUGAGCGGUAUAUAGCUGAAGAAGCGGUAGAGUUUUGUACUCAGCAUUUAUCUGAUGUUAGUACAGUUGGAGUGCCUUCAAGCCAAAAGAUGGGACUUUCAAAGCCAUUAUCAGGUUGCACAGUGAGCGUAGUUGAUCAGGACCUGUUGAAUCAAGCACAUCUAUAUGUCUUGGAGAAUACGGAGGAAGUCCUACCUUAUAUCGAGUACGUAUGAGUUUUAUUCUUUAAGUUUCCAUUUUAAAUUAUUUCUUAUGUUUAUCUUCUAUAUUUGGGACCGUAAUGCUUGAAUUUUUCGUGUCAUGUAGGCAACAUAUGAUCCACAUCAAGACUGCUUAUCCAAAAUUUAGAAAGAGAACAAAGUGGCUGCAGGAUAAGCACAAUAGCACUUUCAUUCAAUGGCUACGCUUCAAGGUAUAUGUUGUUGAAUAACAUAUUUCUCUUUUAAUUUUCUUCUUAUUUCUAUGUUAGAUUAAGAUAUAUGAUUAAUUUGCAGGUUCAAAGUGAACUUGAGGAAGACAAUCAUGGCGUAUCAGAAAAUUUAAGGUGGCUAGCAGCUGGUCCAAACAUGGCAGUGCCAUUAUAUAGGAGCUAUCUUAUUAAAGGUAUUAAAUUCAAUAUCAAGGCACAAGAUGAUGUGCGGACAACUCAAAAUAGUGGAGUUUAUUUACUUGCACAUACCAUGCAAGUUGCUAGUGCCAAGGAUAAAAACCCAAUUCUCUCAAAUAUGGGUUUCUAUGGUGUCAUUCAAGAAAUUUGGGACCUUGACUACCAAAAGUUUACAAUCCCAGUCUUUAGGUGUGAUUGGAUAGAUAGUUCUGGUCUUGUAGUAGACGAACUUGGAUUUACCCUUGUAGAUUUGAGUAAAAUUGGACAUAGGAAUGACCAAUUUGUUUUGGCUUCUCAAGUCAAACAAAUAUUUUUUGUUGACGACCCGAUGCAUCAUGGUUGGUCGGUAGUGUUAUCAAUGCCUAAUAGAGAAUAUAAUGAUGUUAUUGGUGAUGAAGUCUUAGGUGAUGUGAUAAUUGAGUGUGAGCCAUUUACUAGAGGGAUGCCAAAUGUUGACACAUUUGAUGAACUGGUGGGUGAGUUAGGCGGUCAAAAUAUUCGAGAUGGGUGUGAAGAUAUAUGGAUUGAAUGAUGCUUAUGUAAUUGGCAGUGUAUGACAUUAAUUUUGUAAUAUAUUGUAAUGUGAUUUCUUCACUUUCUACGUUCAAAUAAAACACGACGUUAUUGUGAACCAGUUAUUCAGCAUAUUUACCGACGUCUUAAAGCAACGUAACAAUGAAGAACCAUGACGCUAUUGUGAAGCAAUUAUUCAGGAUAUCACGUCGGGGAAGGAUUAAGAACCGCCAUGUAAUUCAAAAUAACACUACUCCAAUCCCAUAAUACCGACGUCUAAAAAACGAGAUAUAUAAUCUGAACGUUAAAAAAUACGACGUCAUCAUACAUUUUCCACGUCGCAAGUUCUUUUAUAAACGAAGAGGAACGAAAUGAAUUCCGACGGUAAUUCAUUAUAACCGCCGUCUAAUAUCAAUUAAACGACGUUAUUUGUAAUACGGCUCUCAUCAUAAUCAACGCCGUCUAUAUGUUCUGUAAUACGGCUCUCAUUUAUUUGGAACCGACGUUGUUUAGAAGUUCAACGUCGUCUAUAUUAAUAAGUGCGUCGUGAGUAAUGAAUACAUAUAAAUACAACGUCGACAAUAUAAAUGCCACCGACAUUGUUUCGCAUUCAACGUCAACUAUAUAAAUACAUACGUCGUAAAUAAUGACACUGACAACUAUUUCCACGUCAUCUUUUUUAGAAAAAUCGAAGUGGAAAAUUUAUUUCACGACGGUUGUUUGUAAAUAAGAGACGUAGUAUAUUUCAAUAACGUCGUCUUCUCAUGUAUUUAAAGACGUCAUAUUUUUUCUUGUCGUGAAAAUUAUAUUUAACGGCGUAAUGUUUUAGUUAUCGUCGUUGUAUGUCUAUCUUGCGGCCUUGUUCUUUUAAUAUGUGUCAUAUUUUUCCUUUUUAACGACGGUGAUUUGUUUGAGUUGGUCGUCUAUUCUCAUCGUCGACUAUUUUUUAGAACUUUAGCAGACUAAACACGUCUGUUUUUAUUUGUUUUCGACGUUGGUUUAUUUAACAACGUCUAAUAUUUAUCGUCGUUGUUUGUUUCUGAAAAUAGGACGUAUAAAUUUUGUAAUACGACUCUCAUAUAUUUGUAACCGACGUUGUUUCCUUGUUCAACGUCUACUCUAUAAAUACAUACGUCGUAAAUAAUGACACUGACAACUAUUUCCACGUCAUCUUUUAUAGAAAAAUCGAAGUGAAAAAUUUAUUUUACGACGGCUGUUUUUAUAUAGGCGACGUAGUAGGUAUCAAUAACGUCGUCUUCUAAUGUAUUUAAAGACGUCAUAUUUUUUAUUGUCGUGAAAAUGAUAUUUAACGGCGUCUUUUUUUAAUUUUCGUCGUUGUCUGUCUAUAUUGCGGCCUUGUUCUGUUAAUAUGUGUCAUAUUUUUCCUUUUUAACGACGGUUUUUUUAGAGACUUGGUCGUCUAUUCUCAUCCUCGACUGCUUUUUUAGAUCUUUUUGCAGUACAAAGACGUCGUUUUGUAUUUGUUGAUGACGUUGUAUAUUGUAACAACGACGGUGAUUUAGCGUCGUGGUUUAUGAGGGAAAAGAUGACGGUGGAUUCCACGACCAUUGAAAAACCGAAUACACGACGGUGAUUUACCGUCGUCUUUUUGCUUUUUUGUAGUAGUGUAGGAGAGAAAUGUGAUUCUCUUCUAACAGAAUUACAGCUGUCAUCCUAUUAGAUUCUUACACCUGUCAUAGCAAAUCUAAGCUAGAGAAUCCACCUGGACUAUGAUCUAAUGGCUCUCCUUACAUCAUUUAAAUAAGCUGACCAAAAACAGAACAAAUAGAGAAUAGCUUCAGCUCUAAGAAAUCUGCUGCAGGAUUAUAUUUCAACACUAGCUUGUACCAAAUCACUUGGGUUUGUUUUCGUGCUCAUGCAACCCUUCCGCAAGAGAUUUCUCAUGAAAAUGAUCACACUCUAUCCUUGUGUAGAAAUAGGAUACCCUACCUAGCUAGCUCCUCUGGUUAACAGACAACAAAAGGGACCACCAUGUUCUUGAAAAAUGAAUUCAUUGCUCCUCUGGUUAAUUAACAGUACUGCAUAUGGUAUGCCCUACAACAAAAACUUGUUAACUUGUGUGAUAAACUAGUAGUCUAUUUCUUUUUCAUCUUUUUAUAAAUGCUGCUUCAAAAGACAAGAAUUUGUGGUGCUAUGAGAAUAUACAUGGACCCUCGGAUGCUCUAUGAUUUGGUUGGUUGGGAGCACCAAACCACCCUUGCAUGUGGCUUUGUCCUUUCAUCUAUGAUCUUCAGGCCCAACAAGCAAGGGAAGUCUUUCAUUUGUUUGAAGAAUUGAUACUUAUUGAGAAUGCAGUAGGUAAUGAGUACAUAUCUAAAAAGCAUAUGAUAUCAAGAGAGUGCUAAUCUGUAGCAAUUGUAAAAUGUAGGAUACAUACUUUUUACUUAAAGUUAAACAUAUGAAAAGAUGUUUUACUAAUCGAAUUAUUUGAUAUAGCAAAUGUAAAUUGAAAAAGAUGAAAACCAACAUUAAGUUCUCUUUGUAGGCGCUAGUAGAGUAAAACAUGCCAAUUCGUUGUAAGUGCAAGCCACAUCGCUUAUGCUUAUACUCAACAUGAAAUGAAUUGUUGACAUUACAAUUCGUGAAAUCUAUCUGUUGACUCUAGCGACGUCAGUAAUUUCAUCUAAAUUGUAGAAAUUUGUUAUAAAAACAAAGAAGAUUAUUGAACAACCUGAUUACCUAAAACCAAAUUAGAUUUUAGAAAAAUAUAGUAGAUACAUAAAACUUUAUUACCUAACAAAGAAAGAUGUCAAAUCUUUCAAAAACAUUUUCUUACAACCAAGGGAAAAAAUCCAAGAUUGAAUUGAUGAAAAUGACUUCGUUUGGACCACUCAAACCUUCUUUGCUAAUUACUCAGUUAGCUAGUUUGUUAAAGUAGAGAAGUUACCUAGUAUAUCUCCAACAAAAAUAGUCAUAUUGUAAAGCCUGUUAUGUAACUAAGGGAAUUGUGGAGAGAAUAUAGAGAAAACAAGUAGCAAUAGAAAGGCUCUUCAUCUGCUUGUAUUAAAGUUUACUUUGUAUCCAUUACAAUUGAGAAGGUAGCCUUGUUUAUAGGCCAAGCCUUGGCUAACAACCAGAGAAAGAAGGCUCAUGGAAGGUGUAAGCAAAUAACGUUCCAACUUGUGGGCUCCACUUGCAGACUUUUACAACACUCUCUCUUGGAUACCACAAUGUAUGGAAUCUGUCUCGUUAAAAACCUUGCCAAUAAAAUUUAGUGGGACAAAAAAUGGUCCAAAGGGAAAAAGAGCGCAUAAUCAUGUGUAACAUAAAAUUAUGUAUAUAUAACACUGACACGCGUGCGACACUGCCUCGUUAAAACCUUGCCAGGUAAAACUCAGUGGGACAAAAAAGAAAAAACUAGAUGAAGGAAAAAGAGUACAAUGUGUGAAAAUCUUAUUGAUGGCACGCUCCCCCUGAUGCUGACAAAAUAUCUUUAAGUCAUGAUGUUGACAAUCUUUCUGAAUGUCGUAGUUGAACACUGCUUCCAUGAAUCAAUCUUGUAAUACUGGUGGAUGCUACCCCUAAAGAAUUACUCCCCUUGAUGUCUUCUUUGAUGAUCCAACACAAAUGAUAUUGAUAUCACAUUUGUACUUCACAAACUGAUCUUUGGUAAUGCUUGUAGAAAACUUGUUGUUGUAACAUCUCUGGAGGAUCCCUGUGUGUCGUCAUUCAUCUAAUUCUUAUUGAGGUUAGAGUAAUACAGAAAAAUAUCUAGGCUAUUUUCAUAAGACUUUCACUGUACACAAUGGUUUGAAUUUCAUAUGUUUUCCAAUAUAAAAAACAAUAAGCUCAUAUUUAUAAUGAUAAGAGCAUUAAAUAUUUAUAUGGUGUUGUUUACCCUUUUUGUAUUUGAGUAUGUUGAAGCCUAAAUAAAAUUCCCCAUUAAUUUUUUAAACACUUAAUGGUUUCUUGAGUAACUUUCUUGCCACUAUUAGCAGAUAAUACCCUAACAGAUUUGAACAACUUUAUAUACUUGCACCCCAAGUAAUAGACUUUAAACAAACAAUUGUGAUUUUGGAUGGGGAAACCUCCCAAGAGAGUUCUUUUCUAUGCCUCAGACUUGUGACGACUUCACAAUUUAUUAAGACAAAAAUGGUAAGCAAAGCAAAAUACACAAAUUUAUGAAGGGUAUAACAGACUAAUCCAAGCAAAACUACUUGAAGCACAAAGUAACAAAUGAAUCUUUAAAUCUACGUACUUCUCAAAGGGGUUGGACUUUGACUUAUGUUUGAAAACAUAGUCGCAAUGAUGACUUGUGAUUAGACUGGACUGAACUUUUGUUGACUAGAUUGAAUGUUUCUGCACUGGAAUUUCAUGUCAGCACCUUCAACUAAUAGAGAUUAGCUAGAAAUCGAUACCAAGUUUGAAGUUUGGCAGAGCUAUAAACAAGUUAAACCUUGAAUAGGCUAUGGAAGUGAUCAAAACUGCAAACGAGUACCUAUUCUUGUUGAUUCUGAGUGAUUUUAAAGCUAUCUAGACAAUUUUAAGACAUUAAGAUGUAUUUGAAAAGCUUGUUGAGGAUUUUGUAUGAUGAAAUACCUGACUUCUUCUUGUUUUAUCUAAUUUGAUGAACCAAAUUUGUCAGAGGAAUUAAUCUCGUUUGAAUUCUGUUUGAUUUACCUUAUCUGGAUUACAAGGGCAAUCUUGGUUUCUUCUUGGUUUUCUGAACUUCUUUUUGAGCUGGAUUGCUUGUUAAGGAAGAUUGCUUGCUUGCUUUUGGUAGUUGUAAGAUCAUAUGAUCUUUGAUUUCUUUUUAUCAAUCUGGAGUUAUUGUUGAGUUUUUCCUUAAUUUGUUGGUUAUUUGUCCCUUCUCCUGUCCAGACACUUUUGUAUUUAUAGGAGAAAAAUGAUGUUGAAGAAAUCUGGAAUUUUUAGUUUUGGACUAUCCUCCAUUUAAUGCACAAGUGGCAAAAGUUUUGUUAGUUAAUGCAUUGAUCGUUUUUGGCACCUGCUCAUUAAUGUUCUUGAAUGUCUCCUGAUCGUUCCUUUUGGAACAACUAAGCUGAAGUGAGCAAUAAUGCCCAAAUUCCUCCAACGUUGGUGUAACACCCGGAUCCAAUUUUAACUUCUCAUUCAAAUUAUUUAAUUUAUUUAAUUGUGAAAUUACAAUUUUACCCUUAGGGCAGGGUUAUUUUGGUCAGUUUUUAAUCCGAUAGGAUUUUGGGGAAUUGAAUGGCACCAUUACUUAGAGUGCAUCGAUACGAGUUCAUAGACAUUCAGUGGGAUCAAAUAAGAGUUUUAACAAAGAAGUUACGAUCAACGGAAGUGCAAUGGCACCACCGUAAAUAUUUCAAAAUUUGAAAUUGAAACACUAGAUUCUCUCUCUCAAUCUCUCCCUCAUGAAUCUCUCUCUCCUCUGUUGGGAGCACCACAACCCCGUCGUCUUCUAACGAUGAUUCCGGGGUCAUCCUUCCUCUCCUGCUACGAAACUGGUUACAAUUUUUUUUCAUCUCUCUCUCCUCUUUACAUCCAUACCAAUUUCCAACCUCAAUUCCAAGGGAUUAAGCCAAAAAUUCGAACGAAAACCCAACUCAAACUGGCCUGUCAAAAACCAUGACUUCCGGCGUUUGUUCUGGCCAACUUCACCGAUCACCAAGUGGGUUCCAAAACACUCCCGUGCCUCCCCUCUGUAAUUUUCCUCGAAGACCCGACUUGAUUUCAAUCCGAAACCAUCGAAUUGAAACCUAGAAGGUGUUUCAACGAGAAAACCAACUGUUCGAGGGCUUUAGCGGCUGAAUUGAUCUUCGAGCAAAGGUAUAAAGUUACUCCCCUUGAUGUGUUUGAUCUUUUGAUAUGAUUAUUGGCCAGCGGUUUGGAGUUUUUCGAUCGCCAGAAAUUUUUUCAAGACACCCGUAGGCAGUGGUGGCUCGUCAGUGGGGUAUCAAGGUUGGGUUUUGAAGCUAGAAUGUUCCCCAUGUCGUCCCAAGCACGAUAGUAUGCUGAAAUUUGAAUUUGGUUGUUGUUUGACGGUCGAUCAAAUUUACAUAUAUUAGGCGUCUUCCGUGUUCGAUAUGUUCAGACCGUUGGAUCGACUCCAUUUCCAACUAUGCUGGUCUAGAUACCUCUCAGAUCAUGUAGGAACUACGAAUUGAGAAUCGGAGUCCCGGAUACUCCAAUUUAAUGGCUCAAAGUUUGGGUAAAACGGUGACCGCCCGAUCGUAUGAUUGUGAGCGAUCCGACCGCUCGAUCUGGACCAAACUUGUAGGACGUGUUUAGUAAGCUUUGUUGAACCCGUAGGGAACUUUUGGAUAGGAAAUUGGAGGUCAUGGGCCCAACAGGCCCAGCUGACCAAAUUUGGGAAGUUUGACCACUUGGUUGACCGAGCGUCUUUCGAGGUUAUUUCACAUUUCGGAACAUGUAGUUGGACCUUAGAAACUUCCUGUUUGUUGUAUACACACCUUGAAUUCCGGGAAAAAUUAGGAAUUUAUUUUAAAGUUUCCAUCCGAAUUAUUUUAAUUAAUCUAGUCCUCGUAUUUUUCAAUAGGCACUUCGGCUCAGCGUACUCAAUAGGGUUAAGCAGCUCUAGAUUAUCUGUGAGUGGACUUUGUUUUUAAAUAAUAAUCAUUAUUUUCAAAGAGAAAAAGCUAUGCAUAAUGAGUUAUUCGAUUAUUGAGUUUAACAUAUUAUUUAUUUAAAUGUUUGAAUUUGCAUAUUGUGAUUAUCUUGAAUUAAUAUAUGCUAUGUUUGAGAGUUACUAUCUGACAGGACCCGAUCCAAAUUCCGCUUUGGAAUUCGAGCCGGACCCUGUGCGUGUCCGACACCUGGCAAAUGUCGGGCACAAAUGACCUAUUUGCCCUUCUAUACAAAACAUGAUAAAAUAACAAGGUUGACGUCUACCGAAAAACCGGCAGAGUUUUCCUUGUAACUGGCUCAAUACCAACAUAUUUACACCUGCCAAACAAGUAUAUAUAUAUACAUCCAACUGCCAGCAUACAUUUAUAUACAGUCCAACCGUUCAAUUCUCAAUCUAGGGCAAAACAUCAGAGCAACUUCUAAGAAUUUACAAAGAAGUGAAUCUUUUUACAAAACAAAAAUCCUACAUCAAAGAAAAGGCGCGGAAGAUAGAAAACGGCCCGGUGGUGGAUCACUGUGCACGUCUUCUGCCUGGGGGAGCAAAACAUGGAAAAGGGUGAGUGGACCUAAAAAAAAAGUUUAGAAAAUAUGAACAUACUAACUCCACUGUAAAAACAGUUGUACAAACUAAAUUAUUCUCUUUAUUUCUGCAAUCAAUGCACGUAUAUAAUUAUACAUGUAAAUAAUCAUAUUCAUGGUCAACAUUACUUUUAAAAACAGUUUAAAACUACCACCUAGGUGUACCCUUUAUUUCCGUCAAUUCCUUAUAUCCGUCAAUUCCUUGCAUCACCAUAGGUGACACAUACUCGCAGGUCUCAGUGACACGAGGUCAGUCCGAGCCGCAACUCGCAGGAUUCAGGGGACCGUGGUCCACCUUUAUCCGCAUACUCGCUCCACACGAGUUCGAUUACCAAGGAACUUGUGGGGCAACUGUCAAGCAUGCUGACUAAACCGAAGGCAACCAAUAUAAUCCGAAGGCAACAUUUAAUAUCUGGGUACAAGGUGGUUUAACAAAAUAUAAAGUUUCGGAAGCAAAGCUGUUAAAUAAUUAACUUUCUGUAACCUUUCAAAUUCUGCUGCCAUUUAUCUGACAAGUAACUAGAAUUUCUUUUCUUAUAUCCGUUAAAAGGUAUUUCACUCGGCAGCAUGUAAAAUAAAACAGCUUAUAACUGAAACUGAACGGCUUAAAUUCAUUUAUUAAAAUAUAGAGUCCACUCACCGGUAGUCCGAGCUCGCUGGACCUCUUGAAGGUCCCUUCUAUGGGUCAACUGGUGCCCGGGUGCCUGAUUCAAUGACCAUAAUAUACUAUUAAUACAAUAUAGUGUUAAUAUAAAAACUCUUACCCCCAGCUCCUAAAAGUACAUGCGUACAAUUAAAGUUAUCUCUAUACCCAUAAAAGCUUUCCUUCCAGUUUAGCAGUAUCUUGGGACUCAAAAAGCGUUAAAGUCCCAAAAAAUCAACCCGAGACCCCACGGGUCCAUGACCUCACAAUAUAAUCCGGAAGCCGCAAGAAGGUCCAAUAUAUCUAGGACACAUGUCCAGAGGGUAUUGGUCUCGAUCGGACGGUCAGAUUGAUCACGAUCGUGCAAUCGCAUAUUUUCCAAACCCUAGCUCUAGGGUUCGCGAUUUUGGAGUCCCUAGGACUCCGAUUCACAAUCCGUCGAAUCCUACACGAUUCUGAAAUUGUCUAGAGUAACAUAUCUGAAACUGGUUACGAUCCAACGGCUCAACCAUAUUGAACCCGGAAAUCGCACAAUAUGGAAAAUCCGUUCGAGGCUCAAACGGUAUCCAAAUUGAGAUCCGUGAAUUCCUACGCGCUCGUGACAACCUAAGGAUCGCAUCAAGACACAGUACCACUGCACUACCCUCGCCCACACGCCGCCGCACGCGCCGGCAGCGCUGGGUGUCCAAAGCGAUUAUGCAUCGCCGGAAAAUCUCGAAACCACGGCUCCAAACUCCUACCCUAGGUAUAACACCAUAUUUGGAACCACUUUUGUUCUUGGACCUACCCCAAAAACUGACCGAAAGUGGCCGAACAGGGAGGCCGAAAAUCAGCCAAAUUCCAAUUUGAAAACUGAGCUAUCUACGGUCAAAAUCGAUGCAAACCUACCCAACCAUCAGCUAGAGCAUGGAAAAUAGGUAGAAAUCCAUACCUUACUCGACAAAUUUGGAGAAGAAUUGAGGGAGAACGAGCGGUUGCAAAACUGUGAAAAACCAGCUCGAGUUUUACAGUUUCCGGCGGCUGGCAGCGGGCUGGGCGGGGCUUGAAGACGGAACCGAGCUGGUCCUUUUGGCACCGACGGCAAGGGCAGGGGUGGUCGGUGGCGAGAGUUCUGGCGAUUGGAAAGUGACGGGAAGGAGGACAGCGGGAGAGGGAGAGAGAGAGAGAGAGAGAGAGAGAGAGAGAGGAAAACUGAGGGAGAAGAGAGAGAGUGAGGGUUUUAAAAAUCUGAUUUUUCCUAAUUACCAUUUUGCCCCUCGUGAUAUUUUAACCGUAUUUUCUUCGUUAAAACUCCGAUUCGAGUCCACUUCAUGUCUGCGAACUCAUUUCGUCGUGCUCUACACAACGGUGUAUGUGGAAUUGUCAAAUUCCUUUUCGGUCAAAAAGUCAACUUUUCGUUAAGAAAUUAUUCCAAGGGCAAAAUUGUCUUUCCUCAUAAUAAAUUACUAAUUAAAUAUGAAUUUUAGGUUUGGGUUAUUACACUAUACUUGGAUGCGUGUUGGGUACAUGGGAUUGGUAGAAAGAGAUUAUGGAAUGGGAUUUGAGUUGUGGUUUAUAUUAAUUUUGAAGUGCUUUAGGCACUACCCUAUGUACCUUCCUGGUUUUGGAAUACAUGGAUUGGAUACUUGGAAACUUUUGGGAUACUUUGAUAUGUCGGAACCCGACCACCCUUGACAGGGUGUUUCGUAGACCCUUAGCAGGAUUAGUCUGCAAGCGUAGGACUUGUCACAGGCGUACAAGUAUUGAAGAUUCUGUUGUACAUGUUGGUGAGCCAGUCCCCCGGUUGGACAACUCAUUCCCUAGCCACAUGGUCAAUUGAGGAUUCUUCUAUAUGGUCUAGCCAAACAAUCCCCCGGUUAGAUUAUUUCCUCAGUACAAGUUUGGUAGUGGUCAUACUUAUGUAUAUAUAAAAAAUUUAUAUAUAUACACACAUAUACUUUCGUUCUUGUUUAUCAAUGAGGAUUCUUUCUUGCUUGUGGUGCCAACGGGCACGCGUUUUGGGUGAGAGUAGUUUGGGGAAAAUGGGUAAGGUUUUGAGUGGGAUGGGUAUUACUAUACCAUUAUGAGAUAUGGAUUUCACUUUGGUUUUGAUUUAGCUAUAUAUAUAUAUAUCGGUUUUGAAUGCAUAUCCCUUUUAGAAUCGUUUUCCAAAUGGUGGGGUUAGUAUGUUGUUUUUAACUAUGUAAAAACUUUAUUUUUGUCCACUCACAAAUUUUCUGUUUUGCUCCCACAAGGCAGUAGUUGAGCUGAGUCGAGCGACUAAGCCGAGUCUUGUACUUCCGAGCCCCAAGUUUCUGUAGGACAAUGUUUACUUGUUUUUAAUUCUAUUGAACUCGUUUCAUUGUAAACUGAAUUUCUUUUGAUAUGCUUGGUUAUCGCCCAUGCUAGGGUUGGAUGUAAGGUCAGAGGCCUAUUAUGUAAAUUGCAUGAUUUUUCAUUGUGCAUGCUGUUGUUGGGAUUUUAUUACUUUGUUUUUUACAAGUUAAAAAUUUGGGAAAGUUUGUUUUUCAAGAGAGACUCUACCGAAAUUUUAACAAAAUGUCUAAUUCCUCUUUUCGUUAAUUUGGAAAAGAAGCUAUAAUGUUAGUAAGUGGACCCGGCAUCAGUUUCAUGUCCGAAAUACCACAGGAUUCGCCACGGAUUUCAAGGAAAUUCAGGGCGGGUCUUGUCAAUUGGUUCCAUAAAUACAAAUAUCCUGGUAGUAGAAAAUAAAUCCGGCGAUCUUACAAUAAAUAGUCGUGAUUUUUGUUUGUGCAAAUAAUCUCACGGGAGAAUAUUCUCUUCUAGAUUCUUCAACCUUCGAUCUUCCUUCUCCCUCUUCCUCGAUUCCUGUAAAAAAGACUAGAGUAAAUAGACCACACCCGGGGGGUGUUGGCCAAAGGCCCUCCGAUGCCUAAGUUCGUUCGAGUGUUUGUAGGAAAACAAUAGCUAAGCAAAGGGUACGGAGUUGUAUGUAGGGUGUAAACCGGGUGGCCGGAGCCAUGUGUGGUGGCCGGAGCUGUGUAGAGAAAAUAUGGAGAGUGGAGAGGGAGAGAGAGCUUCGGGUAUUUUUCUCGGGUAUAAGGAGUAGGUUUAGAUGUACCUUGAAUGAUGAAUGAGGUCGUCUAUUUAUAGGAGCCUUGGGGCUAAGGUUUCGUAGGGAUCGAGUCGGACCUGAUAAUAUCCGAAUUAAAUAUAUUAUCGCUUAAGAAGAUAAUAUCUAAAUUAAAUGAUAUUAUCUUCUCUUUAUUAGGAUAAUAUCUUAAUUAAUGAUAUUAUCUCUUUAAAUAAAGAUAAUAUCAUAUUAAUUAAGAUAUUUAUCCCAAUUAAUUAAUUAGCUAGAUAAACUGGUUUAAUUAAUUAAUUUAAGAGAUAAUCUUCUUUUCCACGUGGCGUGCCUUGAUUGGAGAUGAAAAUAUAUGCUCCCACAAUUUCCAACUAAAGUAAGUCUGACUUCACUUUCCAGCUUUCAUGGUCAUUAAAGUUAUUUGGAGCCGAGUUACCAACAGUGAGGAGUCAUUCUGACAUACCUUAACAUCUAAGAAAUUAUAAACUUUGGGCUAAACUAAUUCAAAUAAUUUUGACCCUUGGAUUAAAUCACCGUUGAUUAUCAAAAUAAUGUGAAUUUAUUUUAAUUUGAUCCCCCUUUGUUUGAAUAGUAUGGGCCAUUCACCACUUUUGGUAAAUAAAGCCCAAUACCUUUUUGAAAAGUGAACCCAAUGCUUAUUUCGGGAUGGUGCACAUAUUUCAGGCCCAAACAGUACCCCUAAGUCUGAAUAUCGUCUCUAAAAAACGAUUUCAUACUUAAUGAUUGGCCUGCCUUCUAUUGAUGUGCGCCCUUUUGAUCUAUUUGCUCCUGCCCACGUCUGUUCAUUGAUUGGACAUUUUGGAAAAGUGGGUAUUAACGAUUAGUUAAUUGGGAGACUUUGGAAAAGCCCAAAGGAGAGAGAAAAUUUUUAAAAGAAGCAAAAAUGGACAAAAUUGCCCUUAUUUAUUUUUUGAUUUCCUAAGAAAUCCUUUACAUUUGCAUGUCUGUGGUUUGAAAGUUGAGAGGUUAUUCCGUCUUUUUUGAAAAAGCUUUGGCUUUUUCCAAAAGUGAAAGUUUUUUUAUGGGUAAAACCUAAAUUUACUUAGUUAAUUCUUGGCAACUCUUCUUCUCCCACUAUCUGUCUUCUUUAGAGUAUAAAGCUGCAACCUACUUUACUCUUUUAAAACCAUCAUUAACCCCGAGUUCUUCAAUUUGUAGAGUAUUUCCAAUCUUUGAAAUUUCAAAUUUCAAUGAAAAAUUCAAGCAUUUCCCUAAUUCUGCCUGAAUAUUCUCGAUGGCUUCUCCCAAAACCCGUGCUAGUAGUUCUUCCUCCUUCCCUCCACCUUAUAUUUCAGGCGAAGGUGUUGAUACACAUGCCAUUGAGAUUCGAAGCAAACUCCGUUCAUAUUCCAAGAAGAAUUUGAAUGAAAAUAUCCUACAUUUGCACGGGAAUGCUAUCAUUAUGGGUUCUGCCUAGUUUGGGAAAGUUUUUGAGGAAAUGGCCAAACUUUUUAAGGCAGAUGCUGAAGCUCUGUUUUGCUAUUGUAAUCCUUCUCUAAUAUUCCAUUCCUCGGUUAGCAAGAAUCUAAGCAGAUCAUACCAUUCUAAUGAAGUGAGGAAUAGCUCUAUGAAGUGGUCAUAAUAGUUUGGCCGACUCUCUCCAAGGUAUGAAGGCCAUUGGAAGAAAGCUAGCAUAUAUGAUGCUUUGCUUCUGUCUAAGCAUUCAAUUAAUAGAUAUGAGAAUCUCUUUGCUGCUUCUUUAUGUUUUUGGAAUUCUGCUACAAACACUUUUGACUUUCGUGUUAGCCCUAUGCCUCCAACUCUGCUCGAUAUGGCUCAAAUAUUUGGAUUUAGGCCACAUGAAAGGCCUGCUGAUGCAUUUGGAGAUUAUCACAGAAGGAAAAAUGGUGAAAGAGUAGCUAAAACGAAGCCUUGCCAUUCUUGCCAACGGAAUACCACUUUCCAACAAUUAUUGAGGCCAAUGGCCUUUAAUCUCCUGUUAAUUUAAUCGGAGUCUCCUCCAUGCUUCUCUGAUUUCUCUUUUUCAAAAUGUCGAUCAUUAUCCAAUAGAGCUAUCUGUUUGCCCCUGAAAGUGGAUUUUUCAAGCAAAAAUUGUGCCAUUGCCUAAACGUGUGGCAACUCAAUCCUGUUAAAAACACUGGAUUUUGGUAUGUCCUGUAAUUGUGCUUGCAUAAUCCUGCUGAUGAUACUUGAUUCUUGCCCCUACUAUACUGGAUGGAUUUAUUUAGAUGGAUUGGAUAGCCUUGUUAAGGCACUAUCCUUCUUCUAUGGUUUAAUAUCUGCAUUUUUAUGGUUAUCUCUGGCUCAUUCACACCUUAUAUUUACAAUAAACAACAAUUCCAGACAUAACAGUUGCCUUUGAUCUAAUCAAAGUUUCCUUGAUAACCCUCCUAUUUUGACAGGGACCUAUCUCCACAGUUGCCUUUGACUGAGAGCGUUUUUGCAUAUCCAUGAGUUAAAAACGAAGAGCAAAUUUACUGGCCAUACUGGAUUGUGAGAAGUGGCUUUGGAGACACUCUUAGAGAGGUGCAGCCGACAGUGAGAGAGAGAAUGGACUCAAAGAGUAUACUGGUGAUGUAGCUGACAAUGAGUUGGUCUUGUUGGUACCACUGAGCACGGGCAGGAUUGGUUUGGGUAAGAGAGAUGGUGGUGAUUGUGGGUGUUACGGUGGUAGAAGUGGAGGUUUGAGCAGAAGGUUGUUUAUGAGUGCCUUCGAUAAAUUUUCAGAGGUCAUGACCGACUCAAAAGAGUUUGAGUUGGCAGAGCCAAAGGAGGUAGUUGGAGUCAGUAAGCUUGAUAAAAUAAGAACAGUUGGGGUUAGGGAAGGAGAUGGUGGAUUCAGACGAAGCCAUGAGGUGGACCUAAAGGAAACGAUUGGAUCGAAUAAGGGAGAGGGAGGAAACCCUAGGUAAGGCUGAUAUCAUGUAGAGAAUAUAUUUUCUUGUAUUAAACAGAAUACACAAAGUCCCUAUUUAUACUGAUACAGGAAAUCAACUUAGGAUAGGAAAUAAUAUAGACAUGAAUACAAUCCCAUUUACAGCAGGAAAAGCUAAUUGCUAGGAGGAGAUUGUGAAGUUGACUUCCGUGUGUACUAGGAAAGGAAAGCUGCGUUAACAUCUUUCUUUGGCCAAUUUAGAUUUACCAUAUUGACUUGAGUUUUGGGAAAAGGGAUUGUAUCAAUAGUGGGGACCUUCUUUGCUAUUUUCAACUUUCUUGAGGCUAAUGCUUCUUAGACAACAUCCCUUAAAACAACACAGCUAUUGGUAGUGUGAUUCAAAGAAUAUUAUGCCACUUGCAAUACUGUCUUCCCUUCAAUUCUUCUGACUUUGGCAACCUGUGUCUAGGUGGUGUAUCUAUAGCCUUCUGAGAUAACAUUUCAUCAAACAAACCGUCUAACUUUGAUAAAUCAAAAGAAUAAACCUUGUUUGUUGGCUGUUUAUUUGGAAUGAAACCUCCAGUGAAGGGUGGUGGUUUUUGAUCCUUUGGUGCCUUUAGCAAAACUUUACAACUUAUUGUCCCUUUAUUUUAGCCAUUUUUGCCACCACUGCCAUAGUUUCCUCUGGUUCUAGCUCCUUUUCUUAUUCUACCUGCACCAAAUGUAUUGAAGAUGAAGGGGUCUUGUAGUAUGUACAUUUAGAAGCAUUCCUCUUCUGUUGUUAUUCCUUCAAUAAUUCUUCAUAUUUGGUGACCUUAUCCGCCAGUUCUGCUAAGUCUCCAAAUAUUAUUCCAUUGAACCUUUUUCUCAAGGAGAUCCUCAAUGAUGUCUGUCCCAUCUGGAUAAAGUGCCUCUCAUAUAUAGGAAUUCUAAACUUCAUUUUCAGCUUUCUGAACCUAGUAAUAAAGUCAUGAGCUGCCUCAUUCUCACUCAGCUUCAGUACAGUCCUCAGGCUAGAUUCUGUACUAGUAAUCAUGGAAAGCAGUGCUUAGCCUUUUUGCAUAAUACAGUGGAUUAGGAUAAGAAAAAUAGGAUUCCUAUGGAAGAACUUCUUUUGGGGGGGGGGGGGGGGGGGGGGGGGGUUUUCCCUUUGGGUUUCCAAAAAAUUAAAAAAAAUUUUUUUAAGGGCCCCCCUUCUUAGAAAUUUUUGGGAAUUUUUUACUCCGUUAAAAAUUGAGAAACCUUCCAGCAACCUUCUUUUUUUUUUUUNNNNNNNNNNNNNNNNNNNNNNNNNNNNNNNNNNNNNNNNNNNNNNNNNNNNNNNNNNNNNNNNNNNNNNNNNNNNNNNNNNNNNNNNNNNNNNNNNNNNAAAGAAACUUGAAUUUUUCAAUCCAUCUGUUUUUGUUAUCCAAAGCAAAAACAAAAAGUACUUGUUUGCUCUUCCCUUUUCCAUUUACUUGUUGUGUAUUUUCAGACUCCAUUUGAGUGCAGCUAUGAAUUUUAUCAUGUCAAUCAUAAAAUACAGCAUAAAAAAUAUCAAAAAAUGUACAUCAUCAACCAUAGAUUAAACAUGACACAUCUUAUGUUGAAUGGAAAAGGACGCAGUAGGAAUUUACAGAUUUGGCAUCCGAACUCUGAUUGGCGUGUAUGAUACCUUUCUGAAAAGGAAACAAUGCUACGAGUCAAACACACUGCUUUGCUAUGACGUAUGGUGGAUUUUGGGCUUUUGAGGUCGUUUAGGCUUCCAAAACAGCAUUUAAAAGUUGAAAUUUUUGGAUUUUCGUUUUUUUAAUGUUCAUUUAUAUUUGUCUCAGUAUUUUUGUUCGAUUAUAGAAAGGUUGUCAAUUAUUUCAAUUUUCUAUCUAGUCGUAUAUAGAUAUUUCAAAAGAAAAAGUAGUAACAAGCAUAAACCCUAGUAAACAAGCAUAAACCCUAGUAACAAGUAUAAGCCUAAUAACAAGAAAAACACGAUGAAGAAAAAAUCAUGGAAAAAGAAAACCCAACAAGGUAUGGAUCAAAGAAAAAAUAGGGAGCAUACCUUCACAGAUGAAGGAAUGAAGAUGUUCAUCUUCGCAGAUAGAAAAGCUAGGGCAAGAGAAAAACGUAUGAUGAAAUACUUGGGAGGGAGGUUGGAUUAUUUUGGUCUUUGUUAUUUAUAACUCUCCCCUUAAAACCUUCCAAAUAUAUCACCUUUCGAAUACACCUAGAUUUGAUUCAACUUUUUUAUAAUCCUAAUUGAAUACACCCAUAUUUGAAUAGACAUUUUAAAAGUUCAUAUAAGUCCGAAUUGAAUACACCCAGACUUGUAAAACCUCUUUUAAAAUUUUGUAUAAAUCCAAAUUGAAUACACUCGGAUUUUUAAAAUCUUUUUAAACGCUUUAUAAUCCUAAUUGAAAACACUCUAUUGGGAUUGUCAUUGCAGCUGCCAUUGGAUUCUAUCAAGCCUAAAUACAUGAUUAAAUAAACUUACAAAAUUUAGAGAAUCUUUCUAUCUUUGCGUGUCUAUUGAGACCGGUUAAGUGUGAACUACUAGGGACUGAAACAUAUUUGUACUUUUUAUCCUCUAAUUGAUCUUUUCCAUGUUUAAUGUUCUCACUUAGAAUUGAAUUUAGAUGGAUAACCUUUAUUUGGAUAAUAUCCAACCCAUACAAGUGAGACAUUUAGUAUAAAAGUUCCAAUAUUUGAAAUUUCCAAGCAAUCUUGUCCAAUUACUUCUGAUAUAAGCCGUCUUUAACAUUAUAUUGGGCAGAAAAUCAGAAUAUUUGGCCAUCUUCAACUUUGUGAGAUGUUCAAAUUUGGUCUACUUCCAGAUUCUAUUUUUGUAUGAAGCAACAAGCUACAAUUAGAUAAUAACUUACUGAAAAAUGAGACAAUAAAGUGGAUGAGGAAUCAAAAUAUAUCAUUACAUUUUCUCAUGUUUCCUGCAGAAUAAAACAUUUAGAAUUGUACAUGGCUUAAAAGACAAAUCUUCUUGUCAUCCAGUUCAAAAUUGGAGUUAUGAUUUUGGGCUCAAUAGUCUUCGAAUCGAGAGUUCAUGAUAUCGUCAUUCGACUGCUUCACAAAUUUUGUAUCUUCGUGCUCAGCUCACAAGCACUUUGACCAUCAAAGAAGGCUUCCCAGAUUCAUAAGCAACAGAAAAAUGUGCAUAUGAUCAAUCACAGCCUCUACUUCAUCUUGACACGGCGAGUUCUUCUGAUCGAACUGAGGCUGAUUUGGAUAUGAACCAGAUUCACUUCAUUUGCGUUCAUUCAUACACUUAAGCUGCAAGUGAGAUGAAUGAAGGUUUCAUCACUGCAGGGGAUUGUGAUACCACCCAUUGGAUGAUCAUAUCCAAAUUCUUCUUCUGCUUGACUUAGCAAAUCCAAGAACAAAGGCUCAUUCAAGUAUGAUAUUGGAACCACAAAUCGCUUCUUCUGGCUCCCCCCAACAUACACUGCAAAGUAGCCUUUUGGGAUGUCUACGGUGUUUGAAGUAGCAGCCUUGUUUAGACCCUUCUUGGAGUUAACAAUUCCUGGCAAUCGGAAUCCCAUGGUUUUUAUAUUCUCAAGUGGAAAAUUUGAACAAGAAAGAAUUCAGAGGACUUGGGAAACAGAGAAGACUUUGAUGCUUGGCAAGGAGAGAGACUUGAGUUGUUGGUUAUGAACCUGAUCUCUUGUGUAUAUAUAGAUGAAAGAGUAUCGCCUUCUACAUGAAAUGAGUGGUCUCGAGGCGCAGAGAUUUGCCCCAGUGAAGGAUAAUAGCUUGUGAGAAAUCAAAACAUAACAUGGGUUGUCUUCCCACUCACAUAAAUCAUCUCCACAUGCAAUGACAAAACUGUAUCCCUCUGUACAAACAUCAUUCCCCACGUCUUAUUUCAUCGAGUAAUUUGUUGUGGUCUAAAGAUUGCUAAUGUGUUCCUGUCAAGAGACUAUGGACAGAUAUGUCUUAACCCUGUUUUGUACUUCAAAGAAGUCUUUUCUAUCCACAUAUAAAGAGUUUGUAGGUGUCACAAAAAAAAUUGUUGGGCAUCAUGUUCUCCAACAAACGUACAGACGUAAUAACUACCAAGUUCUUGAGAAUGAGAUGGAAAACAGACCAUGUGAUCCCUCAAAUUCUCAUGCCUCUUUCCAAUCCCCACCCAAUUGUCCCCAUUUCAGAUAUUUUCCUCUACACACCCUUUCAUCUAUACGUAGACACACACAUACACACAGAUGAUCCCAUAAACAAUUGAAAUCCUGAGUCUUUACAAACAUGAAAUCUAAUGAGACGUGAUCCUAAAAUGAUUUAGUUUCCUGUUUUAUUUGUAUUUAUUUCAUAGAUUUGCUGUAUAUAUUCCUUAUCUCUCAAGGACUUGAUUCUUGCCUAGAAUAGGAAAUCCUUUGUGUAGACACCAAGCAAAGCAUUGUAUAUAAUUAUCACAUGAUUGUUCAAUGAAAAUCAUCGAGAAUAUUCAAAACCUUUCAUGGUAUCAAGAGCCUGAGACUCACAGUCCUCGAUCCUCAAUUUUCUUGUUCCCUGUCUUUUUUUUUUUUUUGUUGGCACCAUGGCUUCUUCCUCGUCUAUUGAUUUUCCUAGCGUUCAUCAUGUUAUCUCCAUUCGUCUCAAGUGUGAUAAUUAUCUGACGUGGCUUGCUCAAAUUGUUCCUAUCCUUCGCAUCUGCCGCUUGCUCAGCUUUGUUGACGGCACUUCUCUGUGUCCUCCGACCAUUCCUGACCCAAAUGCUAAGGCCGAUGAAUCUACUUUUCUGUCUCUCCUCCCCAACCCAGAGUAUGAUGAUUGGGUCCAGAAAUAUCAGCUUGUUUUCUCUCUCUCAUCAACGGUUCCUUUCACCAUGAAGUUCUCACCACCGUAGCUUCCAAGACCAUCGCUGUGACACUUGGGUAGCCCUUGAAACUCAUUUUGCUUCUCCGAAUCAGAAUCGUCUUCUUCAACUUCACAGUAACUUGCUUUGCACAACCUGUUGUGAAUCUUCCAUCACUGAUUUCCUUGAUCGUAUUAACUCGAUUGACGAUAACUUGGCUCUGGCAGGUGCUUUAGUUGCUGACUCUGAUCUCCUUGUGAUGGUUAUGAACAACGUUUGUCCUCUUUAUGAAAAUACCAUUGCCGCUACUCAAGCUCGUGAGAAACCCAUCAAUAUGCCUGAUCUUGAUGCUCUCCUCUUGUCUGCUGAACGUGGCCUGUAGUUAUCUUAUUCUCUGGUCAUGUAUUCUGGUGCGACAGCUAUGGAAGCUUCCCAUGGUGGUCUCGGUGGCUGUGAUUUUGGCGAUUGUGCUGGGUUUGCUGGUCAUAGUCCCGAUCUUCCCAACUCAUUCUCUCCCUCACGACUAGGUUUUACUUCUGGUCGCGGUUUCCCUGGCGCUUCCUAUGGCGCCUCUAGUCCUGCCUCACAUCAACAACAUUUUGGUAGCAAUAUCGAGCUGAGUGUUCUUGGCCCACCUCCUUCUGGCUCUACUGCUUCCUCUUUUGGGCUUCAUUCUGCCCCUAGGCCUCUUCAAUGUUUCAAUUGUCAUGGUUUUGGCCACAUCGCAGCUGUCUGUCCUUCCAAGACGUUUUCUGUGCCUUCUCCUCUGUCUCGUCUUCAAGACAUAACUGCUCAAUAUCCUUCACAUGGUGGCCAUCAACAGUGGGUUGAUGAUACCGAUGCAAACACUCAUAUUACCAAUGACCUGAGCUUCUUAUCCCUUGCUAAACAGUAUCAUGGUUCUGACAAUGUUGGAGGUGUGCUUGGUGGAACAGGUUCGCCUAUUAAAAAUAUUGGUCACUCUCGUUUCUCUCACCUUAAUUCUUCUUUUCAUCUUAAUGAUAUUGUUCAUUGUCUCGAUGCAUCUCUUCCUCUCUUACCUAUUCAUAAAUUUCCCACUAACAACCAUUGUUUCUUCACUUUUUUUCCUAAUUGUUAUUUUAUCCAGGAUUUGGGGACGAGGAGGACACUUUCUUGGGCAAGAGUAGUAAUGGCCUAUAUCCCUUUUCAUUUACACCGAAUGAGUUUUUUCAAGUUUUGCGUGAUCGUGUUGCUUUACUAGGUGUCUAUGUUGACCGCUCUGUGUGGCACUCUCGCCUUGGUCAUCCUGCUUCGUCUACUUUGCAAUUUUUGUUAUCUCAUAAUAAAUUGCCAUCUUCUGGCUCUGUCUAGUUCUUUUUGUCAGUCAUGUACGUUGGGUAAAAGUGUUAAAUUACCCUUUAGUCCUUUUUAUGUCCUUUCUUCUCCACUGAAACUUAUUCACUCUGAUGUAUGGAGUUCUUCAAAUAAAUCUAUUUCUUAUUUUAAUUAUUAUGUUUUAUAUGUUGAUGAUUUUUGUCGUUAUUCUUGAAUUUUUCCAAUGAAAUUGAAAUCAUAAGUUUUCUCUCACUUCAUUAAAUUUAAGGCUUUGGUUGAAAAUAUGUUUUUCACUACGAUUAAGGCAUUUCAAUCAGAUGGGGGUGGGGAAUACACUAGUCAUCAAUUUAAGAAUUUUUUAUCUCAUCAUGGCAUUCAUCAUCGUCUUUCUUGUCCACAUCAUCCUGAGUAAAAUGGUUUAGCCGAACGUAAGCAUCGUCACAUUGUUGACACCGGGCUCACUCUUUUAGCCAAUGCCUUUAUGCCUCCUUCCUAUUGGGCUGAGGCCAAGCACACCACUGUUUAUUUAAUUUACCGUCUUUCUUCUAAGUUGCUUCAGUAUAAAUCACCCUAUGAAUUAUUGUUUCACAAAGAACAUAAUUAUUCGUUUUUAAAACCUUUUGGGUGUGCAUGUUUUCCUUAUUUACGGCCAUAUAAUAAUAAUAAAUUACAAUUUCGGUCUUCCAAAUGUGUGUUACUUGGUUAUUCUUUGAACCCUCAAGGUUAUCGAUGCUUGGAUCUUGUUUCUAAUCAUGUUUUUUUAUCGCGUCAUGUGUUAUUUGAUGAAGUUUCUUUUCUGUUUAACAAGGCACAUGCUGCUACUACUCCAGACCAUUCUCCGUCAUCAGACCUGCCUGUCAUCCUCUCUGGCCCAAGUUUAUCUUCAUGCAGCCCAUGCCUUCCAGUGUCGUAUUCUCUGCCUAGUCUCCCUUCUUUGGUGCCAAAAUUAGGAAGCGGAGAGUGAGAACUCACACACACGGGUACCAUGGGAGCUUGAACCCAAGACCUCUUGAGAGCACACCAAAAGCCUAGGAAAAUCCACCUAACACCCCAUUAGUCGACAGUAAAUAGUUCAAUUGCAUAAAAAGAAAACAAGAAGACUUAAUGGAUAUGAAAAAUAGUUUUUCCAACAUAUUUCUUCCCUCGUAUAAGUACAUUAAAAAUUGAACAAAUGAGAUUCCAAAUUGGUUGUCGUCAUCUUUUAGAUCCUUUUUCUAUCUCUUCAACCGUUGGGAGGGUUUUUUUAUUUAAAUUAUUUUUUUGUCAAAAAUGAUUGCUAAUUAAUUACAGUUUUACUUUUUCUUUUUUGCUUUUGUAAUGAAUAAAGAGUACAAAUGAAACAUCGUCAAAAUUGCUUGACAAAGUGGGCUGUCGUUUAAAAAAAAUGUAGAUUACAAGUUUAAUGGACAAGCAAUUUGUGAUCUAUAAAGAUGUUGCUUCCUAUUGCUUUCACCAUUAUUUCCACCAAAGUAAAAUUUAUAGCUGAAAGUUAGAUCAGUUUCGUACACAUAGUAGAUCCAAAAUGUUACUACCAAAAAGGCUUCAGUUUUAACUUGCUACACUUUGCCUACCACUGGAAAUAUCCAAUUCGGAGUGCAUGAGGGUAAAAUUGAGUGUCAUUAUUGGUAGUGAAAUACUUUGUGAUUAGGAAAUAUAUCUUGACAAUUUGAUUAUAACAAAUGAAUAGAAAAAAAAUUAGAAAUACCUGCAUAUAUAGUUAUGGAACAGUUAGAGAUUGAAAUUUCAACCGGCCAGCAAGAAAGGAAAAGGGAGAGAAUCCCAAAAACAAUAGAAAUGUGUGGCAUGGGAGGAGCCCCUAUUAUGUCACCUCCUUAGUUUUCAAUUAAGAAAACGUAGUGAAAAUAUGAGAAUCCUUCCCAGCCACACAUCUCCAUUGGCCUCUGGGAGGCCUAUCUCCCAUUUCAAGUCAGCCAAUUCUAAGAGUGUAUUAUGCUCUCAAGAUUUAGAGCCCAUUAUUUAUAGGGAAGCCAAGGGUACAUAAGUUCAAAAAAUAACCUAUAGUGCCCAUGGUUUCCAUAUGGUGAGGAAUCUAUGCGCCAUCGUAGUUGUUUCACCACAUGUUUUGACAAUUUUCGUGAGGAAGCGAAAAGGAAAAUUGGGUUGGUAUUCUUGCAUGCUUCCCACACGUCGUAAAAUAAAUUCUUGAUAUACCUAUUAAACCAUUUCUUUUAUCAGUUCACGUGAUGAACACGAUGAGAGAGAUAAAGAGAAACCGGCCGGUUACAUCUGACACCUAUGAACAGAAAAGAAUCCAAAACCGUGAUAGGUUGGUGAAGGGAAGUGAUGUUUUUGGUUUUCCAAAAUUGGAUUUUGGAUUUUGGGGAUAUUAGUACCAGUUUUUGAGCCACUAAAUAAUUCGAUUGCAUAAUCAAACUUAAAACAAAAGUUACAGGUAUGUUAGAUAUGAAAUAUAAUUCAAUUGCCUUCUACUUGAUUAUGAUCUUCCUCGCUGGACUAUGAAUGCUAUUGGGCUUCUAAUUUGUUGCUCCAAAAACCCAUUUACCGCAACGGGCCAUUCAUCGGGCCUCCAUAAAUUCAGGUCCAAUCAACAUUUAUAUGGAGAUGAAUGCUAGAUUGGAAAAUCCAUGAAAUCUGCAGUAUGUGGUGGUGUAGAGGCUAUAUGCUGUGGUGGGGAUGAAUGGGGAGACAUAUGCAUAUGAAGGAUCACAUGGUUCUGUCUUCCACAUCAUCAAGAAUUUGGCAAUGAUUGAGACUUCAUAUCUGUUGGAUUGUGUUUUAGUUUUAAAUCUGAAGUCCUUGCUAGGACAGGAAGCUAGACAAGUUGCUGACUCUAAUAUAUCUUUAUAACGGUAUGUAAAUAUUUUUGUAGUUUGUCAAAAAUAAAAAAAUCUUGUCAUGCACCUAUCAAUAAUACAUUGAGGUUUUUUUUCCCUCAGAUAAUUUGUUUUUCUAAGGGUUUUCAAAAAUCUAGUUUAUGCAAGCUGGAAUUAUGCAAAUAGACUUUGGCAAGAGAAAAUUAAUGUCAUAGCAUAUUGUCAUGAAACAAAUAUUUGUGUCAGGAGUUGAUUUGCAAGAAUGUGUUUCAUCAAAAUUUGAUAACUUAGGAUCAAUCAAGCAUUAAAAAUGCCACUGAAAUGGGCAUGAUAUUUCCCCAAUCUGUAUGAGGAACCAUGUAAAAAGUUAUAUGGUCAGCAUUUUAGUCAAAUUCUUGUGCAAAUCUGCUACCACUUGUGGGAUUAACUAUAUAACAAGGGCUACAAGAAGAUAAUACUAUAAUGCAAACCAUAAGACAAGAAAGGAUGAGGAUUUCAAAUAGAUUGUAUAUUGCUCCUGGAGAACAACAAAGAAGUUUACAUAGGUUCAAAAGACAGAAUUUGACUGCCUUUGGGUGGGGGAUGAUAUUUGGACCAAUGGUUCUAGGGAGUUCAUAAUAUCAUCACUUGUCUGCUUCAUAAAAGCUCAGCCUAGAAGCAGCUUCAGCAUUUGAGAAGGUUUGCUUUCACCAUAAGAUGUGAGUUGAUUCCAUGGAUGAGCAGUGGUAGCCUCUUCUUCAUCCCAACUCAGCGAGUUCUGAAAUGUGGAUGCUUUGGAUAUGAUCAUAUCCAAAUUCUUUCAUCUUGGCUCAGUGAGCUCUGAAAUGAGGAUGGUUUGGAUAGAUUGGAUGACCGAUUCGUGUACACUCACACACUUAAGCGGGAAGUGAGAUCAAGGAAGGUGUUUUCACUGCAGGGGAUUGUGAUACCUCCCAUGGGAUGAUCAUAUCCGAAUUCUUCUUCAGCUUGACUCAGCAAAUCCAGGAAUAAAGGCUCAUUCAAAUAUGAUAUCGGAAUCACAAACCGCUUCUUCUGGCUCUCCCCAACAUAGACUGCAAAGUUGCCUUUUGGGAUAUCUAAAGUCUUUGAAUCUGCUGUCUGGCUUGAACUAGAUAGAGAUCGAAUGAGACUUCUCUUUGCGUUAACAAUUGCAGGCAACCGGAAACCCAUGAUCUUAUAUAUUCUCAAAGGACAAAAGAAGAGAGGGAAUUCAAAGGACUUGGAUUUGGAAAGCAGAGAAAGCUUUGGUGCUUGAGAAGGUGAAGACUUGAGUUGCUCAUGAUGAACUUGGUCAUGUGUAUAUAUAGAUCAAGGGUAUCCAGAAAAUCAACAGCUACAUGAAAUUAUUGGUCUGAGAUGGGCUCCAAUGAGGGACACUUGAUUGUGAGAAAUCACAUGGGCUUGUCGUCCUUCUCACCCAACACAUCCUUGAAAGAUUUCUCACGGAACUCUUCCCUACCUCCUCUAGGUAACAGACAACAAAAGGACCACCAGAGGUGAUUCAAUCCAAAAGAAUUUUGUCUGUUAGGUAAGUAGCAUUUAUGCUUCAGACAUGCACUUCUCUUUGUUCACACUAAUUCAGCUGACCACAUAAUCGGACUAUUAUACUACAAAGUUUCUUGAAUAGGUCUGCUAAUGAAUUGCCCUCUCACUUCAUCAAAAGACCAACAACACUGCAUAUGUUGUGGUCCUACCCAACACUGAUACAAUUGUGUUGUGUGGUGCUAAAUAGCUUGCUUGGGAGCAGCAAGGCACCCUACAUGUGGCUUUGUAGUUUCGUCUCUGAUCUUCAGUCUCAGCAAACAAAGGAGUUAUUUAUUUCAUUUUGUUAGGCCAAUCUGGACUUAACCAGAAAACACUAUUGCAACUCGGUCUAAACUCAAUUUUUUUAAAAACCAUUUUCCAUUACAACUCUUGGUUUAACAAAACCAUUGCCAGUCUUGUUUUAGGUAAGUUCGGCGAAAAGCCUACUAGAGAAAUCUAGAAAAUUCUAGAGAGAAGGAGAAGCUAGGUUGAUAAUCUCUUCUUGCCUUUGCUUAUGUCAACAACUGAAGAAGCCAUGUAAACUUGGCUUGCACUCUCUAGCAUAGGGAAAGUCGUGCAUAUAUAUUGUGCCAUUUUUUUAAUGAAAGAAACUUAGUUGUUCGGCUCAGUGUCUCUCUAUAUUAACUCAUGAUGACUCUCCUCCUUAUUAUUCUUUCAGUCCAUUGAGAGAUGUUAAGCAUACUGUGCUUAAUAUAUUAUUAAAUUAUCAGAUACAGUCAUUUUGCCCCCAUGGAUAAAGGAAGUACAAAGUAAACCAUUAUACUUUCAUUUUCUGAAAAAUAUGCUGUCAGUGAUGAUUUUAUUUUAUGACAGAGCUACAAGUACAAUGAAAAAUAAGACAAGAAAGUGGAUCAGGAUUUAAAUUUGCAUUCCAAUAUAUUUUCCUGGAGAGUAACAAAGGUUACACAUGAGAAGAUCAUAGCAUCCAACCCAAAUGUGGAGAGCCCCAAGAUCUUUUAUACUACAAUGCACGUCUUUAAGUUCCGUAUGUACUCUCAAGAACAAUAGUUCAAAAUUUCGAUCAUGAUUUUGGACUAAAGUUUUUCAACGUCCAUAGUGUCUUCGUUUGUCGGAUUCAUGAACUUUUUAACUUUAUGCUCAGAUCACAAGCAGCUUCAGGCUUACAGAUUGCUUCCUCUCAGCACAAGAUGUAAGUCGACAGUGGACGAUCAAGAAUAGCCUCUUUCUCAUCAUUACUCAGUGAGUUCUGGAAUGAGGAUGCUUAUACAUGAAUGAAUUUGGAUCAUAGUUUCUUUUCUUUGGUGUGCACUCAUACACUUAAGCGGGAAGUGAGAUGAAGGAAGAUGUCUUCACUGCAGGGGAUUGUGAUACCACCCAUGGGAUGAUCAUAUCCAAAUUCUUCUUCAGCUUGACUCAGCAAAUCCCGGAACAAAGGCUUAUUCAAAUAUGAUAUUGGAAUCAAAAACCGUUUCUUUUGGCUCUCCCCAACAUAGACUGCAAAAUAGCCUUUUGGGAUAUCUAAGGUCUUUGAAUCAUCUGUCUGACUUGAACUAGAUAGAGAUCGAAUGAGACUUCUCUUGGCGUUAACAAUUCCAGGCAACCGGAAACCCAUGAUUUAGUACAUUCUCAAGAGGACAAGACGAGGAAAAAGAUUGGCAAGGACUUGGAAAAAACAGAGAGAGCUUUGAUGCGUGGGAAGGAUAGGACUUGAGUAGCUCAUGAUGAACCGAUCAUAGUAUAGAUAUACAUGAAAGGUAUGCAAAAAAAUCAUCAGGUACAUGAAAUGAUUUGUACUGAAGAGGAACUGAGAGGAGAAGCAAUGAGGGCCACUAGCUUGUACCAAAUCACAUGGGUUUGUUUUCGUGCUCAUGCAACCCUUCCGCAAGAGAUUUCUCAUGAAAAUGAUCACACUCUAUCCUUGUGUAGAAAAAGGAUACCCUACCUAGCUAGCUCCUCUGCUUAACAGACAACAAAAGGGACCACCAUGUUCUUGAAAAAUGAAUUCAUUGCUCCUCUGGUUAAUUAACAGUACUGCAUAUGGUAUGCCCUACAACAAAAACUUGUUAACUUGUGUGAUAAACUAGUAGUCCCUUUCUUUUUCAUCUUUUUAUAAAUGCUGCUUCAAAAGACAAGAAUUUGUGGUGCUAUGAGAAUAUACAUGGACCCUCGGAUGCUCUAUGAUUUGGUUGGUUGGGAGCACCAAACCACCCUUGCAUGUGGCUUUGUCCUUUCAUCUAUGAUCUUCAGGCCCAACAAGCAAGGGAAGUCUUUCAUUUGUUUGAAGAAUUGAUACUUAUUGAGAAUGCAGUAGGUAAUGAGUACAUAUCUAAAAAGCAUAUGAUAUCAAGAGAGUGCUAAUCUGUAGCAAUUGUAAAUGUAGGAUACAUACUUUUUACUUAAAGUUAAACAUAUGAAAAGAUGUUUUACUAAUCGAAUUAUUUGAUAUAGCAAAUGUAAAUUGAAAAAGAUGAAAACCAACAUUAAGUUCUCUUUGUAGGCGCUAGUAGAGUAAAACAUGCCAAUUCGUUGUAAGUGCAAGCCACAUCGCUUAUGCUUAUACUCAACAUGAAAUGAAUUGUUGACAUUACAAUUCGUGAAAUCUAUCUGUUGACUCUAGCGACGUCAGUAAUUUCAUCUAAAUUGUAGAAAUUUGUUAUAAAAACAAAGAAGAUUAUUGAACAACCUGAUUACCUAAAACCAAAUUAGAUUUUAGAAAAAUAUAGUAGAUACAUAAAACUUUAUUACCUAACAAAGAAAGAUGUCAAAUCUUUCAAAAACAUUUUCUUACAACCAAGGGAAAAAAUCCAAGAUUGAAUUGAUGAAAAUGACUUCGUUUGGACCACUCAAACCUUCUUUGCUAAUUACUCAGUUAGCUAGUUUGUUAAAGUAGAGAAGUUACCUAGUAUAUCUCCAACAAAAAUAGUCAUAUUGUAAAGCCUGUUAUGUAACUAAGGGAAUUGUGGAGAGAAUAUAGAGAAAACAAGUAGCAAUAGAAAGGCUCUUCAUCUGCUUGUAUUAAAGUUUACUUUGUAUCCAUUACAAUUGAGAAGGUAGCCUUGUUUAUAGGCCAAGCCUUGGCUAACAACCAGAGAAAGAAGGCUCAUGGAAGGUGUAAGCAAAUAACGUUCCAACUUGUGGGCUCCACUUGCAGACUUUUACAACACUCUCUCUUGGAUACCACAAUGUAUGGAAUCUGUCUCGUUAAAAACCUUGCCAAUAAAAUUUAGUGGGACAAAAAAUGGUCCAAAGGGAAAAAGAGCGCAUAAUCAUGUGUAACAUAAAAUUAUGUAUAUAUAACACUGACACGCGUGCGACACUGCCUCGUUAAAACCUUGCCAGGUAAAACUCAGUGGGACAAAAAAGAAAAAACUAGAUGAAGGAAAAAGAGUACAAUGUGUGAAAAUCUUAUUGAUGGCACGCUCCCCCUGAUGCUGACAAAAUAUCUUUAAGUCAUGAUGUUGACAAUCUUUCUGAAUGUCGUAGUUGAACACUGCUUCCAUGAAUCAAUCUUGUAAUACUGGUGGAUGCUACCCCUAAAGAAUUACUCCCCUUGAUGUCUUCUUUGAUGAUCCAACACAAAUGAUAUUGAUAUCACAUUUGUACUUCACAAACUGAUCUUUGGUAAUGCUUGUAGAAAACUUGUUGUUGUAACAUCUCUGGAGGAUCCCUGUGUGUCGUCAUUCAUCUAAUUCUUAUUGAGGUUAGAGUAAUACAGAAAAAUAUCUAGGCUAUUUUCAUAAGACUUUCACUGUACACAAUGGUUUGAAUUUCAUAUGUUUUCCAAUAUAAAAAACAAUAAGCUCAUAUUUAUAAUGAUAAGAGCAUUAAAUAUUUAUAUGGUGUUGUUUACCCUUUUUGUAUUUGAGUAUGUUGAAGCCUAAAUAAAAUUCCCCAUUAAUUUUUUAAACACUUAAUGGUUUCUUGAGUAACUUUCUUGCCACUAUUAGCAGAUAAUACCCUAACAGAUUUGAACAACUUUAUAUACUUGCACCCCAAGUAAUAGACUUUAAACAAACAAUUGUGAUUUUGGAUGGGGAAACCUCCCAAGAGAGUUCUUUUCUAUGCCUCAGACUUGUGACGACUUCACAAUUUAUUAAGACAAAAAUGGUAAGCAAAGCAAAAUACACAAAUUUAUGAAGGGUAUAACAGACUAAUCCAAGCAAAACUACUUGAAGCACAAAGUAACAAAUGAAUCUUUAAAUCUACGUACUUCUCAAAGGGGUUGGACUUUGACUUAUGUUUGAAAACAUAGUCGCAAUGAUGACUUGUGAUUAGACUGGACUGAACUUUUGUUGACUAGAUUGAAUGUUUCUGCACUGGAAUUUCAUGUCAGCACCUUCAACUAAUAGAGAUUAGCUAGAAAUCGAUACCAAGUUUGAAGUUUGGCAGAGCUAUAAACAAGUUAAACCUUGAAUAGGCUAUGGAAGUGAUCAAAACUGCAAACGAGUACCUAUUCUUGUUGAUUCUGAGUGAUUUUAAAGCUAUCUAGACAAUUUUAAGACAUUAAGAUGUAUUUGAAAAGCUUGUUGAGGAUUUUGUAUGAUGAAAUACCUGACUUCUUCUUGUUUUAUCUAAUUUGAUGAACCAAAUUUGUCAGAGGAAUUAAUCUCGUUUGAAUUCUGUUUGAUUUACCUUAUCUGGAUUACAAGGGCAAUCUUGGUUUCUUCUUGGUUUUCUGAACUUCUUUUUGAGCUGGAUUGCUUGUUAAGGAAGAUUGCUUGCUUGCUUUUGGUAGUUGUAAGAUCAUAUGAUCUUUGAUUUCUUUUUAUCAAUCUGGAGUUAUUGUUGAGUUUUUCCUUAAUUUGUUGGUUAUUUGUCCCUUCUCCUGUCCAGACACUUUUGUAUUUAUAGGAGAAAAAUGAUGUUGAAGAAAUCUGGAAUUUUUAGUUUUGGACUAUCCUCCAUUUAAUGCACAAGUGGCAAAAGUUUUGUUAGUUAAUGCAUUGAUCGUUUUUGGCACCUGCUCAUUAAUGUUCUUGAAUGUCUCCUGAUCGUUCCUUUUGGAACAACUAAGCUGAAGUGAGCAAUAAUGCCCAAAUUCCUCCAACGUUGGUGUAACACCCGGAUCCAAUUUUAACUUCUCAUUCAAAUUAUUUAAUUUAUUUAAUUGUGAAAUUACAAUUUUACCCUUAGGGCAGGGUUAUUUUGGUCAGUUUUUAAUCCGAUAGGAUUUUGGGGAAUUGAAUGGCACCAUUACUUAGAGUGCAUCGAUACGAGUUCAUAGACAUUCAGUGGGAUCAAAUAAGAGUUUUAACAAAGAAGUUACGAUCAACGGAAGUGCAAUGGCACCACCGUAAAUAUUUCAAAAUUUGAAAUUGAAACACUAGAUUCUCUCUCUCAAUCUCUCCCUCAUGAAUCUCUCUCUCCUCUGUUGGGAGCACCACAACCCCGUCGUCUUCUAACGAUGAUUCCGGCGUCAUCCUUCCUCUCCUGCUACGAAACUGGUUACAAUUUUUUUUCAUCUCUCUCUCCUCUUUACAUCCAUACCAAUUUCCAACCUCAAUUCCAAGGGAUUAAGCCAAAAAUUCGAACGAAAACCCAACUCAAACUGGCCUGUCAAAAACCAUGACUUUCGGCGUUUGUUCCGGCCAACUUCACCGAUCACCAGGUGGGUUCCAAAACACUCCCGUGCCUCCCCUCUGUAAUUUUCCUCGAAGACCCGACUUGAUUUCAACCCGAAACCAUCGAAUUGAAACCUAGAAGGUGUUUCAACGAGAAAACCAACUGUUCGAGGGCUUUAGCGGCUGAAUUGAUCUUCAAGCAAAGGUAUAAAGUUACUCCCCUUGAUGUGUUUGAUCUUUUGAUAUGAUUAUUGGCCAGCGGUUUGGAGUUUUUCGAUCGCCGGAAAUUUUUUCAAGACACCCGUAGGCAGUGGUGGCUCGUCAGUGGGGUAUCAAGGUUGGGUUUUGAAGCUAGAAUGUUCCCCAUGUCGUCCCAAGCACGAUAGUAUGCUCAAAUUUGAAUUUGGUUGUUGUUUGACGGUCGAUCAAAUUUACACAUAUUAGGCGUCUUCCGUGUUCGAUAUGUUCAGACCGUUGGAUCAACUCCAUUUCCAACUAUGCUGGUCUAGAUACCUCUCAGAUCAUGUAGGAACUACGAAUUGAGAAUCGGAGUCCCGGAUACUCCAAUUUAAUGGCUCAAAGUUUGGGUAAAACGGUGACCGCCCGAUCGUAUGAUUGUGAGCGAUCCGACCGCUCGAUCUGGACCAAACUUGUAGGACGUGUUUAGUAAGCUUUGUUGAACCCGUAGGGAACUUUUGGAUAGGAAAUUGGAGGUCAUGGGCCCAACAGGCCCAGCUGACCAAAUUUGGGAAGUUUGACCACUUGGUUGACCGAGCGUCUUUCGAGGUUAUUUCACAUUUCAGAACAUGUAGUUGGACCUUAGAAACUUCCUGUUUGUUGUAUACACACCUUGAAUUCCGGGAAAAAUUAGGAAUUUAUUUUAAAGUUUCCAUCCAAAUUAUUUUAAUUAAUCUAGUCCUCGUAUUUUUCAAUAGGCACUUCGGCUCAGCGUACUCAAUAGGGUUAAGCAGCUCUAGAUUAUCUGUGAGUGGACUUUGUUUUUAAAUAAUAAUCAUUAUUUUCAAAGAGAAAAAGCUAUGCAUAAUGAGUUAUUCGAUUAUUGAGUUUAACAUAUUAUUUAUUUAAAUGUUUGAAUUUGCAUAUUGUGAUUAUCUUGAAUUAAUAUAUGCUAUGUUUGAGAGUUACUAUCUGACAGGACCCGAUCCAAAUUCCGCUUUGGAAUCCAAGCCGGACCCUGUGCGUGUCCGACACCUGGCGAAUGUCAGGCACAAAUGACCUAUUUGCCCUUCUAUACAAAACAUGAUAAAAUAACAAGGUUGACGUCUACCGAAAAACCGGCAGAGUUUCCCUUGUAACUGGCUCAAUACCAACAUAUUUACACCUGCCAAACAAGUAUAUAUAUACAUCCAACUGCCAGCAUACAUUUAUAUACAGUCCAACCGUUCAAUUCUCAAUCUAGGGCAAAACAUCAGAGCAACUACUAAGAAUUUACAAAGAAGUGAAUCUUUUUACAAAACAAAAAUCCUACAUCAAAGAAAAGGCGCGGAAGAUAGAAAACGGCCCGGUGGUGGAUCACUGUGCACGUCUUCUGCCUGGGGGAGCAAAACAUGGAAAAGGGUGAGUGGACCUAAAAACAAAGUUUAGAAAAUAGCAUAUGAACAUACUAACCCCACUGUAAAAACAGUUGUACAAACUAAAUUAUUCUCUUUAUUUCUGCAAUCAAUGCACGUAUAUAAUUAUACAUGUAAAUAAUCAUAUUCAUGGUCAACAUUACUUUUAAAAACAGUUUAAAACUACCACCUAGGUGUACCCUUUAUUUCCGUCAAUUCCUUAUAUCCGUCAAUUCCUUGCAUCACCAUAGGUGACACAUACUCGCAGGUCUCAGUGACACGAGGUCAGUCCGAGCCGCAACUCGCAUGAUUCAGGGGACCGUGGUCCACCUUUAUCCGCAUACUCGCUCCAUACGAGUUCGAUUACCAAGGAACUUGUGGGGCAACUGUCAAGCAUGCUGACUAAACCGAAGGCAACCAAUAUAAUCCGAAGGCAACAUUUAAUAUCUGGGUACAAGGUGGUUUAACAAAAUAUAAAGUUUCUGAAGCAAAGCUGUUGAAUAAUAAACUUUCUAUAACCUUUCAAAUUCUGCUGCCAUUUAUCUGACAAGUAACUAUAAUUUCUUUUCUUAUAUCCGUUAAAAGGUAUUCCACUCGGCAGCAUGUAAAAUAAAACAGCUUAUAAUUGAAACUGAACUGCUUAAAUUCAUUUAUUAAAACAUAGAGUCCAUUCACCGGUAGUCCGAGCUCGCUGGACCUCUUAAAGGUCCCUCCUAUGGGUCAACUGGUGCCCGGGUGCCUGAUUCAAUGACCAUAAUAUACUAUUAAUACAAUAUAGUGUUAAUAUAAAAACUCUGACCCCCAGCUCCUAAAAGUACAUGCGUACAAUUAAAGUUAUCUCUAUGCCCAUAAAAGCUUUCCUUCCAGUUUAGCAGUAUCUUGGGACUCAAAAAGCGUUAAAGUCCCAAAAAAUCAACCCGGGACCCCACGGGUCCAUGACCUCACAAUAUAAUUCGGAAGCCGCAAGAAGGUCCAAUAUAUCUAGGACACAUGUCCAGAGGGUAUUGGUCUCGAUCGGACGGUCAGAUUGAUCACGAUCGUGCAAUCGCAUAUUUUCCAAACCCAAGCUCUAGGGUUCGCGAUUCUCGGAGUCCCUAGGACUCCGAUUCACAAUCCGUCGAAUCCUACACGAUUCUAAAAUUGUCUAGAGUAACAUAUCUGAAACUGGUUACGAUCCAACGGCUCAACCGUAUUGAACCCGGAAAUCGCACAAUAUGGAAAAUCCGUUCGAGGCUCAAACGGUAUCAAAAUUGAGAUCCGUGAAUUCCUACGCGCUCGUGACAACCUAAGGAUCGCAUCAAGUCUCAGUACCACUGCACUACCCUCGCCCACACGCUGCCGCACGCGCCGGCAGCGCUGGGUGUCCAAAGCGAUUAUGCAUCGCCGGAAAAUCUCGAAACCACGGCUCCGAACUCCUACCAUAGGUAUAACACCAUAUUUGGAACCACUUUUGUUCUUGGACCUACCCCAAAAACUGACCGAAAGUGGCCGAACACGGAGGUCGAAAAUCAGCCAAAUUCCAAUUUGAAAACCGAGCUAUCUACGGUCAAAAUCGAUGCAAACCUACCCAACCAUCAGCUAGAGCAUGGAAAAUAGGUAGAAAUCCAUACCUUACUCGACAAAUUUGGAGAAGAAUUGAGGGAGAACGAGCGGUUGCAAAACUGUGAAAAACCAGCUCGAGUUUUACAGUUUCCGGCGGCUGAACGACGGUGGCUGGCAGCGGGCUGGGCGGGGCUUGAAGACGGAACCGAGCUGGUCCUUUUGGCACCGACGGCAGGGGCAGGGGUGGUCAGUGGCGAGAGUUCUGGCGAUUGGAAAGUGACGGGAAGGAGGACAGCGGGAGAGGGAGAGAGAGAGAGAGAGAGAGGAAAACUUUUCGUUAAAACUCCGAUUCGAGUCCACUUCAUGUCUGCGAACUCAUUUCGUCGUGCUCUACACAACGGUGUAUGUGGAAUUGUCAAAUUCCUUUUCGGUCAAAAAGUCAACUUUUCGUUAAGAAAUUAUUCCAAGGGCAAAAUUGUCUUUCCUCAUAAUAAAUUACUAAUUAAAUAUGAAUUUUAGGUUUGGGUUAUUACACUAUACUUGGAUGCGUGUUGGGUACAUGGGAUUGGUAGAAAGAGAUUAUGGAAUGGGAUUUGAGUUGUGGUUUAUAUUAAUUUUGAAGUGCUUUAGGCACUACCCUAUGUACCUUCCUGGUUUUGGAAUACAUGGAUUGGAUACUUGGAAACUUUUGGGAUACUUUGAUAUGUCGAAACCCAACCACCCUUGACAGGGUGUUUUGUAGACCCUUAGCAGGAUUAGUCUGCAAGCGUAGGACUUGUCACAGGCGUACAAGUAUUGAAGAUUCUGUUGUACAUGUUGGUGAGCCAGUCCCCCGGUUGGACAACUCAUUCCCUAGCCACAUGGUCAAUUGAGGAUUCUUCUAUAUGGUCUAGCCAAACAAUCCCCCGGUUAGAUUAUUUCCUCAGUACAAGUUUGGUAGUGGUCAUACUUAUGUAUAUAUAAAAAAUUUAUAUAUAUACACACAUAUACUUUCGUUCUUGUUUAUCAAUGAGGAUUCUUUCUUGCUUGUGGUGCCAACGGGCACGCGUUUUGGGUGAGAGUAGUUUGGGGAAAAUGGGUAAGGUUUUGAGUGGGAUGGGUAUUACUAUACCAUUAUGAGAUAUGGAUUUCACUUUGGUUUUGACUUAGCUAUAUAUAUAUAUAUAUAUAUCGAUUUUGAAUGCAUAUCCUUUUUAGAAUCGUUUUCCAAAUGGUGGGGGUUAGUAUGUUGUUUUUAACUAUGUAAAAACUUUAUUUUUGUCCACUCACAAAUUUUCUGUUUUGCUCCCACAAGGCAGUAGUUGAGCUGAGUCGAGCGACUAAGCCGAGUCUUGUACUUCCGAGCCCCAAGUUUCUGUAGGACAAUGUUUACUUGUUUUUAAUUCUAUUGAACUCGUUUCAUUGUAAACUGAAUUUCUUUUGAUAUGCUUGGUUAUCGCCCAUGCUAGGGUUGGAUGUAAGGUCAGAGGCCUAUUAUGUAAAUUGCAUGAUUUUUCAUUGUGCAUGCUGUUGUUGGGAUUUUAUUACUUUGUUUUUUACAAGUUAAAAAUUUGGGAAAGUUUGUUUUUCAAGAGAGACUCUACCGAAAUUUUGACAAAAUGUCUAGUUCCUCUUUUCCUUAAUUUGGAAAAGAAGCUAUAAUGUUAGUAAGUGGGCCCGGCAUCAGUUUGAUGUCCGAAAUACCACAGGAUUCGCCACGGAUUCCAAGAAAAUUCAGGGCGGGUCUUGUCAAUUGGUUCCAUAAAUACAAAUAUCCUGGUAGUAGAAAAUAAAUCCGGCGAUCUUACAAUAAAUAGUCGUGAUUUCUGUUUGUGCAAAUAAUCUCACGGGAGAAUAUUCUCUUCUAGAUUCUUCAACCUUCGAUCUUCCUUCUCCCUCUUCCUCGAUUCCUGUAAAAAAGACUAGAGUAAAUAGACCACACCCCCCGUGUUGGCCAAAGGCCCUCCAAUGCCUAAGUUCGUUCGAGUGUUUGUAGGAAAACAAUAGCUAAACAAAGGGUACGGAGUUGUAUGUAGGGUGUAAACCGGGUGACCGGAGCCAUGUGUGGUGGCCGGAGCCGUGUGGAGAAAAUAUGGAGAGUGGCGAGGGAGAGAGAGCUUCGGGUAUUUUUCUCGGGUAUAAGGAGUAGGUUUAGAUGUACCUUGAAUGAUGAAUGAGGUCGUCUAUUUAUAGGAGCCUUGGGGCUAGGGUUUCGUAGGGAUCGAGUCGGACCUGAUAAUAUCCGAAUUAAAUAUAUUAUCGCUUAAGAAGAUAAUAUCUAAAUUAAAUGAUAUUAUCUUCUCUUUAUUAGGAUAAUAUCUUAAUUAAUGAUAUUAUCUCUUUAAAUAAAGAUAAUAUCAUAUUAAUUAAGAUAUUUAUCCCAAUUAAUUAAUUAGCUAGAUAAACUGGUUUAAUUAAUUAAUUUAAGAGAUAAACUUCUUUUCCACGUGGCGUGCCUUGAUUGGAGACGAAAAUAUAUGCUCCCACAAUUUCCAACUAAAGUAAGUCUGACUUCACUUUCCAGCUUUCAUGGUCAUUAAAGUUAUUUGGAGCCGAGUUACCAACAGUGAGGAGUCAUUCUGACAUACCUUAACAUCUAAGAAAUUGUAAACUUUGGGCUAUACUAAUUCAAAUAAUUUUGACCCUUGGAUUAAAUCACCGUUGAUUAUCAAAAUAAUGUGAAUUUAUUUUAAUUUGAUCCCCCUUUGUUUGAAUAGUAUGGGCCAUUCACCACUUUUGGUAAAUAAAGCCCAAUACCUUUUUGAAAAGUGAACCCAAUGCUUAUUUCGGGAUGGUGCACAUAUUUCAGGCCCAAACAGUACCCCUAAGUCUGAAUAUCGUCUCUAAAAAACGAUUUCAUACUUAAUGAUUGGCCUGCCUUCUAUUGAUGUGCGCCCUUUUGAUCUAUUUGCUCCUGCCCACGUCUGUUCAUUGAUUGGACAUUUUGGAAAAGUGGGUAUUAACGAUUAGUUAAUUCUUGGCAACUCUUCUUCUCCCACUAUCUGUCUUCUUUAGAGUAUAAAGCUGCAACCUACUUUACUCUUUUAAAACCAUCAUUAACCCCGAGUUCUUCAAUUUGUAGAGUAUUUCCAAUCUUUGAAAUUUAAAAUUUCAAUGAAAAAUUCAAGCAUUUCCCUAAUUCUGCCUGAAUAUUCUCGAUGGCUUCUCCCAAAACCCGUGCUAGUAGUUCUUCCUCCUUCCCUCCACCUUAUAUUUCAGGCGAAGGUGUUGAUACACAUGCCAUUGAGAUUCGAAGCAAACUCCAUUCAUAUUCCAAGAAGAAUUUGAAUGAAAAUAUCCUACAUUUGAACGGGAAUGCUAUCAUUCUGGGUUCUGCCUAGUUUGGGAAAGUUUUUGAGGAAAUGGCCAAACUUUUUAAGGCAGAUGCUGAAGCUCUGUUUUGCUAUUGUAAUCCUUCUCUAAUAUUCCAUUCCUCGGUUAGCAAGAAUCUAAGCAGAUCAUACCAUUCUAAUGAAGUGAGGAAUAGCUCUAUGAAGUGGUCAUAAUAGUUUGGCCGACUCUCUCCAAGGUAUGAAGGCCAUUGGAAGAAAGCUAGCAUAUAUGAUGCUUUGCUUCUGUCUAAGCAUUCAAUUAAUAGAGAUGAGAAUCUCUUUGCUGCUUCUUUAUGUUUUUGGAAUUCUGCUACAAACACUUUUGACUUUCGUGUUAGCCCUAUGCCUCCAACUCUGCUCGAUAUGGCUCAAAUAUUUGGAUUUAGGCCACAUGAAAGGCCUGCUGAUGCAUUUGGAGAUUAUCACGGAAGGAAAAAUGGUGAAAGAGUAGCUAAAACGAAGCCUUGCCAUUCUUGCCAACGGAAUACCACUUUCCAACAAUUAUUGAGGCCAAUGGCCUUUAAUCUCCUGUUAAUUUAAUCGGAGUCUCCUCCAUGCUUCUCUGAUUUCUCUUUUUCAAAAUGUCGAUCAUUAUCCAAUAGAGCUAUCUGUUUGCCCCUGAAAGUGGAUUUUUCAAGCAAAAAUUGUGCCAUUGCCUAAACGUGUGGCAACUCAAUCCUGUUAAAAACACUGGAUUUUGGUAUGUCCUGUAAUUGUGCUUGCAUAAUCCUGCUGAUGAUAUUUGAUUCUUGCCCCUACUAUACUGGAUGGAUUUAUUUAGAUGGAUUGGAUAGCCUUGUUAAGGCACUAUCCUUCUUCUAUGGUUUAAUAUCUGCAUUUUUAUGGCUAUCUCUGGCUCAUUCACACCUUAUAUUUACAAUAAACAACAAUUCCAGACAUAACAGUUGCCUUUGAUCUAAUCAAAGUUUCCUUGAUAACCCUCCUAUUUUGACAGGGACCUAUCUCCACAGUUGCCUUUGACUGAGAGCCUUUUUGCAUAUCCAUGAGUUAAAAACGAAGAGCAAAUUUACUGGCCAUACUGGAUUGUGAGAAGUGGCUUUGGAGACACUCUUAAAGAGGUGCAGCCGACAGUGAGAGAGAGAAUGGACUCAAAGAGUAUACUGGUGAUGUAGCUGACAAUGAGUUGGUCUUGUUGGUACCACUGAGCACGGGCAGGAUUGGUUUGGGUAAGAGAGAUGGUGGUGAUUGUGGGUGUUACGGUGGUAGAAGUGGAGGUUUGAGCAGAAGGUUGUUUAUGAGUGCCUUCGAUAAAUUUUCAGAGGUCAUGACCGACUCAAAAGAGUUUGAGUUGGCAGAGCCAAAAGAGGUAGUUGGAGUCAGUAAGCUUGAUAAAAUAAGAACAGUUGGGGUUAGGGAAGGAGAUGGUGGAUUCAGACGAAGCCAUAAGGUGGACCUAAAGGAAACGAUUGGAUCGAAUAAGGGAGAGGGAGGAAACCCUAGGUAAGGCUGAUAUCAUGUAGAGAAUAUAUUUUCUUGUAUUAAACAGAAUACACAAAGUCCCUAUUUAUACUGAUACAGGAAAUCAACUUAGGAUAGGAAAUAAUAUAGACAUGAAUACAAUCCCAUUUACAGCAGGAAAAGCUAAUUGCUAGGAGGAGAUUGUGAAGUUGACUUCCGUGUGUACUAGGAAAGGGAAGCUGCGUUAACAUCUUUCUUUGGCCAAUUUAGAUUUACCAUAUUGACUUGAGUUUUGGGAAAAAGGAUUGUAUCAAUAGUGGGGACCUUCUUUGCUAUUUUCAACUUUCUUGAGGCUAAUGCUUCUUAGACAACAUCCCUUAAAACAACACAGCUAUUGGUAGUGUGAUUCAAAGAAUUAUGCCACUUGCAAUACUGUCUUCCCUUCAAUUCUUCUGACUUUGGCAACCUGUGUCUAGGUGGUGUAUCUAUAGCCUUCUGAGAUAACAUUUCAUCAAACAAACCGUCUAACUUUGAUAAAUCAAAAGAAUAAACCUUGUUUGUUGGCUGUUUGUUUGGAAUGAAACCUCCAGUGAAGGGUGGUGGUUUUUGAUCCUUUGGUGCCUUUAGCAAAACUUUACAACUUAUUGUCCCUUUAUUUUAGCCAUUUUUUCCACCACUGCCAUAGUUUCCUCUGGUUCUAGCUCCUUUUCUUAUUCUACCUGCACCAAAUGUAUUGAAGAUGAAGGGGUCUUGUAGUAUGUACAUUUAGAAGCAUUCCUCUUCUGUUGUUAUUCCUUCAAUAAUUCUUCAUAUUUGGUGACCUUAUCCGCCAGUUCUGCUAAGUCUCCAAAUAUUAUUCCAUUGAACCUUUUUCUCAAGGAGAUCCUCAAUGAUGUUUGUCCCAUCUGGAUAAAGUGCCUCUCAUAUAUAGGAAUUCUAAACUUCAUUUUCAGCUUUCUGAACCUAGUAAUAAAGUCAUGAGCUGCCUCAUUCUCACUCAGCUUCAGUACAGUCCUCAGGCUAGAUUCUGUACUAGUAAUCAUGGAAAGCAGUGCUUAGCCUUUUUGCAUAAUACAGUGGAUUAGGACAAGAAAAAUAGGAUUCCUAUGGAAGAACUUCUUUUUUUGGGGGGGGGGGGUUGUAUUCCAUUAGGAUUCUAGAGAGUUUAAAAAGAUUUUGUUUAAGUGCCUGCUUUCAUAGAACUUUAUGGAACUUUAUAAUUCGUAUAGAACUUGAUAGACUUUCAGAAGACUUCUGUAUAUUUUUUUAAUAAACUUUCUUAAGUUUUCAUAGAACUUGAUAGGCUUUUAUUCUAGACUUAUGUAGACAGUAUAUUUCAGUUUAUCCCCAUCCUUGUCAUUUAAAGAAAGAAACUUGAAUUUUUUCAAUCAAAUUUGUUUUUGUUAUCCAAAGCAAAAACAAAAAGUACUUGUUUGCUCUUCCCUUUUCUAUUUACUUGUUGUGUAUUUUCAGACUCCAUUUGAGUGCAGCUAUGAAUUUUAUCAUGUCAAUCAUAAAAUACAGCAUAAAAAAUAUCAAAAAAUGUACAUCAUCAACCAUAGAUUAAACAUGACACAUCUUAUGUUGAAUGGAAAAGGACGCAGUAGGAAUUUACAGAUUUGGGGUCCGAACUCUGAUUGGCGUGUAUGAUACCUUUCUGAAAAGGAAACAAUGCUACGAGUCAAACACACUGCUUUGCUAUGACGUAUGGUGGAUUUUGGGCUUUUGAGGUCGUUUAGGCUUCCAAAACAGCAUUUAAAAGUUGAAAUUUUUGGAUUUUCGUUUUUUUAAUGUUCAUUUAUAUUUAUCUCAGUAUUUUUGUUCGAUUAUAGAAAGGUUGUCAAUUAUUUCAAUUUUCUAUCUAGUCGUAUAUAGAUAUUUCAAAAGAAAAAGUAGUAACAAGCAUAAACCGUAGUAAACAAGCAUAAACCCUAGUAACAAGUAUAAACCUAAUAACAAGAAAAACACGAUGAAGAAAAAAUCAUGGAAAAAGAAAACCCAACAAGGUAUGGAUCAAAGAAAAAAUAGGGAGCAUACCUUCACAGAUGAAGGAAGGAAGAUGUUCAUCUUCGCAGAUAGAAAAGCCAAGAGAAAAACGUAUGAUGAAAUACUUGGGAGGGAGGUUGGAUUAUUUUGGUCUUUGUUAUUUAUAACUCUCCCCUUAAAACCUAUGAAAAUUUAUCACUUAAUGAAAUCCUUCCAAAUAUAUCACCUUUUUUAUAAUCCUAAUUGAAUACACCCAUAUUUGAAUAGACAUUUUAAAAGUUCAUAUAAGUCCGAAUUGAAUACACCCAGACUUGUAAAACCUCUUUUAAAAUUUUGUAUAAAUCCAAAUUGAAUACACUCGGAUUUUUAAAAUCUUUUUAAACGCUUUAUAAUCCUAAUUGAAAACACUCUAUUGGGAUUGUCAUUGCAGCUGCCAUUGGAUUCUAUCAAGCCUAAAUACAUGAUUAAAUAAACUUACAAAAUUUAGAGAAUCUUUCUAUCUUUGCGUGUCUAUUGAGACCGGUUAAGUGUGAACUACUAGGGACUGAAACAUAUUUGUACUUUUUAUCCUCUAAUUGAUCUUUUCCAUGUUUAAUGUUCUCACUUAGAAUUGAAUUUAGAUGGAUAACCUUUAUUUGGAUAAUAUCCAACCCAUACAAGUGAGACAUUUAGUAUAAAAGUUCCAAUAUUUGAAAUUUCCAAGCAAUCUUGUCCAAUUACUUCUGAUAUAAGCCGUCUUUAACAUUAUAUUGGGCAGAAAAUCAGAAUAUUUGGCCAUCUUCAACUUUGUGAGAUGUUCAAAUUUGGUCUACUUCCAGAUUCUAUUUUUGUAUGAAGCAACAAGCUACAAUUAGAUAAUAACUUACUGAAAAAUGAGACAAUAAAGUGGAUGAGGAAUCAAAAUAUAUCAUUACAUUUUCUCAUGUUUCCUGGAGAAUAAAACAUUUAGAAUUGUACAUGGCUUAAAAGACAAAUCUUCUUGUCAUCCAGUUCAAAAUUGGAGUUAUGAUUUUGGGCUCAAUAGUCUUCGAAUCGAGAGUUCAUGAUAUCGUCAUUCGACUGCUUCACAAAUUUUGUAUCUUCGUGCUCAGCUCACAAGCACUUUGACCAUCAAAGAAGGCUUCCCAGAUUCAUAAGCAACAGAAAAAUGUGCAUAUGAUCAAUCACAGCCUCUACUUCAUCUUGACACGGCGAGUUCUUCUGAUCGAACUGAGUGCUGAUUUGGAUAUGAACCAGAUUCACUUCAUUUGCGUUCAUUCAUACACUUAAGCUGGAAGUGAGAUGAAUGAAGGUUUCAUCACUGCAGGGGAUUGUGAUACCACCCAUUGGAUGAUCAUAUCCAAAUUCUUCUUCUGCUUGACUUAGCAAAUCCAAGAACAAAGGCUCAUUCAAGUAUGAUAUUGGAACCACAAAUCGCUUCUUCUGGCUCCCCCCAACAUACACUGCAAAGUAGCCUUUUGGGAUGUCUACGGUGUUUGAAGUAGCAGCCUUGUUUAGACCCUUCUUGGAGUUAACAAUUCCUGGCAAUCGGAAUCCCAUGGUUUUUAUAUUCUCAAGUGGAAAAUUUGAACAAGAAAGAAUUCAGAGGACUUGGGAAACAGAGAAGACUUUGAUGCUUGGCAAGGAGAGAGACUUGAGUUGUUGGUUAUGAACCUGAUCUCUUGUGUAUAUAUAGAUGAAAGAGUAUCGCCUUCUACAUGAAAUGAGUGGUCUCGAGGCGCAGAGAUUUGCCCCAGUGAAGGAUAAUAGCUUGUGAGAAAUCAAAACAUAACAUGGGUUGUCUUCCCACUCGCAUAAAUCAUCUCCACAUGCAAUGACAAAACUGUAUCCCUCUGUACAAACAUCAUUCCCCACGUCUUAUUUCAUCGAGUAAUUUGUUGUGGUCUAAAGAUUGCUAAUGUGUUCCUGUCAAGAGACUAUGGACAGAUAUGUCUUAACCCUGUUUUGUACUUCAAAGAAGUCUUUUCUAUCCGCAUAUAAAGAGUUUGUAGGUGUCACAAAAAAAAUUGUUGGGCAUCAUGUUCUCCAACAAACAUACAGACUUAAUAACUACCAAGUUCUUGAGAAUGAGAUGGAAAACAGACCAUGUGAUCCCUCAAAUUCUCAUGCCUCUUUCCAAUCCCCACCCAAUUGUCCCCAUUUCAGAUAUUUUCCUCUACACACCCUUUCAUCUAUACGUAGACACACACAUACACACAGAUGAUCCCAUAAACAAUUGAAAUCCUGAGUCUUUACAAACAUGAAAUCUAAUGAGACGUGAUCCUAAAAUGAUUUAGUUUCCUGUUUUAUUUGUAUUUAUUUCAUAGAUUUGCUGUAUAUAUUCCUUAUCUCUCAAGGACUUGAUUCUUGCCUAGAAUAGGAAAUCCUUUGUGUAGACACCAAGCAAAGCAUUGUAUAUAAUUAUCACAUGAUUGUUCAAUGAAAAUCAUCGAGAAUAUUCAAAACCUUUCAUGGUAUCAAGAGCCUGAGACUCACAGUCCUCGAUCCUCAAUUUUCUUGUUCCCUGUCUUUUUUUUUUUUUUGUUGGCACCAUGGCUUCUUCCUCGUCUAUUGAUUUUCCUAGCGUUCAUCAUGUUAUCUCCAUUCGUCUCAAGUGUGAUAAUUAUCUGACGUGGCUUGCUCAAAUUGUUCCUAUCCUUCGCAUCUACCGCUUGCUCAGCUUUGUUGACGGCACUUCUCUGUGUCCUCCGACCAUUCCUGACCCAAAUGCUAAGGCCGAUGAAUCUACUUUUCUGUCUCUCCUCCCCAACCCAGAGUAUGAUGAUUGGGUCCAGAAAUAUCAGCUUGUUUUCUCUCUCUCAUCAACGGUUCCUUUCACCAUGAAGUUCUCACCACCGUAGCUUCCAAGACCAUCGCUGUGACACUUGGGUAGCCCUUGAAACUCAUUUUGCUUCUCCGAAUCAGAAUCGUCUUCUUCAACUUCACAGUAACUUGCUUUGCACAACCUGUUGUGAAUCUUCCAUCACUGAUUUCCUUGAUCGUAUUAACUCGAUUGACGAUAACUUGGCUCUGGCAGGUGCUUUAGUUGCUGACUCUGAUCUCCUUGUGAUGGUUAUGAACAACGUUUGUCCUCUUUAUGAAAAUACCAUUGCCGCUACUCAAGCUCGUGAGAAACCCAUCAAUAUGCCUGAUCUUGAUGCUCUCCUCUUGUCUGCUGAACGUGGCCUGUAGUUAUCUUAUUCUCUGGUCAUGUAUUCUGGUGCGACAGCUAUGGAAGCUUCCCAUGGUGGUCUCGGUGGCUGUGAUUUUGGCGAUUGUGCUGGGUUUGCUGGUCAUAGUCCCGAUCUUCCCAACUCAUUCUCUCCCUCACGACUAGGUUUUACUUCUGGUCGCGGUUUCCCUGGCGCUUCCUAUGGCGCCUCUAGUCCUGCCUCACAUCAACAACAUUUUGGUAGCAAUAUCGAGCUGAGUGUUCUUGGCCCACCUCCUUCUGGCUCUACUGCUUCCUCUUUUGGGCUUCAUUCUGCCCCUAGGCCUCUUCAAUGUUUCAAUUGUCAUGGUUUUGGCCACAUCGCAGCUGUCUGUCCUUCCAAGACGUUUUCUGUGCCUUCUCCUCUGUCUCGUCUUCAAGACAUAACUGCUCAAUAUCCUUCACAUGGUGGCCAUCAACAGUGGGUUGAUGAUACCGAUGCAAACACUCAUAUUACCAAUGACCUGAGCUUCUUAUCCCUUGCUAAACAGUAUCAUGGUUCUGACAAUGUUGGAGGUGUGCUUGGUGGAACAGGUUCGCCUAUUAAAAAUAUUGGUCACUCUCGUUUCUCUCACCUUAAUUCUUCUUUUCAUCUUAAUGAUAUUGUUCAUUGUCUCGAUGCAUCUCUUCCUCUCUUACCUAUUCAUAAAUUUCCCACUAACAACCAUUGUUUCUUCACUUUUUUUCCUAAUUGUUAUUUUAUCCAGGAUUUGGGGACGAGGAGGACACUUUCUUGGGCAAGAGUAGUAAUGGCCUAUAUCCCUUUUCAUUUACACCGAAUGAGUUUUUUCAAGUUUUGCGUGAUCGUGUUGCUUUACUAGGUGUCUAUGUUGACCGCUCUGUGUGGCACUCUCGCCUUGGUCAUCCUGCUUCGUCUACUUUGCAAUUUUUGUUAUCUCAUAAUAAAUUGCCAUCUUCUGGCUCUGUCUAGUUCUUUUUGUCAGUCAUGUACGUUGGGUAAAAGUGUUAAAUUACCCUUUAGUCCUUUUUAUGUCCUUUCUUCUCCACUGAAACUUAUUCACUCUGAUGUAUGGAGUUCUUCAAAUAAAUCUAUUUCUUAUUUUAAUUAUUAUGUUUUAUAUGUUGAUGAUUUUUGUCGUUAUUCUUGAAUUUUUCCAAUGAAAUUGAAAUCAUAAGUUUUCUCUCACUUCAUUAAAUUUAAGGCUUUGGUUGAAAAUAUGUUUUUCACUACGAUUAAGGCAUUUCAAUCAGAUGGGGGUGGGGAAUACACUAGUCAUCAAUUUAAGAAUUUUUUAUCUCAUCAUGGCAUUCAUCAUCGUCUUUCUUGUCCACAUCAUCCUGAGUAAAAUGGUUUAGCCGAACGUAAGCAUCGUCACAUUGUUGACACCGGGCUCACUCUUUUAGCCAAUGCCUUUAUGCCUCCUUCCUAUUGGGCUGAGGCCAAGCACACCACUGUUUAUUUAAUUUACCGUCUUUCUUCUAAGUUGCUUCAGUAUAAAUCACCCUAUGAAUUAUUGUUUCACAAAGAACAUAAUUAUUCGUUUUUAAAACCUUUUGGGUGUGCAUGUUUUCCUUAUUUACGGCCAUAUAAUAAUAAUAAAUUACAAUUUCGGUCUUCCAAAUGUGUGUUACUUGGUUAUUCUUUGAACCCUCAAGGUUAUCGAUGCUUGGAUCUUGUUUCUAAUCAUGUUUUUUUAUCGCGUCAUGUGUUAUUUGAUGAAGUUUCUUUUCUGUUUAACAAGGCACAUGCUGCUACUACUCCAGACCAUUCUCCGUCAUCAGACCUGCCUGUCAUCCUCUCUGGCCCAAGUUUAUCUUCAUGCAGCCCAUGCCUUCCAGUGUCGUAUUCUCUGCCUAGUCUCCCUUCUUUGGUGCCAAAAUUAGGAAGCGGAGAGUGAGAACUCACACACACGGGUACCAUGGGAGCUUGAACCCAAGACCUCUUGAGAGCACACCAAAAGCCUAGGAAAAUCCACCUAACACCCCAUUAGUCGACAGUAAAUAGUUCAAUUGCAUAAAAAGAAAACAAGAAGACUUAAUGGAUAUGAAAAAUAGUUUUUCCAACAUAUUUCUUCCCUCGUAUAAGUACAUUAAAAAUUGAACAAAUGAGAUUCCAAAUUGGUUGUCGUCAUCUUUUAGAUCCUUUUUCUAUCUCUUCAACCGUUGGGAGGGUUUUUUUAUUUAAAUUAUUUUUUUGUCAAAAAUGAUUGCUAAUUAAUUACAGUUUUACUUUUUCUUUUUUGCUUUUGUAAUGAAUAAAGAGUACAAAUGAAACAUCGUCAAAAUUGCUUGACAAAGUGGGCUGUCGUUUAAAAAAAAUGUAGAUUACAAGUUUAAUGGACAAGCAAUUUGUGAUCUAUAAAGAUGUUGCUUCCUAUUGCUUUCACCAUUAUUUCCACCAAAGUAAAAUUUAUAGCUGAAAGUUAGAUCAGUUUCGUACACAUAGUAGAUCCAAAAUGUUACUACCAAAAAGGCUUCAGUUUUAACUUGCUACACUUUGCCUACCACUGGAAAUAUCCAAUUCGGAGUGCAUGAGGGUAAAAUUGAGUGUCAUUAUUGGUAGUGAAAUACUUUGUGAUUAGGAAAUAUAUCUUGACAAUUUGAUUAUAACAAAUGAAUAGAAAAAAAAUUAGAAAUACCUGCAUAUAUAGUUAUGGAACAGUUAGAGAUUGAAAUUUCAACCGGCCAGCAAGAAAGGAAAAGGGAGAGAAUCCCAAAAACAAUAGAAAUGUGUGGCAUGGGAGGAGCCCCUAUUAUGUCACCUCCUUAGUUUUCAAUUAAGAAAACGUAGUGAAAAUAUGAGAAUCCUUCCCAGCCACACAUCUCCAUUGGCCUCUGGGAGGCCUAUCUCCCAUUUCAAGUCAGCCAAUUCUAAGAGUGUAUUAUGCUCUCAAGAUUUAGAGCCCAUUAUUUAUAGGGAAGCCAAGGGUACAUAAGUUCAAAAAAUAACCUAUAGUGCCCAUGGUUUCCAUAUGGUGAGGAAUCUAUGCGCCAUCGUAGUUGUUUCACCACAUGUUUUGACAAUUUUCGUGAGGAAGCGAAAAGGAAAAUUGGGUUGGUAUUCUUGCAUGCUUCCCACACGUCGUAAAAUAAAUUCUUGAUAUACCUAUUAAACCAUUUCUUUUAUCAGUUCACGUGAUGAACACGAUGAGAGAGAUAAAGAGAAACCGGCCGGUUACAUCUGACACCUAUGAACAGAAAAGAAUCCAAAACCGUGAUAGGUUGGUGAAGGGAAGUGAUGUUUUUGGUUUUCCAAAAUUGGAUUUUGGAUUUUGGGGAUAUUAGUACCAGUUUUUGAGCCACUAAAUAAUUCGAUUGCAUAAUCAAACUUAAAACAAAAGUUACAGGUAUGUUAGAUAUGAAAUAUAAUUCAAUUGCCUUCUACUUGAUUAUGAUCUUCCUCGCUGGACUAUGAAUGCUAUUGGGCUUCUAAUUUGUUGCUCCAAAAACCCAUUUACCGCAACGGGCCAUUCAUCGGGCCUCCAUAAAUUCAGGUCCAAUCAACAUUUAUAUGGAGAUGAAUGCUAGAUUGGAAAAUCCAUGAAAUCUGCAGUAUGUGGUGGUGUAGAGGCUAUAUGCUGUGGUGGGGAUGAAUGGGGAGACAUAUGCAUAUGAAGGAUCACAUGGUUCUGUCUUCCACAUCAUCAAGAAUUUGGCAAUGAUUGAGACUUCAUAUCUGUUGGAUUGUGUUUUAGUUUUAAAUCUGAAGUCCUUGCUAGGACAGGAAGCUAGACAAGUUGCUGACUCUAAUAUAUCUUUAUAACGGUAUGUAAAUAUUUUUGUAGUUUGUCAAAAAUAAAAAAAUCUUGUCAUGCACCUAUCAAUAAUACAUUGAGGUUUUUUUUCCCUCAGAUAAUUUGUUUUUCUAAGGGUUUUCAAAAAUCUAGUUUAUGCAAGCUGGAAUUAUGCAAAUAGACUUUGGCAAGAGAAAAUUAAUGUCAUAGCAUAUUGUCAUGAAACAAAUAUUUGUGUCAGGAGUUGAUUUGCAAGAAUGUGUUUCAUCAAAAUUUGAUAACUUAGGAUCAAUCAAGCAUUAAAAAUGCCACUGAAAUGGGCAUGAUAUUUCCCCAAUCUGUAUGAGGAACCAUGUAAAAAGUUAUAUGGUCAGCAUUUUAGUCAAAUUCUUGUGCAAAUCUGCUACCACUUGUGGGAUUAACUAUAUAACAAGGGCUACAAGAAGAUAAUACUAUAAUGCAAACCAUAAGACAAGAAAGGAUGAGGAUUUCAAAUAGAUUGUAUAUUGCUCCUGGAGAACAACAAAGAAGUUUACAUAGGUUCAAAAGACAGAAUUUGACUGCCUUUGGGUGGGGGAUGAUAUUUGGACCAAUGGUUCUAGGGAGUUCAUAAUAUCAUCACUUGUCUGCUUCAUAAAAGCUCAGCCUAGAAGCAGCUUCAGCAUUUGAGAAGGUUUGCUUUCACCAUAAGAUGUGAGUUGAUUCCAUGGAUGAGCAGUGGUAGCCUCUUCUUCAUCCCAACUCAGCGAGUUCUGAAAUGUGGAUGCUUUGGAUAUGAUCAUAUCCAAAUUCUUUCAUCUUGGCUCAGUGAGCUCUGAAAUGAGGAUGGUUUGGAUAGAUUGGAUGACCGAUUCGUGUACACUCACACACUUAAGCGGGAAGUGAGAUCAAGGAAGGUGUUUUCACUGCAGGGGAUUGUGAUACCUCCCAUGGGAUGAUCAUAUCCGAAUUCUUCUUCAGCUUGACUCAGCAAAUCCAGGAAUAAAGGCUCAUUCAAAUAUGAUAUCGGAAUCACAAACCGCUUCUUCUGGCUCUCCCCAACAUAGACUGCAAAGUAGCCUUUUGGGAAAUCUAAAGUCUUUGAAUCUGCUGUCUGGCUUGAACUAGAUAGAGAUCGAAUGAGACUUCUCUUUGCGUUAACAAUUGCAGGCAACCGGAAACCCAUGAUCUUAUAUAUUCUCAAAGGACAAAAGAAGAGAGGGAAUUCAAAGGACUUGGAUUUGGAAAGCAGAGAAAGCUUUGGUGCUUGAGAAGGUGAAGACUUGAGUUGCUCAUGAUGAACUUGGUCAUGUGUAUAUAUAGAUCAAGGGUAUCCAGAAAAUCAACAGCUACAUGAAAUUAUUGGUCUGAGAUGGGCUCCAAUGAGGGACACUUGAUUGUGAGAAAUCACAUGGGCUUGUCGUCCUUCUCACGCAACACAUCCUCGAAAGAUUUCUCACGGAACUCUUCCCUACCUCCUCUAGGUAACAGACAACAAAAGGACCACUAGAGGUGAUUCAAUCCAAAAGACUUAUGUCUGUUAGGUAAGUAGCAUUUAUGCUUGAGACAUGCACUUCUCUUUGUUCACACUAAAUCAACUGACCACAUAAUUGGACUAUUAAACUACAAAGUUUCUUGAAUAGGUCUGCUAAUGAAUUGCCCUCUCACUUCAUCAAAAGACCAACAACACUGCAUAUGUUGUGGUCCUACCCAACACUAAUACAAUUGUGUUGUGUGGUGCUAAAUAGCUUGCUUGGGAGCAGCAAGGCACCCUACAUGUGGCUUUGUAGUUACGACUCUGAUCUUCAGUCUCAGCAAACAAAGGAGGUAUUUAUUUCAUUUUGUUAGGCCAAUCUGGACUUAACCAGAAAACACUAUUGAUUUAAAUAGUUGACAUUACUUGAUCAAGAAAACUGAAGUUAAUAAAUUGAACUUAAGCUACUCGGUCUAAACUCAAUUUUUAAAAAACCAUUUUCCAUUACAACUCUUGGUUUAACAAAACCAUUGCCAGUCUUGUUUUAGGCAAGUUCGGCGAAAAGCCUACUAGAGAAAUCUAGAAAAUUCUAGAGAGAAGGAGAAGCUAGGUUGAUAAUCUCUUCUUGCCUUUGCUUAUGGCAACAACUGAAGAAGCCAUGUAAACUUGGCUUGCACUCUCUAGCAUAGGGAAAGUCGUGCAUAUAUAUUGUGCCAUUUUUUUAUGAAAGAAACUUAGUUGUUCGGCUCAGUGUCUCUCUAUAUUAACUCAUGAUGACUCUCCUCCUUAUUAUUCUUUCGGGUUAAUCAUUUUAUUAGUCCUUUAAUUUAGACCCGAUUUGCAUUUAAGUACCUCAAUUUUCAAAAUAGUUCUCAUGGUCCUUCAACUUCACUUUAGUUAGGACAAAUGGUCUUACUGUUAAUAUUGUUAACUUUUCUAUUAAAUGCAAGGGAUGGUAUUUUUGUAUCAAAAUUGAUUAAAAUAUGAAUAAAAAAUUAAAAAAUUAAAAAAUCAAAAUUAUACUCUCUUUCUCUCCCCCUCUAUCCCGAUUUCUACUCCCCCAAAACUUUUUUUUUUUUUUUGUUGGUUUUUUAUUUGAUUUUCUUUUAUGGUUAUUUUAAAGAUAUGAUUUUUUAUUCAUUUUUUUGGUUUUAAAAUAAAAUUACCAUUUUGUCCCAGCAUUUAACAGAAAAAGUUAACAAAAUUGAUGGUAGGACCAUUUAUCCUAAUGAAAGUGAAGUUAAAGGACCACGGGAACCAUUUUAGAAAUUGAGGUACUCAAAUGCAAAUUGGGUCUAAGUUCAGGAACUAAUAAAACGAUUAACCCUUAUUCUUUCAAUCCAUUGAGAGAUGUUACGCAUACUGUGCUUAAUAUAUUAUUAAAUUAUCAGAUACAGUCAUACAGGGUAAAGAUUCCCUGUAUGAAAGGAGGCUACUAAUUUUGGCCCCAUGGAUAAAGGAAGUACUUUGGCCCCAUUGAUAAAGGAAGUACUGAGUAAACCAUUAUACUUUCAUUUUUUGAAAAAUAUGCUGUCAUUGAUGAUUUUAUUUUAUGACAGAGCUACAAGUACAAUGAAAAAUAAGACAAGAAAGUGGAUCAGGAUUUAAAUUUGCAUUCCAAUAUAUUUUCCUGGAGAGUAACAAAGGUUACACAUGAGAAGAUCAUAGCAUCCAACCCAAAUGUGGAGAGGCCCAAGAUCUUUUAUACUACAAUGCACGUCUUUAAGUUCCGUAUGUACUCUCAAGGACAAUAGUUCAAAAUUUCGAUCAUGAUUUUGGACUAAAGUUUUUCAACGUCCAUAGUAUCUUCGUUUGUCGGAUUCAUGAACUUUUUAACUUUAUGCUCAGAUCACAAGCAGCUUCAGGCUUACAGAUUGCUUCCUCUCAGCACAAGAUGUAAGUCGACUCAGUGGACGAUCAAGAAUAGCCCCGUCCUCAUCAUUACUUAGUGAUCACUCAUACACUUAAGCGGGAAGUGAGAUGAAGGAAGGUGUCUUCACUGCAGGGGAUUGUGAUACCACCCAUGGGAUGAUCAUAUCCAAAUUCUUCUUCAGCUUGACUCAGCAAAUCCAGGAACAAAGGCUCAUUCAAAUAAGAUAUUGGAAUCAAAAACCGCUUCUUUUGGCUCUCCCCAACAUAGACUGCAAAAUAGCCUUUUGGGAUAUCUAAGGUCUUUGAAUCAGCCGUCUGACUUGAACUAGAUAGAGAUCGAAUGAGACUUCUCUUGGCGCUAACAAUUCCAGGCAACCGGAAACCCAUGAUUUAGUAUUCUCAAGAGGACAAAACAAGAAGAAAAAGAUUGGCAAGGACUUGGAAAAAACACAGAGAGCUUUGGUGCGUGGGAAGGAUAAGACAUGAGUUGCUCAUGAUGAACCCAAGCAUAGUAUAUAUAUAGAUGAAAGGUAUGCAGAAAAUCAUCAGGUACAUGAAAUGAUUGGUACUGAAGGGGCACUGGGAGGAGAAGCAAUGAGGGACACUAGCUUGUACCAAAUCACAUGGGUUUGUUUUCGUGCUCAUGUAACCCUUCCGCAAGAGAUAUCUCAUGAAAAUGAUCAAACUCUAUCGUUGUGUAGAAACAGGAUUCCCUACCUAGCUAGCUCCUCUGGUUAACAGACAACAAAAGGGACCACCAUGUUCUUGAAAAAUGAAUUCAUUGAGUUGGACGCUCCUCUGGUUAAUAGUACCGCAUAUGGUAUGCCCUACAACAAAAACUUGUUAGCUUGUGAUAAAUUAGUAGUCUCUUUCUUUUUCAUCUUUUUAUAAAUGCUGCUUCAAAAGACAAGAAUUUGUGGUGCUAUGAGAAUUUACAUGGACCCUGGGAUGCUCUAUAGUUUGGUUGGUUGGGAGCACCAAACCACCACCCUAGCAUGUGGCUUUGUCCUUUCAUCUAUGAUCUUCAGACUCAACAAGCAAGAGAAGUCUUUCAUUUGGUUGAGGAAUUGGUACUUUUUUAGCACGCAGUAGGUAAUGAGUACAUAUCUAAAAAGCAUGUUGUAUCAAGAUUAAUGUGGUCUCGAGAGUGCUAAUUUGUUGCUGUCAAGAAACUAUAAACAUAUUUAUCUGAAUCCCAUCCACAAAUCAACAAGUAUCUUUUCGUAUCCACAAAUCUCUAAAACUUCAAGUGGGCAUCCAUGUUUGUAGGUUGUCAUAGAAAUGGUUGGGGGCAUAAUGUUCGCCAACAAAUAUACAGAUUCAAACAAUAUAUAGCUACCAAGUUGUUGAGAUUGAGAUGGAACUUGGAAGACAGAAGCAUGUGAUCUUUCAAAUGCUUAUGUCACUUGCCAACCCCAACCUAUUUGCUUCCACACAGUUGUCUCCACAUUCAGUAUUUUCCUAUAGACCUUUUCAUCUAUAUAUAUCAGAUCAUAAAAUAAUCAAGAAAACCACAGACUUUCCAAAAUCUGUUCUCCAAGUCAUUUUUUAACUUCAACGUAUUCUCAAGUGAUAACUUAGACUUUUAAACAUGGCUAUCAGAUUGCCUAGUAUUAUGCAAGCAAAGCAGAUCCUCUGCCGGGGGAGUUUGUUUGCUAACCGCGCAGCUUCAACAUCUUUAGUAGGUGUUCCAAAAGGCUUCUUCGCAGUGUAUGUUGGAGAGAAUGAAAAAAAGAGAUACAUGGUUCCAAUUUCAUUAUUGAGUCAGCCUUCAUUUCAAGAGUCGUUAAGUAAGGCAGAGGAAGAAUUUGGAUUUGACCAUCCAAUGGGUGGACUCACAAUUCCUUGCAGAGAAGAAAUCUUCGUUGAUCUCACUUCUCGGUUGUAUGGCUUGUGAUUCAUGGUUCACAUAUAAAUUAUCUGAACAAAUUGUAAAGACUUAUACAUUCUCUUGCAUCUAUGCUUUUUAGCAUAAGAAGAAAGGGAUCCAAAUUUUUUGACUAGUUGAGAAAGUUGCAAAUGGAAAUAGUUGGCUGUACAUGAUGAUCGAUUCUAGAAUUAGCAACAUCGAAUGAAAAAUUUCUCUCUUUCAAUUCUGAAAUGAUUUACAGUCCAUUACCUUGGUAACUUUCUUUUCUGCCACUUUUUUUACCAUCCAUUUUAUUUUUUUGAUUGUUUAUGACACCAUAUGAAGAAAACUUAAGCAAUAUGAAGGGGUAAAAUAGAACAGAGAGAGUAACGUUUGUUUGUAUUAACCCCCUUCAAAGUUAAAAUUACACAAAAUGGCAGACUUAUGUGUACUCUUCAAAAGGGUUUGUCCAGCAAAUUGAUGUAUUAAGCUAACAAAAGCCUGGUAAACUAGGGGGCCAGCAUAUUAUAAAUUAUUUCCAUUUUGUCUUGCCUAAACAAACUAGGCCUGCAUAUCAAGUAACUGGAUUUCUAUGAAAACUAAGCCAAUGGAGAGAAUACAUGGAAGCAAAAUGGUUGUCUUCCGUUUUGCUGCAUGAGAUUUCGGUGACGGGAGAUGGGCCAGUGCAUCGACUCAUUAAAGUGAAUUGUGAUGGCGCUUGGUCGGCAACCAUGUCUCAGGGUGGCUAUGGAUGGGUGGCUAGAUCAUCUGUGGGCUUGUUUAUUGCUGCAGGUGGUGUGGGCGGCUUUCCAUGCAUCUCUAGUCCUGUGACAGAGGCAGAGAGGCAGUGCAAGGAGCAAUGUUUUAAGUUGUGUUGAAAUGGGUACAUUCGGGUGGAUGUGGAGUCUAACUCAAAGGUGUUAAUUGACAUGCUCCAAACUGGUGAGAUCACAGAUGCUUCAGUGGAGGGUGUCAUCCAUGAUAUCAAUUGCCUCAGCUCUCAACUGACUAAUAUCGUGUUCAAGUUCGCGCUGAGGGUGCAACAAUGCUGCACAUGCAGUUGCAGCUUAUGUUACUCGACGCAACGGUUCCUAUCACUGGAAUAGGGAUGCCGGACUGGUUGUUUAAUAUUUUAGCUUCUGAUACUAAUGUUCCCAUUAGACUUUAAUCAAUCUAUCUAUUAUUGAUGAAAAAAAACAAAACAAAAAAACAUUAUUUUAAGAGAUUUUUAUUUGUUCUGCAACCAGUCUCAUCUGUGUAAGAAGUAGGAAUUGCUCUUCCAACUUGUCCUACCAUCAAUAUGUGCUUGGCAAGAUAUAUUGAUUUUCCUCUAUCUGGAGUUCGAAAUCAAAAUUUUCCACUGCUAUCUCAAAGGCCACAGAGGCAUGGAAAGGCAUCAUCACUACGUAUAUUUAAGAAGUUAAUGAAAGACUCAUGAAAGAAAUUUUUGUGUCGCAACUUUUGAGUUACAAGAAUGUACUCCAUAAAUGAAAAAAAUGUGAACCGAAGACACAUAUAAACAGGCUUAAAAGUCAUAAAUAUGACUGUAUCUGCAGAUAUCUUAUAGGGAAAUACCCAGAAGAAAUUGUUCUGAGCCACUACUUAUAAAACAAACGAAUUAUAUACUUCAAUUCUUGUGCAAAUCUGCUGCCAUUUGGUGAUUCAAUAUAUAACAGAGCUACAAGAAGAUAACAAAGUAAUUAAAGUAUAAGACAAGGAUGGAUAAGGAUUUAAAAUAUAUUAUAUGUCACCAUAUAUUCCUGGAGAGCAACCAAGAAGAUUACAUAGGGUUAAAAGACAGAGAAUUUGACUGCCUUUAAGUUCAAAACCUGAUAUCAUCAUUUGUAUGCUUCAAAAUUUCUAUGUUUCUGCUCAUAUCCAAGCAGCUUUAGGAUUGCAGAAGGUUUGAGUCGAUUUAAUGAAUGAUCAACUGUGGCCUCUUCUUCAUCCUAACUCAGUGAUGAGUUCUGAAAUGAGGAUGCUUUUGAUAUGAUCAUAUCCAAAUUUUCUUCUUCAUCUUGACUCAGUGAGUUCUUCAAUGAGGAUGGUUUCGAUGGUUUCGAUCCAUUUGCUUACAUUCACACACUUAAGCAGGAAGUGAGAUGAAGGAAAGUGUCUUCACUGCAGGGGAUUGUGAUACCACCCAUGGGAUGAUCAUAUCCAAAUUCUUCUUCAGCUUGACUCAGCAAAUCUAGAAACAAAGUUUCAUUCAAAUAUGAUACUGGAAUCACAAACCGCUUCUUCUGGCUCUUUCCAACAUAGACUGCAAAAUAGCCUUUUGGGAUAUCCAAGGUCUUUGAUUCAGCUGUCCGGCUUGAACUAGAUAGAGAUCGAAUGAGACUUCUCUUGGCGUUAACAAUUCCAGGCAACCGGAAACCCAUGACUUUUAUAUUCUCAAGAGGAUGAAGAAUAAGAAACAGAAUUUAAAGGACUAGGAAAACAGAUAAAGCCUUGAUUCUUAGAAAGGUAAAGACUUGAAUUGCCGAUGAUGAGCCUGAUCAUGUGUGUAUAUAUAUAGUCGAAAGGUUAUGCAGAAAUUAUAUCCUUGUUUAGAAACAGCAUUCCCUACCUUGCUAGAUAAGAGGGAACAGCCAAAUGUGAAUUAACAAUCCAAUAAAAUUAUGCAUGCUUGAUAAGGAACCAACUUGUUCAUAAUUAGAUUUUUUUUUUUUUUAAAUGCUGUACAAACAAGAAUGUGUGGUGCUAUGAAAACUUUAACAUGGGGCCUGAAUAAGAAGAGAUGCUAUUUAGUAUAUAGCUUGAUUGGCAGCACCAAGCCAUCCUACCAUGUGCCUUUGUCAUUUCAGCUAUGACCUUGAGUCUCAAAACUCUCAACAAGAAAACGAAGUGUAGAAAAUAUAUUUCCUUGUAUUUAACAGAUUACACAAAGUCCCUAUUUAGACUAGUACAGGAUAUCUACUUAAGGUAGGAAAUAAUAGAGACAUGAAUACAAUCCGAUUUACAGCAGGAAAUCCAAUUUACAGCAGGAAAGGCUAAUUGCUAGGAGGAGAUUGUGAAGUUGACUUCCGUGUAGGCAAGGAAAGGAAAGUUGCAUUAACAUGAAGCAUCUCAUUUUGUUUGGUCUAUCUGAAUUGUAGCCAGAAAACCCCUCAGAUCAUUUAUUUGACCAUCAGUUUUGAUUUAUUAGUUGAACUCUUGGUUGAGUAAAACCAUUGACAUUUUUGUUUUAGGCACGUCCGGCUAAAACCCUAAAAUCACCUACUAGAGAAAUCUAGCAAUUCUAGAGCCAAGGGAGAAGCUGUGUUGACAAUUUCUUCUCCUCUUUCCUUAUGGCAACUGAAGAUAUCUGUUAACAAGCAAGUAGUACCUGUAAUUAAUCUACAAAUUUAUUUUGCCAUUUGGUCACAUGUUUCCCCACCCCUAACAUUGUAGUAAUCAAAUGUUAUUCCGACAUUUACUUGUAAUUAAUCAAACUUACCAGAUAACAUACAAAAUAACUGACAAGAAGUUAGUUCUGCAGGAUAUUUAAAGAGCAUUGCAAAAGAAAAAUAAUUUAGGUGAAAAAAUGAGCAUGAACCAGGUGAGAUCUUAUUUUUGAAAAGUUGAUACAUAUUGAACGUGCAGUAGGUAUUGCGUACAUUUCUAAAAUUCUAAGAACCGUAUUUUAACAAGAUUUGUAGACAUAAAUGUCUAAAGAGUGCUAAUUUUUUUUUUCUCAAGAAAUUAUAGCCACAAAUGUCCGUAGCCUGACCUAAAACUGUAUUCAAAGGAACAAGCAGCUUCUCUAUCCACACAUCUCUAAAAUUCCAAGUUUGGGGUUCUAUGCGUGUAGGUUGUCAUAAAAAUGGUUGGGGCAUAAGGUUCUCCAACAAAUAUACAGACUUAACAGCUAACAACUUCAGAUUGGGAUGGAAGACAAAGCCAUGUGAUCCUUCAAAUUCUUAUGUCACUUGCCAACCCAACCAUAUUUUCUUCCAUCCAUUUCUUUCCACAUUCCAAAUAUUUUCCUAUCCACCACUUCAAAUUUCAUCUAUAUAUAGAGACACUUCCAUACUAUCCCAUAAACAAAUCAACUCUUCAUCAUCAUCUUUACUAAAUCUUUUCUUCGAGUUAAUUUUCAACUUCAAGCUCUUUCAACAGUGUUAAUACAGACUCUUAAACAUGGCUAUCCAAUUUCCUAGUAUUAUGCAUGCUAAGCAGAUUCUCCGACGAGGACGUUUUCUUGCAAACGGAGCAGCUUCAACAUCUUCAGUGGGUGUUCCAAAAGGUUUCUUGGCUGUGUAUGUUGGAGAAAGCGAAAAAAAGAGAUACAUGGUUCCAAUUUCAUUCUUGAGUCAGCCUUCAUUUCAAGAGUUGCUAAGAAAGGCAGAGGAAGAAUUUGGAUUUGACCAUCCAAUGGGUGGACUCACAAUCCCUUGCAGAGAAGAAAUCUUCAUUAAUCUCACUUCUCAGUUGAAUGGCAUGUGAUUUGUGAUUAAAAUAUAAAUUAUCAGAGACAAUUUUGUAAAGACUUAUAUGACCAGUUGAGGAAGUUGUAAAUAGAAAUUGUAGACAAUCUUUACAUUUGUUAUCGAUUACAGAAAGAGCAACAUUAAAGAUAUUGUUUCUCUUUGGAUUCGGAUAUGAUUUCAGUCCAUUACCUUGCUUUCUUUCUUUUCCUGUCACUUUUUUUUUUUUUUGGGAUAUUCCUUUUAUUUUUUAUCACUUCGUACAUCGUUUAGAUUGUCCUUGAUACAAUAUUAAUUUAUUAACAAAAUUUAAGCAGUAUGGACUGUUUGUAUCGACUUUGUACAUGUAACUUCAGACAUUUACAUGUCUCUUAAGAUGGUUUUUGUAGAGAAUAUAUUUCCUUGUAUUUAACAUAUUACACAAAGCCCCUAUUUAUACUGGUACAGGAUAUCUAGUUAAGGUAGGAAAUAAUAUAGGCAUGAAUACAAUCCGAUUUACAGCAGGAAAGGCUAAUUGCUAGGAGGAGAUUGUGAAGUUGACUUCCGUGUAGGCUAGGAAAGGAAGGCUGCGUUAACACCCCCCGCAAACUGGGCGUCAUAGGAUGCACAAGUUUGGAAGACAUAUGCUGAUGGCGUGGUUUGUGAAGAGCUUUGGUGAACAGGUCCGCAGGUUGGUCGACAGAAGGAACAAAGCAGACUUGAUGACUUCCAAGAGCCACCUUUUCACGAACAACAGUUUUUGCCAUUUGUUGAUAAUCACAAUAGAAAUUCAGUCACUUCAAAGCUGAAAGUACACAAAAGGGCUAGAAAGUUCAUACUGAAUGAACAAAUGAUAACAUAAUGCUUAAAGAUAGCCGUAUGUUAUUGCCAUGAGGAGUUUCGAGAAUUCCACAGCUAUCUCAAACAAAUGAGAGUCAUCAGAUGGGAUAAGCAGGGAUCUGCUGAGAGCUCAAGGAGCCACAAAGCCACCAAAAGGCAACAUUCCUAUCUAUAUAUCGAGAACUUAAUGGUAGAACUAUUAAACAAUUUUUUGAGUUACAGCAUUGUUGUUGAAGUUUUGGAUUACAGAGCGAGCUAGAAGGUACAGAGAAGGAUGAUGAUAGAAAGAGCAAACAGAGAAAAUAUGUAAAUGUUCUCUGGUACGAUCUACUGCUCAAAAUGCAGAGAUCACACCUUUUGUAUUCAUUCUCAUUCUUUCAUUACAUCAGCCAAUCACCUCCAUUCUGUUAGAAGAGCCAAUGUGAAUGUGACACAUGGCAAUACAAAGGCUAAGAGCCGUUGGAAACUAACUGACUGCAAUACACCUUACACUUGGCAUAUGAGCUCAAGCCACUCAACUAACACAAUGCUUAAUGAAACUAGAAGGAAAAACAGACUAAGUAAAUUACUAACUAACUAGAAAUUAGCUAGUCAAUUUACAUUUCAACAAUUGUAAUAUAUAAAAAUUAUGAAAUCAUUCGAUUCCUUGGCAACAAGCAUCAAAUGGAACCGACAUGGACAUGAUAUUUUCCAUGUGCUUUGGUGAACCUAAGUCACAAAUAUCAAUAGGGUAGAAAAUCUCAUAUAUGAAUGUAUCUGCAGAUAUCUUAUAGGGAAAGACCCCAAUCAUAAUUUUGAGAGACUGGAUUCACUGGAAUAUGAAAAUGCAGUUUAAUUCAAGAUCCGAAUCUGUAUGAGACACCAUGUAUAAAUAAGUAUGAGUAACCAAUUAUACUUCAGUUCUUGUGCAAAGCUGCUGCCAUUCAGUUCUUGUGAAAACUAUAAGAGAAGAAUGGAUGAGCAUUUAUCAUAUGUUAUAUAUUCUUGUAUAUUCCUGUAGAGUAACAAAGAAGUUUACAUAGAAUUACAAGACAACAAAUUUGACUUCCUUUGAGUUCAAAAUUGGAGUCAUGAUUUUUGGAACAAUGGUUUUGUGGACCUCAUCAUAUCAUCAUUUUUCUGCAGCAACAAUUUCUAUGAUUCUGCUCAGAUCACAAGCAACUUCAGCAUUACAGAAGGGUGAGCUGAUUCUAUGAAUGAUCCAUGGUAACCUCUUUUUCCAUCCAAACUCAGUGGUUUCUGAAAUAAUGAUGCUUUGGAUAUGAUCACAUCAAAAUCCUUCAUCAGCUUGACACAGUGAGGUCUGAAAUGAGGAUCUUUUCGAUGAUUUUGAAAUCCAUUCACGCUCAGUCAUACACGUAAGCGGGAAGUAAGAUCGAGGAAGGUGUUUUCACUGCAGGGGAUUGUGAUACCACCCAUGGGAUGAUCAUAUCCAAAUUCUUCUUCAGCUUGACUCAACAAAUCCAGGAAUAAAGGUUCAUUCAAAUAUGAUACCGGAAUCACAAACCGCUUCUUCUGGCUCUCUCCAACAUACACUGCAAAAUAGCCUUUUGGGAUAUCUGUCUUUGAUUCAGCUGUCCGUUUU